UGCAAAAUGCUUGCAAAGAGGGUUAGGAGGGUAUGAAUGCACCAAUCAUCAUCAUUAAAUUCAGCAUUGUAAUUAGGAAUGUAACCCAUUAUUCUUAAAUUGUUCCCACACGAUUUAUGCACCAACUAACGAUGAAUGCAUUCGGCGCAGAUUCAUAUAGAGUACUCUCUAGGAUCUACUAGACAGUAAUUGCGCGAGUGUCAGCACUACAAUGCUCCUGGGCAAAGUAGAUGCGAUUCCCGGGGAGGUCAAAUGUGAAGCGCGUGUCCACCUGCUGCGCCGCGCCGAGCACCGUCAUCUCCUCGUCCGGCACGACGGCGAAGCACAGGUGCUGGUUCACCCUCACGAACAGCAGUUCCGGCUUGAUGAAAAGCCUGGUCGCUUCUUCGUGCAGGUCGAAGGUCAAGCUCGGAAAGCGCACGUGGUCUCACGAGACAAAGCAGAGGUGGUACCCCUGCACCGGCACCGUCGAGCGGCGCGCCCCCUGCUUGUGCAUGUCCGCCGCGACCUCGGCCUCUACGACGUCAUACGCCGCGCGGACCAGCCUGGUCAGGGGAGUCCCGGGGUCGACGACGGACCCCCCACGACGGGUUUGUAGAUCCCGCCUAAACAUCGCCGUCUUUACGCCGUUAAGUUUUUUCCUGUUGAAGCUGAUGCCGACGAUGCGGAUAUAGUACGUGCUACUUUGGCCGUAGCCCGGUCCCGUGAACAGCAGCGACGUGCUCUGCAUGUGCUCGUGCCUUGGGAUGUCGCGGCCGAAGCGGAGGAACCCGUGCCUGGCGCCGGGGUGGCUCUGUCCGGGGAAGAGGCAAUAUGAGAACCGCGAGUCGGCCAGCCCGCGUGCGGUGAGCUGGCGCAGGAACGACGUCGGGUGCCUGCUCAAGCUCAGGGCCCCGGCGAGAACGCCGUGAUUCAGGCCCACGAAUCCGUCCGUCGUGUGUGCGCAGCCGAAGAUGAGGUUGUCGACGUCCCUGUUGUGUCCUCCUCCUCCUGCGCCGGGGCUGCCGGCGAAGGCAAACGUGUCGCUGCCGAGGUAGCCGUGCGCGGCGACGUUCCAGGAGGUGGUGUAGAAGCUGCACCGGUUCCGGCCGGAGGGGGUGUAGGGGGGCGUACACUUGGGGUCUGCGGGCUUCAUGUGCUUGUAGCGAGGGGACUCAGCAGAGUCGAAGACGGCGCCCUCCUGCCGAACCUCAGGCACGCAGGGCUGGCACUGCAUCCAAGUCAGAUUGCCGACGAGGUCCAGCCCGAGCUUGUAGAAGUGCCUGGUUUGGCCGGAGCCGACGCCGACGAGGACGCCGUACAAGGGCCACCCCACGGGGGCUAUGUGCGGACUUAUGCUGGUGAGGUUCGCGUCAAAUUGCCCGAGCCCGCCGGCUGUGUCGUGGUUGGACACGAUAGGCAGACUGAAUCCACCGCUCGGUGUCGGUGGUGCCGCAUUGCCGGCGACGCCGUGGCUGGCCGAAUUCAGCAGAGCAAGGAGGAAGCAGAGCUUACAAGCAUAUAAAACAGACAUGCUUGAUUCCUCCGAUCUCUAUACUAGGGCUAUGUUCGAUGAAGCCAGAAAGACGGUUGAGCGUACGUCCUUCAUUUGGAGGUCGUCUGUUAAAUAGACUCAGAAGAAUCCAUCUCUGGAGUAUCUAUCUCUAGAUGGAUAUGCAUGCAUUGGUGACUCCGAUUACUUAGUGCAGCCAAGAUACAGGGCGGCUAAUUAAUCAAUCGACUCUGAAGUAUCUCUAGAUGGAUAUGCAUGCAUUGGUGAGGAGAAUACUCGACAUGUCGAUGGUUGAAAUGAUACGAAAGCUCCCUAAUUCCUCCAACAACCUUAUUAAUGAGUUUUUGUCAAUAGUACUCCCUCCUUUCGGGUUUACGGAAACGAACGACCAAAACGGUGCGACCAAGGGAACCUUCCGUAAAAAAUAUUAAAUGUCGAUAAUUGUGAGAGCUCCUAAUCGGCACUUCAGGCGCCAAAAAAUCGCUACGGCGCUCACAGCCCACAAGCUAUGGGCGAAUGUUUUAAAAAUGCUCACGAAUUCGAAAAAAUAUUCAUGAAGUUCAGAUAUGUUUAUGAAUUUGAAAAAAGUUCAUGGAUUUGGAAAAAGCUUAUGAAUUAUAAAAAUGUUCGCCCAUUUACAAAAAGUCUAGAAUUUAAAAAAUUCAAGGAUAUGAAAAGGUUCACAAAUUUUAAAAAAUUCACAAGGUAAGAGGACACCGGCGGAUGCCGCGCUGUGUUCGUUGGGGAUGGGGCAUGCCCGUCCCUCUCCCACUGAGAGGUUCCCUUCUGCGGCCCGGAAUGUGGUGUACUUUUACCCCUGUUUGAUGGGCAUGCAAAAGUAUCAAUCCUUCAUUUUAGUUUAUCCAGAGGUUGCGGCGAGUGAAGCGUUGAACAACAUCCGAAGCUUGUGCCCUUUGCUCGCCCCUGUACCUCCAAGAGUAUCUCAUCUGCCGCACGGGCAUCGAGAGUGGCAUCAGGACUAAUUCAUCUUAAAAUUUGUCGUUGUUAUGAGCUAGAGUGAGUAGCUAAUUUAUAUAAAUUCUACUCCCUCAGUUUCUGAAUAUAAGUCUUUUUAGAGAUUUGAAUAUGGAGUACAUACGUAUUUUAAAGUGUAGAUUCACUCAUUUUGCUUUAUAUGUAAUUCAUAUUAGAAUCUCUAAAAAAAACUUAUAUUUAGGAAUGGAGGGAGUAUUUGAUGUAUUUUGUUGCUUUUCUUCCAAGAAGUCAAAUUCGUGCAAACAAACAAGUAUAGUGCCUACAAUUUCUAGGUAUAUUUUGCUCUGAGCUCACAUAAGUUGGUGCUGUACCAACAACAUCGUCGCUUGUCAGCUAACUGUUGGUGCAUAUUCCGUUCACUUCUAGUGUUUCCUACAAUAAUGCAAACAUCAUCCAGAUCUUUUCUAGUUUCAGCAGAGUAAAAAAAAUGCAUUUCGAACAUGGGUGAACAUGGACCAGACGGGUGAAUGCAUUCUUGGAUGCCGCUAAUCUUUUGACAAUCUAUUGUGCUUGCUACAAAAGCAAAAUCACAAAAAGCUACUUCACUCAUGGAAAAAAGAAGUCAAAGACAAAAUUCAGUCUAAUUUCCCCAUGUUGCUUCAGGGGCAUCGAGAACAAACAAAAUGACAUUGGUCGCAGGAGAUCGCAUACUAAUCCAUCCAAAAGAAUCAAUACAAUAUGGAUUCUGUGGGUAGUAGAGCCUAGAUUACGUUCGAAUACCAGGGAAAUCACCUUGUUAACAAUGACAUAUCAUUAGCCAAUUCUUUGCAGAAUGGCAUGAACGUGUGGGGCGCCCCCCUACAGAAUUCCGUCCAUCGGUCAUAUUUUCGUAGUGCUUAGGCGAAGCCCUGCGGAGAUAGCAUCACCAUCAUAGUCACCACGCCGUCAUGUUGCCGGAACUCAUCCACUACUUCGCCGUCUUGCUGGAUCAAGAAGGCGAGGACGUCACCGAGCUGAACGUGUGCUGAACACGGAGGUGCCGUACGUUCGGUACUCGAUCGGUUGGAUCACGAAGAAGUUCGACUACAUCAAUUGCGUUAACAAACGCUUCCGCUUACGGUCUACGAGGGUACGUAGACACACUCUUCCCUCUCGUUGCUAUGCAUCUCCAUGGAUAGAUCUUGCGUGUGCGUAGAAAAAAAAUUAUUUUCCAUGCAACGUUUUCCAGCACCAUGGUCCUUCUUGCAUUACCCUCUCCCAAUCACAAGGCAGCAAAACUGAAGAGUGUAGAGGUUCGGUUCCCAAGGCUUGAAGUUGACUUCCUGUGCAAGAUCCCAGGCGGAUCGCAUGUUCCUGAAGAACCAUCCCUGACUGUAAGGUUUGUCAAUGUGAACCCUUGCCACCGCCAUCCACCUUGCUGCAUCUUGAGGGAUAGCUUCCUCAUCAACCACGACAUCAUCCAUGCCAUCCUCACAGAGCCCUAGCUCCGCCAUCAUCCUCUCUACCUCCAACUUUCGCCGCCAUCUGUCAAAACCUUGCCCGAAGAUGAAAAAACCGUCGGGCGAUGAAAAACAGCGGAGCCCUACACCGAGCCGCCUGCCAAGGGAGGAACGACCUAGGCCGCGAAGCCCUAGGCGCUCCUCGGAGUCAGAUCGGCGGGAGGGAAAAAACUGAUCUCAACGGCGGCUGUGGACGCCUCCGAGAGGAAGAAACCCUACCGAGAGGGAAAGAUUCUAGCAAAUACAAAAGUUGGACAUAAAAAAGGCAAUUGUUGUUUGGGCUGCGUGGCCCAGUAUUUUCUGCCAACCUAUUCUCUCACCAUCGUUUCUUCUUAAUUAAUUUACUGUCUACUACUUCCAUACGAAUGCAACAUCUACUUUUGCUUGUGCGGGUGACUCCGGAGGCGACUCAAAACCUAGGACAAAAAGCUCUAUCUCUUAUCGCUCCGGCAGUCGGCCAUGGCGGCCCCACCCUUCCAUCAAAGAUGAAGGGAGCAGGGGUGCACCUUGUGACCCUCAUUGCAAACAAGCACACGAAGUAUGGAGGUGUUGGAGUGGCGGCGAUAGCGCAUGGCAUUGCAUUAAGGUGGAAUAGGCGCGACCGUAUGUAGCUUCCUGCACCUUGGGGAGCAACUUCAUACGUUAUUGGGCUGCCAGUUGUUGCAAGCCUAAGCUUGUUCCUCCCAUGUAUGUAUGGAUGUAUAUACUGCCAAAAUCCCUUUUGGCGGCCGCGCUCGAAUGAGGUUGCUUUUUGAAAAUUCAAAAUUCAUCAAAUUUCAUAGUUUUACAUUCAAAAUUUUUUGAAUAAAAUUUAGAUAUACAUAAAGGGAUAAUACACAUGUGUGUAAAUUUUCAGAACGAAAUAUGUUGAAGUGAGGACUGUGAAAAAAAGAUAAAUCUAGGGCUAUUUAACACAUAAUACUAUUCAUUCUGCCAGACCCAGAAUUUAUCUUUUUUAUACAGAUCACAUUUCAAUAUAUUUCAUCCUGAAAUUUUACACAUACCAUCCUUGUUUAUUUGUAAAAAAAAUUGAAUCUGAAAAGUUUAUUUUUUUUAAAAAAAAGAGGCCUUCAUAGAGGCCGAGAGCCAAAAUGCCUCAGUUCGUAUGCACAAAGAUCAGUUGCGACAGUUCAUCCUUCCUCGAAUUAGGAAGAACAAGCUUUGGCUUGCAACAACUGGCAACCCAAUAAGGUAGGAGCCAACUACCGUGUCAACCGUCACAUCAUUGCCCAUCCAGUACCAAGCAUUUUAGAUUAUAUCUUGAUUUUUGCUUCUUGCAUACAGAUAUCAUUAAGGCUCAGUAAACUUUUCAGCCUCCCACGGUCGCGCCUAUAAAAGCACACACAUCAAACCGAGGAGAUCUCCAAACCGAGAGGCGGUCACAAUCACUUGGCAAACAUGGAUAUCAAGGCGGCAACAACGCUUGCCCUGACGCUCGUCCUCAACGAGCAAGUUGUCCAAGGUAGAGUCCUCCACCGAAGACCAGCCCACUGGCCCCAACCGCUCUCCACCGNNNNNNNNNNNNNNNNNNNNNNNNNNNNNNNNNNNNNNNNNNNNNNNNNNNNNNNNNNNNNNNNNNNNNNNNNNNNNNNNNNNNNNNNNNNNNNNNNNNNNNNNNNNNNNNNNNNNNNNNNNNNNNNNNNNNNNNNNNNNNNNNNNNNNNNNNNNNNNNNNNNNNNNNNNNNNNNNNNNNNNNNNNNNNNNNNNNNNNNNNNNNNNNNNNNNNNNNNNNNNNNNNNNNNNNNNNNNNNNNNNNNNNNNNNCCCCCGCCAUAGGUUAGGGGCCUAAAUUCAGUGGCAUCCUGCGCUAGCUUCACCACUGGGAGCAUUCUCGAUCUGGUGGGUCCUCGGAUUUGAAGCCCUACUACAGCGCAGAAGAACCAGUGGCUACUAGCUUCAAACGGGUGUGCAAUGUCGUUUCCUCGGUGUUGAGUAUCGUGAUUAGAUUGAAAACAUAGAAUAGACUAGGAAGUACUUCAUCUUGUCUUUACUUUAAGAAGAUCAUGUAUUCCUAUAUAUGUGCCCAUGAGGCUCAAGUAAUAAACACUGAUUCCACCAAUCUCUCUCUAUUCCUUCUACAUGAUAUCCGCCCAACCGAUCCAAACCCUAGCCACCGCCCGCCACUUCUGCCGCACGCCACCCCGUGGCGGUCGGUGUCCAUGAUCACCAUUGGGGACCGCAUCGCCUGUACGUAGGGUUUAUCCGCCGAUCCAGUUGAUCGGCUGGCUAGAGAGUUUUUUUUCCGAUCUUUUGAUUUGAAUUUUUCUCUCUCUUACCGGUCACAUUGAUCGUCAAUUUUUUGGUUUCCCGAUCUAAAGAUCGAUUUGGGUCGCUGGCCGCCAUUCAUCAUCUUCAACGCGUGCUUUCUACUCCAACAACAGCCUGGCCGACACCUGCCGUCGCGCUCCUACGUUGGCCCGCACCAUGUCGCCCAUGGCUCAAUCUCACGUCCUGCGCGCGUGUUGGUUGCAGCGCGUCGCGUGCGCAACUGCAGCGCUAGCCCGGCUUGACCCAUGGCCGCUCAUGCAUCUGCAUGGCACCACGUGCUAGCCUGAUUGCAUGUAAGUGCUCAUGGCACCUGUGCUAGUCUGGUUGCACCUAGGUAUUGCGAAUGUACCAGAUGGCCUAGCUAUGUGUCACGUCCGGCUGCAUCACACUGGGUGGCUGAGCGGACACUUCGAUUUCACGCGUAAUUGGAUUGAUCAUGCGAGCGUCCACGAUUCCGUACCGCGAACGUUGUUGAGUAUGUGCCACUUCACUGAUUAAGCAACGGGUUGCAGCUACCUCUUCGUUUUGGAUCGCAGCCGUCGCCGUCCCAAGGAUCUCUCCACGUCUACACCGACCCACGUGUUGUCGCUGCAUUGUCCCUUCAGGUCCUAAUGCCACGGUCCGCGGUUCACCGCUGCCCCAAGGCCGUCAGCUCUAGGCCUUCCACGUCUACACCGACCCGCGUGUUGUCGCUGCAUUGUCCCUUCAGGUCCUAAUGCCAUGGUCCGCGGUCCACCGCUGCCCCAAGGCCGUCAGCUCUAGGCCUUCCACGUGGCCAGUGACGAAGGACGGAACUUUUUCAAAAUGGGGCGAACUCUUAAGCCAAAAAAAAAAUUGAUGCAAAACCAACACUACAACCCUUCAGAAUUUGUGGAGUUUUGCGGUUGCAAUCAGAUAUUUAUUACUUUUUUCGUUGCAAGUUUUUUUAGAGAUUCCAACAAGUGACUACAUACGGAGCAAAGCGAGUAAAUCAACACUCUAAAAUAAGUCUAUAUACAUUCAUAUAUUGUAGUCCAUUUAAAAUGUUUAAAAAAAUUUAUAUUUAGAAACGAAGGGAGUAAUACGAAAAUCUCAGACCAAAUGAAAUCAGCUGCAGGAUUUUUAUUCAAGUUUGACGUACUUAUUUAGCUAUAUAUCCUGAUGAAUAUGGGAAGUUUUCAGAAGGCAACUCCUGCGCCGUCGGCGGCCGUGGGCUUGUACCCGGAGUUGUGAGCCGCCUUGUCCGACGGCGGCAUGUCGCCGAACACCAUCCCCCCGAAGCCUCCGCCGAGCAGCCCCGCGCCGAGCCCCAGCGCGAAGCUGCCGUUCCUUACGCAAUAAUUCUUCUGCGCUGGCGACGCGGCGGCCGUGCCACAGCCGGCAGCUGGCUUGGGCGCCGGCGGCAUGCGAGCACACGCCUGAGGGUAGCGCGGCACCGCCGCCUCCGGCGCGUAGACGUACGUCGGAGGACAGUACUGCCACGGCGGCAGCUCGUACCCCACCACCGCGGCCUCGUCCCAGCACAACCCUUCGUCCUGGGCCAGCGGCACCAUCACGGGGCCGAAGUGGUACGCUACGGUGAGCAUGCCCCGAUGCUCGGUGCAGUGCACCUUCCGGACCGGGUACGACUCACGCCGCGGCGGGCCGCCCACGCAGGCGCAGGCCAGCAGGUCGGCGACAGGGAUGAACACCUCGCCGACGUCGCGGUCCUCGAGGCCGAAGAGGCGCUCGGUGCGGAGGAGCACGUGGAGGUAGGCUCCCGCGGCGGCGGCCUUGGCGGGCGUGGGCGGGACGGUGAACGUGAACGUAUCGUCCCACGUCGGGUGCCUGGCGCCGUCGCGGUCGGUCUGGCUGCACCGCCGCGUGCGAGGGUCGCCGAACACGGACGUGAUGGCGUACACCUCCAUGCGGCUGAACACGUUGACGUCCUUCAGGUUGCUCGCCGAGACGAGCGUCAGCUCCAGGACCCUGUGCGCCAUUGCUAACCGCCCCAGCGCUGUUGGAGAAUGGGAAACUACGUGGCGAGCUGCGAGCUUUGCCGUACGGGCUUAUGGCGGCCAUGGCGCCCAGGGGUAUGUAUAGGGGUCGUGCUGGGCCCGCUGCCAGCGACGUACGGGUCGAUCGGCUGCUCCAAGUUUGGCGCGCGGGCAACAUGCAUGCAUGGAUGUGCACGCGUCCGAUGCCAAUGGAAAUUUCUUCAACAGAAUGUGCGCAACAGCUAGCCUGUUACUGAUGACAUUUGAUAUACAAAUUUCUAAAUUUUAAACCCUAAGAUCUCAACAUCUUCUAGAACACCUGUGGUUGUGAAUCAGUGAGUUGUAUAGGACUGUUAGGUUGCUUCUGAUGAAAGAUUGUUGUGCUACUUCUUUCCCACUGAUGCGACAUAUAAUUUUCCAAACUACUGGAAGAGUGGAAGGUGCAUGAUCUUUCCCACUAGAUGGAAUAGAAUUCACAAUCAUAACCGUGGACCAGCUGCAUGCCCAAUUGCCCAUGAAGAACUUACAAAUAAAUAUUCUUAUUUACUCCCUCUGUAAAGAAAUAUAAGAACGUUUAGAUCACUAAAGUAGUAAUAUAAACGCUGUUAUAUUUCUUUACGGAGGGAGUAGGUAAUAACUAGUAGGUAACAAAGUUACUUGAUUAACCUUGUGAAUUUAAACGUUGGAUAAAAACAUUCAAUUGAAGGACAGAAAACAUGAGCACCUAAGAAAAGAAAUCAUUUCUCAAACUGAACUUACAAAUGAUAAUGAAACAAAAAAAACGCAUACUCCUCAUGUAAAAAAAAGGUAAUAUUUUUUUUAGAAUUGUUAACAAUACAUUCAAAUCGAAUGUUGAAUAAUCAAACUCAAAGACACCAAUCGAGCUUUUUUUUAGAAUCUCGCAAAGCUUUAUUACUCCGUACGUCAUGAUGUUUACAGGGACGAAUACAAGAUCACCGGAAUAUCCUAACCAGACAUGACGCCCAUACCCUAACGAUAAGCAAACUUUGCGAGAUUAUGAGCCUCCAUAUUGGAGGUUCUAUACUCAUAACUAACAACACAUGAAGAAAAAUUACUAGAUCUAGCUACUAUUUCUUGAACUAUAGCACCAAAACUUGCUGAGAUUCCCUCCUUAUAUUUGCAUCAAUGGCCACCUUGCAAAAGGAUGCAACAAAAAAAAUCGGUUUAUGUAUAUAUCUUCUGAUAGGGCAUGUGCCCCCCUGAUAGCUGGUGUUUCAAGUACUUGAGGAUCCUUGAUGUUCCUGAUUACAACUGCUGAUGCUCCCAAGAAAGCACAUGUUCAUCCCUACAGAUUGCACCAACAUCACCGAACAAGCCAUCACGAGACACGCUUCAUCAAUGUUAGCUUUGACAUGAUCUUCGGGCAGAGGCAACCAGUGCCUCGGCCUCGAUGUUGAUGGCGUUAUUACAUGUGUGCUUGUAGUUUUGUUCCGCGUGACCUCGAUGUCCUCCAUGUAAAAGGCGAGCGCUCGUGGCACCCUUAAGCCCAAAACGCUAGCUUGGCUUGGAUCCAAUUCAAUUUUUUUUACUGCAUCCACUUAAAUUCAGCGAGGCCAGAAUAAAAAAUUGAAGAUAGUUCUUGACCAAAGAACUCAGCCAUGACACUUUUUUGGAUCAGAGGGACUAUAAAAAGCAAACCAUAGUACCACGUGCCACAUGUGGUAAGCAAUUCAAACAAUUCAAAAAAAGCAAACCAUAGUAAAUAGUGAAUACUAAAAGGAAAAAAAGAGCAAAUCUAUGCUGCAAAAUGCUUGCAAAGAGAGUUAGGAGGGUAUGAAUGCACCAAUCAUCAUCAUUAAAUUCAGCAUUAUAACACUAGUGCAGAACCGGGCUAUAGCACCGGUUCGUAAGGGCCUUCAGUGCCGGUUCUAUAACCGGCACUAAAGGGUGGGGACUAAAGGUCCCCCCCUUUAGUACCGGUUCCGCACGAACCGCCGCUAAAUGACAACCACGGGGCACGAGCCAGCGCCGGGGGCGGGGAGCCCUUUAGUACCGGUUGGAAACACCAACCGGUACUAAAAUGUUUGGGGGGGGGUUGGUUUCAUGAUUUCUUGUUCCUUUAAUUUUGUGUUUUCCAUUUAAUUCUUUUUCGUUUGCUCGUAUUAUACGAUACUAUAUAUUGUACACGNNNNNNNNNNNNNNNNNNNNNNNNNNNNNNNNNNNNNNNNNNNNNNNNNNNNNNNNNNNNNNNNNNNNNNNNNNNNNNNNNNNNNNNNNNNNNNNNNNNNNNNNNNNNNNNNNNNNNNNNNNNNNNNNNNNNNNNNNNNNNNNNNNNNNNNNNNNNNNNNNNNNNNNNNNNNNNNNNNNNNNNNNNNNNNNNNNNNNNNNNNNNNNNNNNNNNNNNNNNNNNNNNNNNNNNNNNNNNNNNNNNNNNNNNNNNNNNNNNNNNNNNNNNNNNNNNNNNNNNNNNNNNNNNNNNNNNNNNNNNNNNNNNNNNNNNNNNNNNNNNNNNNNNNNNNNNNNNNNNNNNNNNNNNNNNNNNNNNUGUUGCCUUGGUGCCUUCAGAGCACGAUGACAAUUGGGAGUGGUUCAUGGGGGCGGUAGCGGGUAAUGGUAUUCUCCUUUGGGUCUAUGACCUGGUUGAACAAAAAUCCCGCUAUUUCCUCUUGAAUUGCUAAUAUGCGCUCCGUUGGUACGAGCUGCUCCCGCACGUCUAUGAACUGUUAAGAAGGAGAUCAAUAUGCAUGUGUAUUAGUUGUGUGACUAGAUAUUGAUAAUCAUGUAAAAAUUGUGAAUAGUGUUCUUGUAAAUGUACCCAUUGAUGUCUAUUAGAUUUGCUCCUUUCGGACGCUAUCAUGCGAAUGUUCUCGCAAACGUAGUAUGCACACAGGUCAGUCCCCGACGCCUGCUUCAGGGCCUUUACAAGAACGGAAUUUAAUCAGAUAAUAAUUAAUCAAGCAUGAUAAUUAAUUAAUGGUAUUGAAACAAGAGUUAAAGAGAUGGUAGCUAGCUAGUACUACUUAAUUACUUACCUUGGGUCGAAACCAAAAUAGCUUUUCUCACCAUUUGCCUGGAGUCACCUUAAUGAACUCUCCCCAAGCCCUACCCGCCGGAAAAAAAAUGAAUAAAGGGGUUAUUAAAUAGUUGAUAUCAGGAAAUGGCGAACUAAAAAGGCCGAGAUAUAGUUAAUAAUGAUUGAAAUUACCUGCCGACUAUCCCCAGUUUCUUUUUUAAGUAGUGAGUCCAGUUUCAACUGUUCCUUUUCAACUUUAAUGAUUAACAAGAUCCAGUGGUAUCUGCAUGCGCACACGUUUGCAUGUCUUAACUAAGUGGGCAUGUGCAUAACACUAAUCAACUACCCUAAACCUUAUACACUUAAUUAUUAACAUCUAGCUAGCUAGUAAGCAAAAACAAAAUUUGUAGUACAAGAUAGUGUGACUCACUUAAAGUUGUAAGGAAGUAGUAUAUCUUCAUUGGUAUUGAGGCGCUUGAAGAACUCUAGCAUGUUUUUCUCUACAUCUGCUUUAUACCAUUUGUAUUUCCAUGUGUCUUCAUUAACAGAAUUUGGGUCAAUGAACCCAAUGCCAUAGCGUCCAGCUUUUUUUAUUUCAUACAUCUUCAUCCUGCAUAAUACCACAGAAAAGAAUAUAGUGAGGAUAAUUACAGGUAAUGAUCGAUCAAUGAGCACUACAGCUAGCUUGAGACUUAAAUUACAGAAAGAAAUCACUUACAGACAAUAGCAACUGACGAUAGAUUUGUCGAGUGCAUCUUGAUUGAAUAACUGAAAUAGUUCUGAAUACUCAACGGAGACAGCUAGCCCAUGGAAGUAAUGCUCCUCGUUGACAUUCACAAUGAGGGACUCUCGAUUGGAACUCUUGGUAAUUUUCAUGUACCAAUCAUGCAAUUCAUACAUUCUCGUUGGGAGUUUCUUGACCUCCUCAGGCUCGACCAAAGGUUCGCCGCGGACAUAUUUCCGUUUUAUGUCCUCCUCUCUAAGCGGAGACAUGGGCUCAAUCUCGGGAGUUGUCCAACAGUGAUACCGAGCAUUUUAGCCCGGCUUCUAUGCUCGUCGGUUUUUACUAGCUGAUUGCCCGGCUGGGGAACGGUUUGCCCACAUGGGGCGCCGGUACUCUCAUGUGUUGGCACAACAAGCGGGGGGAUUGAUUGUGCUGCCUGUUCUCCCAGAUGGGGAACGGUUUUACCGCAUUUUUUGCCAGCUGCUUGGCUCGAUCUCGAGCUCGACUCCUUCUGUAGUCGUGCUCGAUGUGCCUUCCUGAUUUGGCGCUCAUAGUCUGAGUCAACAGGCUUGGGAGCUGGUGGUCUAGCCAUACGAAUAAAGUGGUCAAUCUUUUCCUUAGGCACUUUCUCCCUUGGCGGCGGUGCCGGUUUCGGUCCAAAAUGGGCGUCCACUUGGGCCUUCACUAUGGCUGCGUUUUUCUCCUCGGCCAUGUCGUAAGGCCUCAGAGGAAGAGGAGUGAGGCUUGGACCAUAUUGAAAUCGCUUGCCUCCGCCUGUACCUCCUGUAUUAUCUCGACUCGUGCCGCUACGCACCAUAGAUGCGGCAGCUCUCUUCCACGAUUGCUGAGGCGGCGGAGACGGUUGGCGUGGCUGAGUUGGAGCAGGAGGACUGGCCUAACGCUAUGCCGGACUUGAAGCAGGAGGAGUGGCCUGAUGCGGUGUUGGACUUGAAGCAGGAGGAGUGCCCCUGACGCUGUGCCGGACUUGAAGCAGGAGGAGUGGCAUGUGCUACCUCUUGAGCACUGCGUUGGUUUUCCCUUGCAGAGGAAAGGGUGAUUCAGCAAAGUAGCGUAAGUAUUUCCCUCAGUUUUUGAGAACCAAGGUAUCAAUCCAGUAGGAGGCCACACGCAAGUCCCUCGUACCUACACAAACAAAUAAGAACCUCGCAACCAACGUGAUAAAGGGGUUGUCAAUCCCUUCACGGUCACUUACGAGAGUGAGAUCUGAUAGAUAUGAUGAGAUAAUAUUUUUGGUAUUUUUAUAAUAAAGAUAAAAAGUAAAGAUUGCAAAAUAAACGGUGCAAGGAAAAACUUGAUAACGGGAGAUUAAUAUGGUGAAGACUCGACCCGGGGGCCAUAGGUUUCACUAGUGGCUUCUCUCUAGAUAGCAUAAGUAUUACGGUGGGUGAACAAAUUACUGUCGAGAAAUUGAUAGAAAAGCGAAUAAUUAUGAGAAUAUCUAGGCAUGAUCAUGUAUAUAGGCAUCAUGUCCGUGACAAGUAGACCAACUCCUACCUGCAUCUACUACUAUUACUCCAAACAUCGACCACUAUCCAGCAUGCAUCUAGAGUAUUAAGUUCAUAAGAACAGAGUAACACAUUAGGUGAGAUGACAUGAUGUAGAGGGAUAAACGCAAGCAAUAUGAUAUAAACCCCAUCUUUUUAUCCUCGAUGGCAACAAUACAAUACAUGUUGUUUCCCUUUCUGUCACUGGGAUCGAGCACCGCAAGAUUGAACCCAAAGCUAAGCACUUCUCCCAUUGCAAGAAAGAUCAAUCUAGUAGGCCAAACCAAACUGAUAAUUCGAAGAGACUUGCAAAGAUAACCAAUCAUACAUAAAAGAAUUCAGAGAAGAUUCAAAUAUUGUUCAUAGAUAAACUUGAUCAUAAACCCACAGUUCAUCGGAUGUCGACAAACACACCGCAAAAAGAGUUACAUUGAAUAGAUCUCCAAGAAGAUCGAGGAGAACUUUGUAUUGAGAUCCAACGGGAGAGAAGAAUCCAUCUAGUUAAUAGCUAUGGACCCGAAGGUCUGAACUAAACUACUCACAAAUCAUCAGAGGGGCCAUGGAGUUGAUGUAGAGGCCCUCCGUGAUCCAUGCCCCCUCCGGCGGAGCUCCAGAAAAGGCCCCAGGAUGGGAUCUCUUGGGUAUAGAAGGUUGCGGCGAUGGAAAUACGGUUUCAUGGUGCUCCUGGAUGUUUUCGGGGUAUAUAUAUAUAUAUAUAUAUAUAUAUAUAUAUAUAUAUAUAUAUAUAUAGGAGGAAUAAGUAGGUCGGUGGAGCCACAAGGGGCCCACGAGGGGGAGGGCGCGCCCAGGGGGGUAGGCGCGCCCCCUGCCUCGUGGCCGCCCUGUUGGUUGCUUAACAUCCACUCCAAGUCCUCCGGAUCACGUUUGUUCCAAAAAUCACGCUCCUGAAGGUUUCAUUUCGUUUGGACUCUGUUUGAUAUUCCUUUUCUGCGAAACACUGAAAUAGGCAAAAAACCGCAAUUUGCACUGAGCCUUGGGUUAAUAGGUUAGUCCCAAAAAUAAUAUAAAAGUGUAAAAUAAAGCACAUUAACAUCCAAAACAGAAUAUAUAUUAGCAUGGAAGAAUAAAAAAUUAUAGAUACAUUGGAGACGUAUCAGCCUGACGCUGUGCCGGACUUGGAGGAGGAGGAGUGGCCUGACGCGUUGGUGGACUUGGAGGAGCGGGAGUCUGCUGACGUGGUGGCGGACUUCGAGGAGGAGUCGGUUGACGCGGUGUCGGUGGCCUUGGAAAGAUGAUGCAAUCCUUUCUCCAUAGGAUGAUACGAUGUUUGGCCUCUCCCAGUGUGUGCUCCUCGUCAACUCCAGGAAUGUCAAGAUCUAGCCCCGAAUAUUGGUCCACCACUUCAUCAACCUGGACACGAGCAUAGCCAGCUGGAAUCGGGUUGCAAUGGAAGGUUGCUUCGGGGGAAUUUGUAUAAGCAAUGGCGUCCGCCACCUUCAUGGAUAUGUUCUUCAUUUUGAAGUGUAGCUCAUAGUUAGUGUUCUACAUGAUGUCAUCCACAGGGUAUUUAUCCAGCAAUGCGUCACCCGGGGCGGAACCCACGCUGCUUCUUGGCAUGGAUGGGACGGUGCUAUCCAAUGCUGGAUCAUCCGCUAGCCGCUGCCGCUGCUGAGACCCCCUUUCCUGGCUAAGUGAGUCGAUCUGUUGCUGCUGCCGCUGGAAUUUGAGUGCCAGGUCUGCGUGCGCUGAUUCUAGGCCUUGAAGGUGUUCUACUUCCUGCUUCCUCUGCUCCUCCUCCAACUUCCUCUUCUUCUCCUCCUCCAUCUUCCUUCUUGCACGGCUUCUGUAGUCGGCGUUCCAGUCCGAAAAUCCCUCAUACCACGGAACAACGCCCUUGCCUCGUGUUCUUCCCGAGUGUUCAGGAUUUCCUAGGGCGCGCGUAAGCUCGUCGUUCUCUCUGUUGGGCAUGAACACCCACUACAAAAAAAAAAGACACAUCUGUGACAUUUUCGGCCGAACGAAUUUUUUUUCUGUCAUACAUAUGACACUUCUAUGACGAUAAUUGUGACAAAACCCGGUAUCAUCAUAGAUGUGGUGGGCUCCUACUUCUAUGACAAUAAAUCAUGACAGAAAAUGGGCUUUUCGUCCUGGGCGGGCCGGAGACGCAGCUGCAUGACAUUCUUUGGGCCGUCCAUGACGAAAAAAACCAUGGUAGAAGCGAGGGGGAGGAAAAUUCCGGGGAGUUCCCGGUUAUGGUGGGAGGUCGGGGGCCGAGCGAUGCUCAUUUCUCUCGUACACGUACGCGCGUGUGUGCGAGGCGUUGGCUCUAACUGAACCCGAGCGAGGCGUUGUGCUCUAACUGAACCCGAGCGAUUGCACUGCAGGCUACGCGUUACUGAACCCGAGCGAUUGAUCGAUGGCUGUUAACUGAAUCCGAUCGAGCGNNNNNNNNNNNNNNNNNNNNNNNNNNNNNNNNNNNNNNNNNNNNNNNNNNNNNNNNNNNNNNNNNNNNNNNNNNNNNNNNNNNNNNNNNNNNNNNNNNNNNNNNNNNNNNNNNNNNNNNNNNNNNNNNNNNNNNNNNNNNNNNNNNNNNNNNNNNNNNNNNNNNNNNNNNNNNNNNNNNNNNNNNNNNNNNNNNNNNNNNNNNNNNNNNNNNNNNNNNNNNNNNNNNNNNNNNNNNNNNNNNNNNNNNNNNNNNNNNNNNNNNNNNNNNNNNNNNNNNNNNNNNNNNNNNNNNNNNNNNNNNNNNNNNNNNNNNNNNNNNNNNNNNNNNNNNNNNNNNNNNNNNNNNNNNNNNNNNNNNNNNNNNNNNNNNNNNNNNNNNNNNNNNNNNNAUAGCCGGUGGAGUAGCGCGCGGUGGAGGUUGGAUGAACAGGAGCCCGUGAAGGCUGGAGAAGGUCGACGGUGGAGAUGAACAGUAUCCCGUGGAGUCCCGUUUUGCGGUACGCCACACCCCUCCCGAUGAACAGGACCCCCGUUUCGAUCGUAGGAGGUCUGUUUCGUCCGUUUUGCGGUAUGCCACACCCCUCCCGAUCAACAGGACCCCCGUUUCGAGCGUAGGAGGUCCGUUUCCUCCGUUUUGCGAUACGCCACACCCCUCCCGAUCAACAGGAUCCUGUUUCGAACGUGGCUAGUCGAACACAAGGCCGUUUCCUCCGUUUUGCGGUACGCCAGGCCUCGUUUUCAUCGCCUGCUCCGUCCAAGCCCUCCCGAUGAACACGACCAUGCAUUCCGUUCUGACCCAGCCGGUUGGCUCCCACGCGUUCCGUUGCCUCCCGAUGAACACGACGCAUUCCGUUGCCUCCCCAUGAACACGAUGCAUUCCGUUGUGUCCCCAUGAACACGAUGCAUUCCAUUGUAUCCCCAUGAACACGACGCAUUCCGUUGCCUCCCCAUGAACACGACGAUGACGUUGUUUCUCCGUUCCGACCCAGCCAUGUACACGAGCCCUGGCCGUACGUAUGCGUGAGUAGGCGUUCGAGACCCCGCCCGUAUGUACACAUACGUGGCCAUAUUUUCUUUCUUGCACCCUGGCCGUUGUACGUACGUGUACAUGCUACGUGCGCGCCUCUACUACGACACGUACGCGCCACUACUACGACACGUGCACGCCUUUACAUCCACCAGUAUAUAUGUACGUACACAUUCAUGACCAGAAUGACAACACUACGUACGCUUCGACCAGGUGGGUCCCGACUGUCAGGCACUUCCUUGCGUGCGAAGAUGUAGCUGGUGGGUCCCAGCAGUCAGGGGGGCGAAUUGUUUUUUUGCCCGAACGCACUUCCUUGCGUGCGAAGAUGUAGCUGGUGGGUCCCAGCAGUUAGGGGGAAAUAUUUUUUCGCGAAAUAUGGUGGCCCGUCUGGUGGGCCCCCGCUGUCAGGUGGAGGAAUCAUUAUUUUGCGCAUAAUAAGGAGGCACUUCCUUGUUGCGGCCGUGGACCCAGCUAUCAGCCUCUCCACGUAUAGUCCACGUCCGAUGAAAGUCGUUCCUUGAUCACGUUGACCACGCCGCGCUGACAGCACCACGGCGGUGGACGACGGCGAGGACUAGGAAGGCGACGACUCGGAGCCGAGGAAGACGCAGUAGUGGAUGCCCACGCGAAGAGGAGUACGAGGGUUCACUGGUUCGGCUGCGGUGUGAGGCUGCUGUCGCCGCAGAAUAACAGGGGGUGUGGGUGAGUUGAGGGAUGGCCUGGCCAGCGGUGGGAGUAGUAGGGGGCGGUGAGGCGUCCGCGACAUCACAGCUGACCACGGGAGGCAGGAGCACGCAGCACGACCAGCGCUGGUUUGGGCGGCUGGAGCAAGAAGACCAGAGGUUGAAGAAGCACUACGGCCAUUGGAUGAACAUCAUAUGGUAACAGGAGCUAGAAUCGUUCAUAUUGACUAAGUUGACAAAGCCCUCCGUCCCUGUCAACUUGGUAGGCCCACAAGUCAGCCUCCCACUAUGCUGGGUUCCAGCUGGCAGGGGGAAUAUUCAUUUUCUUGUGUGUAAUAAGGAGGCACUUCCUUGCGUGCGAAGAUAGCUGGUGGGUCCGACAUGUCAGCGGGGGGCACGUUAUUUUUGCGAAAUACAGAGGCCCUUCCAGUGGGUCCCAAAUGUCAGGUGGACGAAUCAUUAUUUUGCGCGUAAUAAGGAGGCAUUUCCUUGUGUGCGGCCGUGGACCCAGCUGUCAGCCUCUCCACGUAUAGUCUACUUCCGAUGGUGUCGUUCGUUCACCACAUUGACCACGCCGCGCUGAGCGCAUCCAAGGUGGUGGACGACGACGAGGCCCCGGACAGCAACGAGCCGGAGAUGGGAAGACGCGGGAGUAGAGUCGCAGACGGAGAGGUGUACGAGGGUUAACUGGUUCUAGUGCGGUGUGGUUCGGCAGUCGGUGGAGAAGAAUAGGAGGUGUGGAGGGGUGGAGGGAUGGCCUGGUCAGCGGUGGAGUAGCGCUUCAUAGCGAAGUGUGCUAAGUAGAGCUGCUAGUAGCGGGAGGCGGCAGGUGGUCCCGGCGGCGCUAGAGGAAGAAGACGAGAGAUUGAAGAUGGAUGCCAGUCGUUGGAUGUAAAUCCAACGGCUAACAUGCUAGAAUCAUUUGUUGACUAAAUUGACAACGACUUGCGUUGGCUUUGACCUAUUGGCCCACAUUUCAGCCUCCAAAAAUGUGGCACGUAUUCAACCUAUUUUUUUCAGAAUUUACAGUCUUUUUUUGCGUGGUAGAAUUUACAGUCAAUUUGAUCUUUUUUUUUGAAUUUCAGCCAUUAGCUGGGCUGGGUGAACAAAUAAUGUAGCGUCCAUGUGGCCCAUUUAUUUUAUUUCCUAAAAAAUUACAGGCCAUUUGCACUUUCUCAAAAUACAUUAUUUUGCUGGGCUGAUUCUAAUUAUAAUAUUGGGUUGGGCCAGCAAUGUUAUCAAAAAAUAAAAAGGGGCUGAGAAUUUUGUUAUAAAUAUAUUUAAAUAAUAAGUGAUAUUAUUACAUUCGUCCUUAAAUCUUACUAAGCUUUUGUACACAAUCACUAGGAUUUUCGUGCCAAAACAAUCCAGGAUUUUAUUUAUUAAGAAAUUAUUUUUAUAAGUUAAUAAGAUGUGGCAUAUUGGUUUCUUACAUAUGUAAGUAUCUGUUAAAUAUAUGAUGACAAUAAAAAUAAUAUAUAAUAACAUAUAAAAUAAAUUUUUUAGAAAAACAGGGAGCAUCUCCCCGGUUCCAUUGCUGAGAACGAAACCACAACAUAUUAUGAUAUAGCAGCUCAAAGAGCAGUUCAAAAGCAAAGGUAGAAAAACUAUAAACUAAGGGGGGUGGAUGAACAAGUUCUCUGAAUAACACAAAUCACCUGAGCGGUGCCAAAGGCAGAGUGGAUAGAGCACUCAAAUGACACAGGGAGGGUCCAGCGAAGCCUUCAUUGUCUUCAGCCGCGGGACCGUGUCAGCCUGCGGCGACCAGUAAGCAAGCGGAGACACCGGGCUAGAAUACGUAGCAUCGUGGAUGUCCCUCUUUUUCGGCGCCAGGUGCUCAUCAUCUUCAUCAGAGAUCUUGAGAUGAGCCCAUGGGUCCAACCCCAAAGCAGGUCGAGCCUUGUUCAGCCACAAGUGAUCGCCAAUGGUUUCUGGAGGGAUCUUGUUAGGGUUUCCACGAAGCUCAUCAACUUGUCCUUGUCCGAUCCGGAGGAGAGAAUCGCCCAGUUCCUCACCAUGUUCCUGAUCAACCUCAAGACCUGCGGAAUGGAAAUCCAGGAGGUGUUACUGAAAAUCAUAGCAUUUCUAUAUUUCCAGAGGCACCAAAGGACAGCUGAGCUAACAGUAUUUAAAACUGAGCACUUUUUGGUAGCAAUCCAGAAUCUGGCGACAGAUUCGAAGGAUGAGCCAAUCUGACUAGAGAAAUAUUCCUCAAUGUGGGCCCAGAGAUGUUUAGCAACUAUACAUUUAAAAAAUAGGUGAGAACAAGACUCUUGUUCUAAGCAGUAAACACAAUCAAGGGGUUUGAUGAUGUGUCUCUUCCUAAAGUUAUCCCUAGUCAUCAAUUUGUUUUUGGAGAGAAGCCAGAGAAAUACAUGAAUUUUAGGGGGAACUCUCAAUUUCUAGACAGCAGGGAUAAACAUGGGUUGAACCCCUCUAAAGUUGAUAACAUGAUAGAGGGAGCUGGAGGAAUACUUCCCCUUAUUGUCCAGCUGCCAAAUCAGGGCAUCCGGCUCGGCAGUAAAGGUAAUGCUUUUGGCAAUUUCCUCCAACUGGAACCAUUGUUCCAUGAGACUAUCACUAAAGUUCCUUCUAAAAGAGAGUUUUCGGCAUUGGCCGUCCCAAACUUCAUUGACACUUUUGUUAAGCUCAUUGCAGACAUAGUAAAUAGGCCAAAAUUGGACUGCUAGGGGGAUGUGCCAAACCAAGUAUCUUUCCAGAACCUGGUUCUGCUCCCAUCUCCUAUGUUCCAUGUGUAGCCAAAUUUCACAGCAUGCAUAAUCUCUUCCUAAUAAUAAAGCACGGAUUGAGUCUCCGGGUUCACCGUCGCAUCCUUUUUACACAAAGGUCCCUGUGGUUUUUAGAAAUUAAACACGCAGUCCAUCCUCCAAGUAAAAAACUACUCGCUAGGGUAUUCCUCCCUCACACGCGAGAGACGCCCCGUCCCAACCACCCGACUCCACGCCUCCCGCCUGAGACUGGACGCCGCCGAUGAGGGCCACGCUGGUGCUCCCCCUCAGCCCGCCUUCCUCCUCUUUACACUCUGUUCCCCUCCUUAUCUCUCCGUUCUCUUGUCAGCAGCGACCACCCAAGGUCGCCCCGAUCCAUGGCCCUCUCCUUCCGCCCAGCUUUGGUCCGUCGCCGGUCAUCCAUGGGGCGAGCGAUGUGCCUCCUCUUGAAGCUCCUAUUUUUGUGUCGCCCCGCCUGCACUGCCCACCAGCGCCUUCCGAGAACUCAUGGUUGCCUUCUGCCAAGCUGCCGGAUUGAUGGAUGACCGCCGCCAUGACCGACCUCAACGUUCUGCACGCCAUGGGUAGCGGCCAUGGAGGCCGCACCUCCGGCCUCUCGCUCGAUGCUAGCCAGGACCUCCGCCAACAUCACAUUCAUCUAUAUCAAGGACCGAUCUACGUCACCCGAGGUUGAUAGCAGUUCGGCCGGGGGCAUCACGACCACAUCCUGAUAUCCGCUGCCUUGGGCACGACCACCACUGCUUGCCUUCCUUGGAGCAAAGAAUUAUGAGCUCUCCCGUACACGGCUGAAGCGCCUACAGGUGUGCGUGUCUGUGUUUUAACUUUUGCUCAUUCUUUUGUUUCUAAACAAGUGAAUUUCCGUUGCUGGAGCAUUUCAUUGAAAAGGAAUUUGGUUCUGAAGCUACUCUUGAAGCCUAUGAUCUGAAAAACACAGGGGAAUUAUUUUUGCUCUAUGUUGUGUUGUGGUUCCUGCCCAAAAGGUGGCAACAGUUCAGACUUCAAACUUUUUUUUGAAGGGCAGACUUCAAACUUAGUAAGCCAUAUGCUUAUAUCUCAGAAAUAAAUUAAAUAGCACAGGAAAGGAGCAGCAACCUUAGCUGAACAUAGAGUUGUGUUACAAGUUCCACAUGCACUAGCUUUUAGUGCAGGUGACGUCGCUAGCUUCUACCGUACCUUGGAUCAUUGAAAGUCUUAGUGCUCUCAACCUGUUCGAUGAAAUAACAACGAUGUUGUGUUUUUCAGGUCAGUCACCAAAAGGGGACAUCGACAGGCACGUACCUCACCAGACGCAUAUCUCUCCACCUGCAGGAUGAUUUCCAUGGCACGGCCCUCCUCAGGUCUGAGCACUACUAAGCAAUAAGCAUACCUUUGCACAAUCCUCUUUAUGUCAGUUUUGUAAACACCUUGGGCAAACUGUAUAUCUAUCGCCGAGGAUCUCAGGACUCCCAUUAGUUGGAACUUAGAAAUGAUGCUCUAAUACUACAGUUGACACACAAAUAAGGAGCUGGCAUAUUAAAAUGGUUACUCUUUGGAACUUUGGUCAGUAUUUAGCAGUGUUCAAUAUUGGAGAGAUUACUAUUUAGCUUUAGAGUAUGAGGGCAUGUGUUGUUCAUUAUCUCUUUUACCCCCUGUCGGCGGUACUGAGUGGCUUAGCACUGAUGCAAGACGAACAUCAGUCGACUUAUACUUUGACCGCAAGUCACUUGAAUGGUGUCAUUAAAACAACCUGAGCAAGAUUGGAGCUGAUGGGUAUUUGAGAUUGUUGCUUUUUGAUGGAACUGCAGCCAAAUGAAUCUCUCGCCUUGUCAAGCAAAAGAUUAAUGAUCUUGUGCAAGAUCUAAAUGUUACCAGUGAUGAUGGCUCUACAGAAACGUAAAACUGUGAGCAGUCAGGUUCUUCAUUUACAAAAUGUUCAGCCAAUUCGACCAUGUCAAAUGCAGUUUUGUGUGGAAGAGAGCUGGUAUAUUUGUAAUUGAUGUGUAUGAUGGCACAUCUUCUGAAUGCAAGCUUCCUCUCGAUAGGAGAUCCUCCAGUUUCAGUGUGAUUUGAGUUAUAGCAUUGCUUAAUAAUUGCUUGAAUUUGACCUUCCAUUUGAUUUUAAAAACUUAAGCCUUCUCUUGUAGGUGUUGAAGUCUGACGGAUUGGAGAAUCAGAUGGUAGUCGCUGGAGAGGCAAGGAACUCCCAUGCUUGCAGCGAUGCACUUGGUGGGCAUUCCUUGCAUUUUCCCAUAAAAUCACACGGGUUCAUGUAUUUAAUUAUAGCAAAGUUACCAUGUCUUUAUCAUGCCAGUAUGCCAAUGUGCCCAGAAAUUAGAUAACAGAGGGACGUUAGCAACUCCCAGCUCUGAAAGCAUACCAAAUAUUUCAGUUUUUAGGCCACUGCUCAAUUUUGAAGAGCUAAUCCUUUGAACUAGAUAUGUGAGCUUUUUGUAAAUUAUAGGAUACAUAGUCUGCUAAGUGGAAAAAGAACUCUUUGAUGUUGGGCAUAUCCUGUAGUAUUUAAAUCAUUAUUUUUUACACAUGUGAUGCGAAUCUUAUUCGUUUAGAAAAAUGGUGUAUCUACAGGAUUGAUACAAACUCAGAAUACAAAUUUUGGGACAACUAUUAACAUUGAAAGAGAAUGAAUGUGAAGACAACAUGUGUGCUGGUGUCCUGGGAUUCAGCAGUUGUAUCAGGAAAACCAAAGUAAAACAGGUACUCAGAUUUUUCUUAUUCUACAUUUUCCAGAUAUAGCAAAGGUUGUACCACAGAAAGUAUCGUGUCUGGCUGACACAAACUCCAAUUGUGGCACCUCUUGUCAAAAGUUCACUGUAUGAACGAGGAUCAUAUAUUUACUUUGAUCUCAACUUUUGGAUGCAGUUAGAAGGUUUCAUCAUAACAAAAAUUGUUAGUUUUUGUAAAUUAACCUCACCAUAUUGAUGAUUGUAGGACAUCAUUGUUCUCCAGUAUGAAACUAUAGGGAAGGGACCUGACGUACAUUUGUGUAACACAGUUCAGUAAAUACAUAUGGAAACUUUAUUUCUUUUUCGAGAUCGAUUUACUUGGUGGUGCUAUUGCCCAUUUCCUCUUAACAAGACAUGUGUGAUGUUCCAAAAAAGGAGCUUAUGUGUUGUCUAACAGCCUUGAUGGUAUUUUUAUACAGGUAGCUGAGGAAAUUGUGCUUGAAGCGCGUCCUAUGAAAAAAUGGGUUGCAUAGACAUAACGCUCAUCUAGACAUGUUUUUCCAGUAGAAGUGAGAAAUAUAUUGCAGGUUUUUAUGCCAAAAGCUUUUAAUAUUUUUCCUCAUAGUGUAAGUAAACUGAUGAUGCAUUCCAUGGCUAAGGGUUUGGUUCCAACAGAAGCAACACAUAUUCAUCUUGCCUACUAUCACAUCAGUGGAUGUCAGUCUCAUUUUUCUGAUCCUACACUUGAGCUAAGAAUUCAUUGCCCUUUUUUUGAACAGGCUGCAGCAACCAGUUUGUCACUACUUCAAUGGAUAUAAUGGAUCAUAUCGUCAUUGCGUAUGCAAAAGCAUGUUUAAAAAUUUAAAUUACCAUGGCACAUUUAAGGGGAGAUAAUUGUUGAACGGAUAGCGUCGAUGCCUUGCAAAGUUUCACAGAGAACAAACUAUAUGUGGAUUUCUUCCAAUUGCAGCAAGCUUCGAGCAAGCAAAACUAUACUCUAUAAAUAAUUUUCUUGAACCAGAGUUCUUUAUUUUCUUUGUAUUUUCAGCUUUCCUUGUAGUGGAUUUCAAUGUACUAAACACUCUCCUUAAUCAAUGGAAGCAACACCUGAUUGCCUUCAUAUAAAAAAACACAAUCUGAACACAUACAAGGCGAUGUAUAGCAGGAACAGAAAAAAUACUGUGCGAAGGUGAGUGCAAGUGCAUGAUUUUCUAGAGUUAUUUUCUUGGCAGAAGUUACUAUAUUCUCAAUAUACAUCAUAAAUAAUUAGGGAAUUCAAAAAAGGUCCGAUUUUUUAAAAAAAUGAUAAUUUUGAAAUAAAAAGUUUAAUAAAUCAUAAAAUGUUUGUUGAGUCAAAAAAUGUUCGUGAUUUUGUAAAACAAUGUAUGCUUAUUCAAAAAAUGUUCCAAAUUUUGAAAGAAAAUGUUCAGGAAAUCAAGCAAUGUUCAUGAUUUUUAUAAAAAGUUUGUGUAUUAAAAAAUUGUAAUGAAAUUGAACAGAAUUUCGCCAAUUCAAAAAAUCUUUAUGAAUGGAAAAAUAUCCUUAAAAUUCAAAAACUGUUCGUGACUUACAAAAUAGUUUAUUCAUUCAUUAAAUAUUCAUUGAUUCAAAAAUGAUUAUGCAUUUCGGAAAAUGUUCAUGGAUUUCAAAAAUUGUUCCACCAAUUUCCAAAAUAAUGUUCAUCGAUUCUAGAAAUGUUCACCGAUUCAAGAAAAUUGUUUAAAAAAUUGUUGACACUUAGAAAAUGUUUUAAAAUAUUAUACAAAUGUUCAUGAAUCAAAUAAUGUUCUUGAUUUUAGAAAAUGUUCGGAAAUUUGUAAAAGUGUCCACAAAUUUGCAAAGUGUUUACGAUUUCCAAUAUGUGCACGAGUUUAAAAAAUGGCAUGAUUUCACGAAAUUGAGAGUGAUAGUGUAUCUUGCUGAUGCAACAAAAUGUGGUCAUGACCGUUGAAGAUUUUUUUUCUCCCGUUGCAACGCACGGGCCCUUUUGUUUGUAGAUUUUAAUCCUUUCCAGAAUCUAGAGGUCUUAGGGUUGGACGAAGGGACAAAAAUAUUAGGUUUAUUUCCUAGGUAUUUAUGGGCAAUAAGAAGCUUCCAGAGUUUCAGGUCUUCCUCAUAGAAUCUUUUAAUCCAAGACCCUAGAAGACAGAUGUUAAUUUUUGGGAGGUUAGGUAUGCCUAGGCCUCCAAAAUCUUUUUUCAUAGAGACUAGGUCCCAAUUAGCAAGGUGUAGCUUCCUAUUUCCCUCAAAAUCAUUUCACAAGCAAUGAGACAUCUGAGAAUUGAUGAGGUUCACUACCCAUUUAGGGAAUUUCAAGAAGGAGAGGAGAUACACUGGAAUGCUAGCCAAACAAGCUUGUAUGAGGAUCAAUCUACCUUUGUAAGAGAGAAGUUUUCCCCUCCACCCAGCAAUCCUUUUAAUGAUUUUAUCCAGAAGGGGUUGGAUAUCCUCUCUCCUCAGUUUAUCAUAGUGGAGAGGGAUACCUAGGUACUUAAUGGGGAAGUUACCUUAUUACAGAUUAGAAUAGAGAGGAAGUCAGCUAACUCCUGAUCAUCCAUGUUGAUAGGGAUGAGUUCACUUUUAGAGUAGUUGAUUCUCAUGCCUGAGAAUUGUUCAAAGCAGGUUAGAACAGUUUUCAGAUUGCUAGCAUGUGUGGAGUCAUUGUCUAAGAAAAGGAUGGUAUCAUCUGCAUAUUGAAGGCAGAUGAUGCCACCAGGGCAGACCUCAGGACAGAGCCCUGCAAUCAGACUAUGAUCAGCAGCUUUGCUCAACAUUUUAGUAAGAAUUACCACUACUAAAUUAAACAAAAGCGGGGAGAUGGGGUCACCUUGCCUAAGGCCUUUACCAGCAAGGAAAAAAUCACUUUCACAGUUAUUUAACUUGACCCCAACAGACCCCCCAUGAGUAAGUUGCUGGAUCCAACUAGUCCAUUUACCCCCAAAACCUCUAAGCUCUAGGAGUUUCAUAAGGAAAUCAAUGUCAACUUUAUCGAAGGCAGUCUAAACUAGAACUACCAUCUAGAGAAAAAUUCUCACAAACAGAGCCUUCAGAUCUGUUUUGGUGAGGGUAAAUAAAGGAAGAGCAUUCAAUGGCAUCAUUAAGAGAAGUAACAUCUAGACCAAUCUUAGCAGCAAUGGCAUUGAAGGAAGGAUCAUUAAAGUUGGAGAAGGAAGUGUGUUUCAUACCCUGGGGUUUUUGCACUUCCAGGUUCUGAACCUCUUUGAGCUGUUGAGCCUUUUCAAUAAUGGUUCUCUUGUCACCAGCUACCCUGGCACUGGUUCUGGUGGCUUGAACAUGACCCCAUUUGGGAAGGUGCUUCUCCUUAGGAAGGGCAGGGAAGAUAGAGUUGUAUUUUGAGUCCAAAUUGUCUGGGAGUUCAUUUGUUUCAACAAGUGCCUCUUGAUCCUUUUGUAUAUCUACAUAACCUUCUAAUUCCAUCAGAUCUUCAUCUUCCAGGAGCUCCAUUUCCCUGAGGAGGUUCAAUCCAUCAGUUUAAUCAAGCACAGAAUUCAAGAUCUUUUCCUGGAUGCUGAGUUAAGGAGUGUAUGAAGAAUCAGGGAGGUGUGUCUUGAGGACUGAAGUGGGUGUAGUUUCUCCAAACAUCUGAUUGUGGCCAAAAGACUGUCCUCUGAUGUUAGGGGCCCCAGAAUUGGCAGCAGGCCCUUUAUCUGAUUCAGAUCUAGAGCUCAUGUUGGAUUCAGCAUCUUCAGUAAGAUUGGUACCAGUUUCAGCUGCAGAGACAUAUGUACCAGCAGAGAGGUUGGUGGAGGUGCCAGUUUCAGUGAGGGUUAAGGACUCCACCUCAAUGAGUAGCCUGUAGAUUUUGUUCCCAACUCCAAAAAGCCUUUUAGCAGGGAUUUUGGAGGGAUCUUUACAUAAGAUUUUGACCCUAACAGUUUCAUAGAAUGACUUGAAAUUAUGCUGCCAAUCCACAUCCAGUAAGACUCCCAGAGUGGAAGUGAUUUGAUCCAGCAUAGUCCAGUCACACCACUUGGGGGUUCAAUUUCCUGAUCUUGAUCCAAGUUUCCUGAAGGUCCUCUUCAGCCUCAAUCCUGCCUUUCCAAACUUCAACAUUGACUACAACAUUGUCUUUUUGAGACCAAAACAGGGGUAUCCAGCAACUUGAACUACAUCUAUUUCAGGAGGGAGUUUGACCAAGAAUGUCCACUCAUCUAGGGCAUUGAUUGGCCAGGGCCAGUUGGUUUUGUAAAUGUCUGCAAACUCAGUGUCAAGUUCCUGCUUGGUCACUUCACCAGCUUCUACCAGAACAAUCCCCACAUUCUUCAGGGAGCCAUGAUACUGAGCAUUUUCAUCAAGUGGGUCUACGUGGUAGAACCCUAAUCCUGGAGCAGCACUUCCAACAUAUCUAGCAGAACUGUGGGUUUUCCUUCUGACAGGGCAAUUGUAACACCCUCGAUGCGACUAUAGCUCCCACGUGUCGAGGCACGACUUAGAGACAUAAUCGCAUUGAAGGCAUAUGUCGCAAGUUAGACAAUCUUCACAACAUCCCAUGUAAUGUGAAUAAUAAAGGGGAGAUAACAUAGUUGGCUUACACUCGCCACGUCAAUCAAGAACAUAAAUAACAUUACAUCAUCCAACACACUCAUGGCCCGACUACGGCGCCAAAAUAAAGAGAACCCAACAUGCGACAACGGUCCCAAUCACCCCCAACUGGGCACCACUACUGAUCAUCGGGAAAGGAAAUGUAGUAACGCUGAGAGUCUUCGUCGAACUCCCACUUGAGCUCGUACUCGUCACCUGGAGCGGAAACACCUGGACCUGCAUCUGGAGUUAUAGUAUCUGUGAGUCACAGGGACUCAGCAAUCUCGCACCCUCGCGAUCAAGACUAUUUAAGCUUAUAGGAAGGGUAAGGCAAAUAUAUGUGGAGCUACAGCAAGCGACUAGCAUAUAUGAUGGCUAUCUUAUUCGCAAAAGAGAGCGAGAAGAGGAGGCAAGGCACGAGCGAGAAACUAGAGAGCAACCUGCACAAACAUUACUCCAACACCGUGUCCACUUCCCGGACUCCGCUGAGAAGAGGCCAUCGCGGUAACACAUUCAGUUGAUUCAGUUUAAUUAAGUUAAGGUUCAAGUUAUCUACAACCGGACAUUAACAAAUUCCCAUCUGCCCAUAACCGCGGGCACGGCUUUCGAAAGUUCAAUCCCUGCAGGGGAGUCCCAACUUAGCCCAUGACAAGCUCUCACGGUCAACGAAGGAAUAGACCUCCUCCCAAGACGUUCCGAUCAGACUCGGUAUCUCGGUAACUCAAGACACUUCGACAGGUUAAAACAAGACCAGCAACACCGCCUGAAUGUGCCGACAAAUCCUGAUAGGAGCUGCACAUAUCUCGUUCUCAGGGCACACUCAGAUUGUCCAAACUUCCGGGAGGCCAGCCCAGAGUUGCCCCUGGUAGCCACCGGCGGCUGACGGUUUGGACCAACACUCAGAGGAGCACUGGCCCGGGGGGGUUAAAAUAAGAUGACCCUUGAGUCUGCAGAACCCAAGGGAAAGAAAAUGCUAGGUGGCGAAUGGUAAAACCAAUGUUGGGCAUUGCUGGAAAAGCUUUAAUCAAGGCAAAAUAUCAAGGGGUUCCCAUUAUAACCCAACCGCGUAAGGAACGCAAAAAUCCGGGAACAUAACACCGAUAUGACGGAAACUAGGGCGGCAAGAGUGGAACAAAACACUAGGUGAGAGGCCGAGCCUUCCACCCUUCACCAAGUAUAGAGAUGCAUUAAGAUAACAUAGCAUUAUAAUGAUAUCCCAACAUGUAAAUAAAAGAUGUUCCAACAAGGAUCGGCCUCCAAUUUUCACCUGCAACUAGCAACGCUAUAAGAGGGGCUGAGCAAAGCGGUAACAUAGCCAAUCAACGGUUUGCUAGGACAAUGGUGGGUUAGAGGUUUGACAUGGAAAUUUGGGAGGCUUGCAAGCAAAUGGUAGGUAUCGUAGCAAUGGCAUAGCAAAAGAGCGAGCAAACUAGCAUAGCAAAGAUAAUAGUGAUUUCGAGGGUAUGAUCAUCUUGCCUGCACAGUUGUCAGAGUUGACUGGAUCCUCACAAGCAAAUUCAACGGGCUCCUCGGUAGCGAACUCGUCUCCCAGAUCUACCCAAACAAGACAAACAAGCAAUAAAGACACAAUCAACCACGUGCAAGCUCAAACAACAAGAUGCAAUGAUGACAUGCUAUGCGGGAUGCGAUGCGGGAUGCAAAAUGCAAGAUAUGACAGGAAAUGCAUGAAGCUGGCCUCAACUUGGAAUUCCAAGGGUGCCACUGGAAAGAUGAGAUGAAAUCGCUUGAAAACGAUAUAAAGAACGCCGGAAUCGGAGUUACGGUUUGGAAAUGGCAAGCGUUUCAAAAAUGACACCGGUCUGCGAUUUACAGCAAGUAGGCAUCUAAACGCAAUGAGAUGAACAUGCUACAGCAACCAAACAAGACAACAAAAUACAUGGCAGGGAUGUACAUAAGAUGCUUAACAAAAGUCUAGCACUGAGCUACGGCCAAUUCAUCCAUUAUGAGGUUCAAACAAGCAUGUCAAAAACGCAAAUGCAAAACAGAUUUCAGACUUAGUGAAAUUAACACUUGUCUGAAAUUUCAGAUCAUGAAGCCCUCUUCGGAGCAGCAAAACAACAUGAUACAUGACCUGAUCAAGACAAGUAAUAACAUGGCAUGGAGCUACUCAACAAGCUUAACAAAAGACCUAAAGUGACCUGGGGCCAAAAGGCUUCACAAAAUAUACUAACGGGCACACGAGCAUAGCUAAAACACAAUCAGUUCUCAGACUUUGUGAAAACUGGGACAUGCUGAAAUAUAACUCACGAAGGCACGUAAACGAGCUCGAUGCACUCACUACGGUGCAAGUCAUGGCAAGGAAAGCAUACAUCCAUUAAGAAGGCACAAAAUACAAGCUAGACAUGGCAAGAACAAAGUCAUAGCAUGCAUGGAUCAACUACAAUAGCAUCGGCAAAAUCGCAAACUAGUUGACGAUCUGCCCAGAUUCACCACGAAGCAAAAGUAGAGCUCGAUUGACUCAAGCUAGGGUGCUCCAUAAUUGCAAACAAAGACAUGGAUGUAUAAAGCAUAACAUUAUUAACAAAACUCCUUUACUGAUCAUCCUCAAAAGAGGCACGAAUCGCUAGAAAACAAGCUGAACAUAUGGCAUCAUGAACUAAAUAAUCCCAGACUUAGUGAAAACUACUAAGUCCCUGAAAACAGAUUUACCGGGUGCCUCACUUUGCAAGCUUGCACAAGUCACCACACACAUCCUAAAAAUGCAUGGGUUGCACCUCUGGAAAUAUAACAAGAUACUUAACAAAACAUAUGAAGGACUCACAGGCAUAUCAUGCACACAUUAAUCAUGGCAAAAAUGACAAAAGUCUAAGAUGAACUAGCAGAUCUGACAAUUUACCCAUGAAGCCUCCUUCUAACAGCAUUUCGGGCAUCAAGAUGAGCUCAAAUGAAAAUGAUGCAAUGGAAUGAAAUGAUGUACUCGUCCAGACAAACAUUUUGAUAUACUAUAUGCCCAAAUCGGAGCUACGGAUGCCGAGAUACGGCCGGUCAAAGUAGGCAUAAAAAAAUUAGGGGGAGAGGGGAAAAGUCAACCGGCUAGGGUAUUUUGGAUCUGGAUCUGGCGGCACGGAUCCCGAGGUUGACCCGCAACACUGCAGCUCUCCGGAGUGCUCAACGUCGCCGGAGAGGAAGGAGAGGCCGGGGCUCGCCGGGGUAGCCGGAUCCGGCCCGGUCGCCGGAGUUCGUCGGCAUGGAGGCGGCGGGGCGGCGCCGGCCCAGGGCGGCGAGGAGGCGGCGAGGGNNNNNNNNNNNNNNNNNNNNNNNNNNNNNNNNNNNNNNNNNNNNNNNNNNNNNNNNNNNNNNNNNNNNNNNNNNNNNNNNNNNNNNNNNNNNNNNNNNNNNNNNNNNNNNNNNNNNNNNNNNNNNNNNNNNNNNNNNNNNNNNNNNNNNNNNNNNNNNNNNNNNNNNNNNNNNNNNNNNNNNNNNNNNNNNNNNNNNNNNNNNNNNNNNNNNNNNNNNNNNNNNNNNNNNNNNNNNNNNNNNNNNNNNNNNNNNNNNNNNNNNNNNNNNNNNNNNNNNNNNNNNNNNNNNNNNNNNNNNNNNNNNNNNNNNNNNNNNNNNNNNNNNNNNNNNNNNNNNNNNNNNNNNNNNNNNNNNNNNNNNNNNNNNNNNNNNNNNNNNNNNNNNNNNNNNNNNNNNNNNNNNNNNNNNNNNNNNNNNNNNNNNNNNNNNNNNNNNNNNNNNNNNNNNNNNNNNNNNNNNNNNNNNNNNNNNNNNNNNNNNNNNNNNNNNNNNNNNNNNNNNNNNNNNNNNNNNNNNNNNNNNNNNNNNNNNNNNNNNNNNNNGGUGGAGGCGGCAGGGAGCGACACGUGGCAGGCGGCGGAUGGCUGGGCGCGGCGGGGCGGACACGUCCGGCCCAACUCGGACGUGUCCGUCGGCGGGGGAAGCGGCGGAUCUGGAAAAAUUAGGGUUUCGAGGGGGGGAGAGAUCUGAAAAACGGGGGGGGCUAUUUAUAGGCAUAAGUGGAGCUAGGAGAGUCCAAAAGAGGUGUGGUUUUCGGCCACGCGAUCGUGAUCGAACGCUCUAGGACAUGGAGCAGAGUUUGGUGGGUUUUGGGCCAAAAUGGAGGGGUGUUGGUCUGCAACACACACGAGGCCUUUUCGGUCCCUCGGUUAACCGUUGGAGUACCAAACGAAGUCCAAUUGAUACGAAACUUGACAGACGGUCUACCGGUAGUAAACCAAGGCCGCUUGGCAAGUCUCGGUCCAAUCCGGAAAUGUUUAAUCCCCACACACGAAAGAAAGCUAGAAAUGGCCACCGGAGGAGAACGAAGCGCCGGAAUGCAAAACGGACAACGGGGAAAAUGCUCGAAUGCAUGAGACGAACACGUAUGAGAAUGCAAUGCACAUGAUGACAUGAUAUGAGAUGCAUGAAAACGAAAACAACACACGGAGACAAAGACCCGAACCCGAGAAAUAAAUAUGACUUGACGCCGGAAACGGCAAGAGUUGGAGUACAAAUUGGGCAAGUUAUAUCUGGGGCGUUACAACACUCCACCACUACGAAAAGAUCUCGUCCCGAGAUCUAGGACUGAAAGAACUCCGGGUACUCAGAACGGAGGUGAUCCUCACGUUCCCAGGUAGCUUCACGGUCGGAAUGGUGUGACCAUUUGACUUUGAGAAAUUUGAUUGACUUGUUGCGAGUCUUGCGUUCAGUCUCUUCAAGAAUAGCAACUGGGUGCUCACGGUAAGAGAGAUCUUCUUGGAUCUCAAUGUCCUCAAAGUUGACGGUGCGGUCAGGAGUCUUGAAGCACUUUCGAAGCUGAGAGACAUGGAAUACAUCAUGAACAUUUGCAAAGUUUGAAGGAAGCUCAAGUUGAUAGGCAAGGUCGCCUCUCUUGCUGACAAUCUUGAAAGGUCCCACGUAUCUAGGGGCAAUCUUCCCUUUGAUACCGAAGCGACGAGUACCUUUCAUAGGAGAGACACGGAGGUAAACAUGAUCUCCGAUCUCGAAAGCCAAAUCAUGGUGCUUACUAUCAUAGUAGCUCUUCUGGCGGGAUUGGGCUGCUUUGAGGUUAUCACGAAUGACUUUGCACAUUUCUUCUGCUUUUGUGAUUAAGUCAUUACCCAGCAGCUGACAUUCACCGGUUUCAGACCAGGUGAGAGGGGUACGGCACUUCCUGCCAUACAAAAUUUCAAAAGGGGCCUUGCACGAACUUGCUUGAAAACUGUUGUUGUAUGAGAAUUCAGCAUAAGGAAGACAAUCCUCCCACUUCAUGCCGAAGGAGAUCACACAAGCCCUGAGCAUAUCUUCAAGAAUCUGGUUGACACACUCGACUUGACCGCUUGUUUGAGGAUGGAAAGCUGUGCUGAAGCGGAUGUUGGUGCCCAUGGCCUUCUGAAAAGAAUCCCAAAACUUCGAGGUAAAGAUGCUGCCACGGUCUGAAGAGAUCACUUGAGGAAUACCGUGCAGAGAGACAAUUCGAGAGGUAUAGAGUUCCGCCAAUUGAGCUGCAGUGAUCGACUCUUUGAUAGGCAGAAAGUGAGCCACUUUGGUGAGUUUGUCGAUGACAACGAAUAUAGCAUCAUUGCCACGCUUGGACUUUGGAAACCCAGUCACGAAGUCCAUUUCAAUGUGGUCAAACUUCCAUUCUGGAAUGGCAAGAGGUUGGAGGAGACCUGCUGGCCUUUGGUGUUCUGCCUUCACUCUUCUGCAGACAUCACAUUCAUUCACGAAUUGAGCAAUCUCGCGCUUCAUUCGAGUCCACCAAUAAGCUUGCUUAAGGUCCUGAUACAUCUUCGUGCUCCCAGGGUGGAUGGAGAGGAGAGAAUUGUGAGCCUCGUUCAUGAUCACUUUACGGAGGUCACCUUUGGGCACAACAAUACGAUCCUCGAAGAAGAGAGUGUCCUUGUCAUCAAGGCGGUAGCACUUGUACUUGGACUGGCUCUUGGCAAUCCCAAUCUUCACCUUUUUCACCAUAGCAUCAAGAAGCUGAGCUUGGCGAAUCUGGUCUUCUAAGGUAGGAGAGACUUGAAGGUUGGCGAGGAAUCCUUGAGGAACAACUUGCAGAUUAAGUUUGCGGAAAGCUUCACAAAGCUCGGGUUGAUAGGGCUUGAGAAUCAGACUGUUGUAGUAGGCCUUUCUGCUCAAAGCGUCGGCAAUCACAUUGGCCUUGCCUGGAGUAUACUCGAUACUCGGAUUAUACUCUUGAAUCAUUUCGACCCAUCGAGUUUGCCUGAGGUUGAGAUUAGGCUGCAUGAAAAUGUACUUGAGACUCUUGUGAUCAGUGAAAAUGUCCACUUUUCUUCCCAAUAGAAGAUGUCUCCAAGUCAAAAGAGCAUGCACAACCGCCGCCAACUCGAGAUCAUGAGUGGGGUAGUUCUUCUCAUUAGGCUUCAGCUGGCGAGAUGUAUAAGCAACAACUUUCUUCUCUUGCAUCAAUACUACGCCAAGACCUUGGAGAGAGGCAUCACAAAAGACCUCGUACGGCUUGGAUUCAUCACGCGGAGUCAAAACUGGAGCAGUGAUCAACUUCUCUUUCAAAGUGUUGAAAGCAAUAUCACACUCCGGAGACCAAAUGUACUUGACGUGCUUCUGAAGAAGAUUAGAGAGAGGCUUCGCGAUCUUGGAAAAGUUUUCGACGAAUCUUCGGCAAUAGCUUGCGAGACCGAGAAAACUGCGGAGUUGCUUCACGUUCUGAGGAGGUUCCCAAUUCACAAUUGCAGACACCUUCUCAGGAUUCACGGCAAUGCCCUUGGCAGAGAUGAUAUGACCAAGAUAAAGAACCUCAUCGAGCCAAAAUUCACACUUGGAGAACUUGGCGUAGAACUGAUGUUCCCUGAGCUUAUCAAGAACCAAACGCAAAUGCUGGCAUGAUCUUCCUUGUUCUUCGAGAAAACUAGAAUGUCGUCGAGAUAGACCAAAACAAAGUCAUUGGUGUAGGCAUUGAAGAUGAAAUUCAUCAUGCGAGAGAACGUCGGAGGAGCGUUGGCGAGGCCAAAAGACAUGACAGUGUAUUCAUAUGAACCAAAGCUUGUUCUAAAUGCUGUCUUGGGAAUAUCUUCUUCACGAAUGCGAAUCUGGUGAUAACUCAUGCGGAGAUCAAGCUUGGAGAAUACUUGGGCACCUUUGAGUUGUUCGAACAGCUCAUUGAUGUUGGGAAGUGGGUAUUUGUUCUUGAUGGUCUUCUUGUUCACUAGACGGUAAUCAACACAAAGUCGGUCCGUUCCAUCCUUCUUCUUCACAAAAAGAACACCACAACCCCACGGAGAAGAACUAGGCUGGAUGAGACCCAUUCUUUCUUGCUCAUCGAGUUGCUUCUUUAGCUCCUUCAACUCUUCAGGUCUGAGCUUGUAAGGACGUUUGCACACAGGUUCCAUGCCAGGCUCAAGUUCAAUAACGAAUUCAACUGGCCGGUGCGGAGGCAUUCCUGGGAGCUCUUCUGGAAAGACGUCUUGAUAUUCUCAAACGACUGGAAUUUGAGAGAUGGCAUCCAAUUCACCCUUCUCAUUGAGAGAAAACAGACGGAUGGAAUUAUUCCGAGCGGCAAAGACAAUUACAUCCUCGGUCGAAUGAGUCAAUUGAAUCUGCCUGGCUGCACAAUCAAACUGAGCCUUGUGCUUAGAAAGCCAAUCCAUGCCGAGAAUAAGAUCAAUAUCUGAGUUACCAAGAACCAUUGGAGAAGCCAGAAACUUGAAAUCACCCAUCAUGAUAGAAAUAUCCGGAACCUCGUGAUUAGCAAGCAAACAUUUAUCCGGAGAGACGACUGCGAACGGUUUAUGCAUAACUUGGGAAGUCAACUCAUGGUUAGAUGCAAAAGGUUUUGAGAUGAAGCAAUGCGAUGCACCAGUGUCAAAAAGAACUUUUGCAGGUUUAUCAUUAACAGGAAGGUUACCCAUGAUCACAUCUGACGAGUCCUCUGCCUGAGCUGCAUUCAUCAAAUUGACCUUGGCAUGCUUGGGGUUAUGCUUGACCAUAGCUGUACUUGCCGAUCUGACAGGAGGAGGAGGAGGAAGACGCCUCUGGUUGAAACACUUGUUGGCAUAGUGACCCUUCUGUUGGCACUUGUUGCACAUGACCUCUGAAAGCGGACGGUGAUACGGAGCACUCGAUCUUGGAGCUUGAGACGAAGUCUUGUUCUGAAAGCCAGGGUUGGGUGGGUGGGAAGAACCACUGCCACCUUUGCUCUUCUGCUGAUACGGCUGACGGAACGGAGGAGGAGGAAGCCAAAACUUCUGCUGCUUGGCCACUUGAGUAGAGGAAGAAGGAGUAACAUCCCUGACUCGCUUCCUGGAAGCAUCACACCUCAACUGAGUAGCCUCUUGCUUCAGUGCCAUGUUGUAGAACUCAUCGUAUCUCAAUGGCUCGAAGAGAACAAGAGCGAGCUGAAUAUCUUCUCUGAGACCACCCAUGAACUGAUAUAUCAUGCUCUUCUCAUCAGGCACGUCCUGCUUGGCAAAGCGGGCGAGCUUCUGGAACAACUUGUUGUAGUCAUAGACAGACAAAGAGCCUUGCUUCAGAUUGCGGAAUUCCUCACGCUUGCUUUCAACCACGCUCUGCGGAAUAUGAUGAGCUCGGAAAUCUCGACGGAAAUCAUCCUAAGUGAUAACACGUCCACCUCUGGAGUCCUUGUACUGCUGGAACCAUUCUGCAGCUUGAUCUUUGAGUUGGAAGGAAGCGAACUUGACAAAGUCCUCAGGCCUGACGUUACUGCACUCAAAAUGCUUACACAGAUCCACAAGCCAAUCGUCAGCAUCGGUUGCCUCAACACAAUUGCUGAAAGUCUUUGGCCCGUUAGCAAGGAACUGGUUGAGUGUAGCAAAGUGACUCUGAUUGCUGCCUUGAUUCCCUUGACUGCCUUGAUUGCGCUCUUGAAGAAUUUGCAUGAUCAGCUGUGUGUUUGCAUUGGUUGCGGCCAUCACAGCUUGCCAUGCCUCUGGAGGAGGUGGAGGUGGUGGCGGAUCAGGAUUCAGAGUCGUGCGCGUUGGAGGAGCCAUCCUGAAGAGGUUGACCACCAUUAGCACAUUGAUAGAUAAAUAUUGAAGCUGAAUCCAACGGAAUGAAAAUUGCAACAUAUAGUCUUCACAUCCGAACAAAAUGAACGAAUGCAUUCCUCUUGAAAUGGUCACAUAUCCAUAAAUUGAGAAGCCACGUAGAAUUAAGGUAGAGAAAUAAAUCAACAAGGUACGGAUCGAGAACGAAUAAUUGGUAAGAAAUCCCAAUCUCAAACCAAUAUCUGUGGAAGAAGAACUAGAGCUACUAGAAUUCCCACCUAUGAAACUCCCGAACCUUUCCGGUUAUGCAAUCAGGUGUUGGGGAUACAGGGGAAGCAUAAUAUCUCACCCAAACUAGCAAAUCCUACAUCCAGCUGUAUCCAUCCUUCAACACAUAACCGAGAAAAACUUUGGAAACCAUCUACCUCAACCUUCGAAAAUCAUCCGUUAUACAAGUUAUGGCGAUACUCCCGAACUCCCGCCCCAGUACUGGGUGGCGUCGAGGUUAUCUCACCAACGAACUGCAUAAAAGAGAUUUUCGAUGUCGGCGAAAAUAUCUCAAGUAUUCCAGAAUUGCAACGAUAAAAUUAUGAUGACAACACCUCAGAGCUCAACUCCCCGGGACACUUCCACUAAACCCCUGACAGGAGGCACCAAGACAAUGUUCUCAUCAUAAGCCAUCGGAACGAUUCCAAGAUACUCGCGUGAUCCUAAAAUCUUUUUUUAGUGAAAUUUGAGAAGAGAAGAGUCAAAACUCUACGUCAGGAUGCCUUACCAGAGCGAUGAGGAGACUGGGAAGUAAAAAGAAUUCCUAAACUCUCUGAUAUAUAAUUCCUAACUGACUCAAAACAUUUUUCUAGACACAACUCGGCCGCUAAAAACGAUCAAGCAAUGGGGCUCCUAAGGUCGGGGAAGGCUCUGAUUACCAACUUGUAACACCCUCGAUGCGACUAUAGCUCCCACGUGUCCAGGCACGACUUAGAGACAUAAUCACAUUGAAGGCAUAUGUCGCAAGUUAGACAAUCUUCACAACAUCCCAUGUAAUGUGAAUAAUAAAGGGGAGAUAACAUAGUUGGCUUACACUCGCCACGUCAAUCAAGAACAUAAAUAACAUUACAUCAUCCAACACACUCAUGGCCCGACUACGGCGCCAAAAUAAAGAGAACCAACAUGCGACAACAGUCCCAAUCACCCCCAACUGGGCACCACUACUGAUCAUCGGGAAAGGAAACGUAGUAACGCUGAGAGUCUUCGUCAAACUCCCACUUGAGCUCGUACUCGUCACCUGGAGCGGAAACACCUGGACCUACAUCUGGAGUUAUAGUAUCUGUGAGUCACAGGGACUCAGCAAUCUCGCACCCUCGCGAUCAAGACUAUUUAAGCUUAUAGGAAGGGUAAGGCAAAUAUGUGUGGAGCUACAGCAAGCGACUAGCAUAUAUGGUGGCUAUCUUAUUCGCAAAAGAGAGCGAGAAGAGGAGGCAAGGCACGAGCGAGAAACUAGAGAGCAACCUGCGCAAACAUUACUCCAACACCGUGUCCACUUCCCGGACUCCGCCGAGAAGAGGCCAUCACAGUAACACACUCAGUUGAUUCAGUUUAAUUAAGUUAAGGUUCAAGUUAUCUACAACCGGACAUUAACAAAUUCCCAUCUGCCCAUAAUCGCGGGCAUGGCUUUCGAAACUUCAAUCCCUGCAGGGGAGUCCCAUCUUAGCCCAUGACAAGCUCUCACGGUCAACGAAGGAAUAUACCUCCUCCCAAGACGUUCCGAUCAGACUCGGUAUCUCGGUAACUCAAGACACUUCGACAGGUUAAAACAAGACCAGCAACACCGCCCGAAUGUGCCGACAAAUCCCGAUAGGAGCUGCACAUAUCUCAUUCUUAGGGCACACUCAGAUUGUCCAAACUUUCAGUAGGCCAGCCCAGAGUUGCCCCUAGUAGCCACCGGCGGCUGACGGUUUGGACCAACACUCAGAGGAGCACUGGCCCGGGGGGGGGGGUUAAAAUAAGAUGACCCUUGAGUCCGCAGAACCCAAGGGAAAGAAAAGGCUAGGUGGGGAAUGGUAAAACCAAUGUUGGGCAUUGCUGGAAAAGAUUUAAUCAAGGCGAAAUAUGAAGGGGUUCCCAUUAUAACCCAACCGCGUAAGGAACGCAAAAAUCCGGGAACAUAACACCGAUAUGACGGAAACUAGGGUGGCAAGAGUGGAACAAAACACUAGGCGAGAGGCCGAGCCUUCCACCCUUCACCAAGUAUAUAGAUGCAUUAAGAUAACAUAGCAUUAUAAUGAUAUCCCAACAAGUAAAUAAAAUAUGUUCCAACAAGGAACGACCUCCAAUUUUCACCUGCAACUAGCAACGCUAUAAGAGGGGCUGAGCAAAGCGGUAACAUAGCCAAUCAACGGUUUGCUAGGACAAUGGUGGGUUAAAGGUUUGACAUGGCAAUUUGGGAGGCUUGCAAGCAAAUCGUAGGCAUCGUAGCAAUGGCAUAGCAAAAGAGCGAGCAAACUAGCAUAGCAAAGAUAGUAGUGACUUCGAGGGUAUGAUCAUCUUGCCUGCACAGUUGUCAGAGUUGACUGGAUCCUCACAAGCAAAUUCAAUGGGCUCCUCGGUAGCGAACUUGUCUCCCGGAUCUACCCAAACAAGACAAACAAGCAACAAGGACACAAUAAACCACGUGCAAGCUCAAACAACAAGAUGCAAUGAUGACAUGCUAUGCGGGAUGCGAUGCGGGAUGCAAAAUGCAAGAUAUGACAGGAAAUGCAUGAAGCUGGCCUCAACUUGGAAUUCCAAGGGUGCCACUGGAAAGAUGAGAUGAAAUCGCUUGAAAACGAUAUAAAGAACGCCGGAAUCGGAGUUACGGUUUGGAAAUGGCAAGCGUUUCAAAAAUGACACCGGUCUGCGAUUUACAGCAAGUAGGCAUCUAAACGCAAUGAGAUGAACAUGCUACAGCAACCAAACAAGACAACAAAAUACAUGGCAGGGAUGUACAUAAGAUGCUUAACAAAAGUCUAGCACUGAGCUAUGGCCAAUUCAUCCAUUAUGAGGUUCAAACAAGCAUGUCAAAAACGCAAAUGCAAAACAGAUUUCAGACUUAGUGAAAUUAACACUUGUCUGAAAUUUCAGAUCACGAAGCCCUCUUCGGAGCAGCAAAACAACAUGAUACAUGACCUGAUCAAGACAAGUAAGAACAUGGCAUGGAGCUACUCAACAAGCUUAACAAAAGACCCAAAGUGACCUGGGACCAAAAGGGUUCUCAAAAUAUACUAACGGGCACACGAGCAUAGCUAAAACACAAUCAGUUCUCAGACUUUGUGAAAACUGGGACAUAUGCUGAAAUAUAACUCACGAAGGCACGUAAACGAGCUCGAUGCACUCACUACGGUGCAAGUCAUGGCAAGGAAAGCAUACAUCCAUUAAGAAGGCACAAAAUACAAGCUAGAUAUGGCAAGAACAAAGUCAUAGCAUGCAUGGAUCAACUACAAUAGCAUCGGCAAAAUCGCAAACUAGUUGACGAUCUGCCCAGAUUCGCCACGAAGAAAAAGUAAAGCUCGAUUGACUCAAGCUAGGGUGCUCCAUAAUUGCAAACAAAGACAUGGAUGGAUAGAGCAUAACAUUAUUAACAAAACUCCUUUACUGAUCAUCCUCAAAAGAGGCACGAAUCGCUAGAAAACAAGCUGAACAUAUGGCAUCAUGAACUAAAUAAUCCCAGACUUAGUGAAAACUACUAAGUCCCUGAAAACAGAUUUACCGGGUGCCUCACUUUGCAAGCUUGCACAAGUCACCACACACAUCCUAAAAAUGCAUGGGUUGCACCUCUGGAAAGAUAACAAGAUACUUAACAAAACAUAUGAAGGACUCACAGGCAUAUCAUGCACACAUUAAUCAUGGCAAAAAUGACAAAAGUCUAAGAUGAACUAGCAGAUCUGACAAUUUACCCAUGAAGCCUCCUUCUAACAGCAUUUCGGGCAUCAAGAUUAGCUCAAAUGAAAAUGAUGUAAUGGAAUGAAAUGAUUUACUCGUCCAGACGAACAUUUUGAUAUACUAUAUGCCCAAAUCGGAGCUACGGAUGCGGAGAUACGGCCGGUCAAAGUAGGCAUAAAAAAAUUAGGGGGAGAGGGGAAAAGUCAACCGGCUAGGGUAUUUUGGAUCUGGAUCUGGCGGCACGGAUCCCGAGGUUGACCCGCAACACUGCAGCUCGCCGGAGUGCUCGACAUCGCCGGAGAGGAAGGAGAGGCCGGGGCUCGCCGGGGUAGCCGGAUCCGGCCCGGUCGCCGGAGUUCGUCGGCGUGAAGGCGAGGGGGCGGCACCGGCCCGGGGCGGCGAGGAGGCGGCGAGGGGCGGCCGGCCGGNNNNNNNNNNNNNNNNNNNNNNNNNNNNNNNNNNNNNNNNNNNNNNNNNNNNNNNNNNNNNNNNNNNNNNNNNNNNNNNNNNNNNNNNNNNNNNNNNNNNNNNNNNNNNNNNNNNNNNNNNNNNNNNNNNNNNNNNNNNNNNNNNNNNNNNNNNNNNNNNNNNNNNNNNNNNNNNNNNNNNNNNNNNNNNNNNNNNNNNNNNNNNNNNNNNNNNNNNNNNNNNNNNNNNNNNNNNNNNNNNNNNNNNNNNNNNNNNNNNNNNNNNNNNNNNNNNNNNNNNNNNNNNNNNNNNNNNNNNNNNNNNNNNNNNNNNNNNNNNNNNNNNNNNNNNNNNNNNNNNNNNNNNNNNNNNNNNNNNNNNNNNNNNNNNNNNNNNNNNNNNNNNNNNNNNNNNNNNNNNNNNNNNNNNNNNNNNNNNNNNNNNNNNNNNNNNNNNNNNNNNNNNNNNNNNNNNNNNNNNNNNNNNNNNNNNNNNNNNNNNNNNNNNNNNNNNNNNNNNNNNNNNNNNNNNNNNNNNNNNNNNNNNNNNNNNNNNNNNNNNNNNNNNNNNNNNNNNNNNNNNNNNNNNNNNNNNNNNNNNNNNNNNNNNNNNNNNNNNNNNNNNNNNNNNNNNNNNNNNNNNNNNNNNNNNNNNNNNNNNNNNNNNGCUGGGCGCGGCGGGGCGGACACAUCCGGCCUGAUUCGGACGUGUCCGUCGGUGGGGAAAGCGGCGGAUCUGGAAAAAUUAGGGUUUCGAGGGGGAGAGAGAUCCGAAAAACGGGGGGGGCUAUUUAUAGGCAUAAGUGGAGCUAGGAGAGUCCAAAAGAGGUGCGGUUUUCGGCCAAGUGAUCGUGAUCGAACGCUCUAGGACAUGGAGUAGAGUUUGGUGGGUUUUGGGCCAAAAUGGAGGGGUGUUGGGCUGCAACACACAUGAGGCCUUUUCGGUCCCUCGGUUAACCGUUGGAGUACCAAACGAAGUCCAAUUGAUACGAAACUUGACAGGCGGUCUACCGGUAGUAAACCAAGGCCGCUUGGCAAGUCUCGGUCCAAUACGGAAAUGUUUAAUCCCCACACACGAAAGAAAGCUAGAAAUGGCCACCGGAAGAGAACGAAGCGCCGGAAUGCAAAACGGACAAUGGGGAAAAUGCUCGAAUGCAUGAGACGAACACGUAUGCGAAUGCAAUGCACAUGAUGACAUGAUAUGAGAUGCAUGAAAACGAAAAUAACACACGGAGACAAAGACCCGAACCCGAGAAAUAAAUAUGACUUGAUGCCGGAAACGGCAAGAGUUGGAGUACAAAUUGGGCAAGUUAUAUCUGGGGCGUUACAGCAAUUCUCAACUUUAUGAGUAACCAUUUUGUAGAUAAAACAAUUCUUGGGAUUGACACAUUUAUCCAAAUGAUGCCUUGGUUCCCCACAGUUGUAGCAGAUCACCUCAGAGUAUGCCAUAAGGCCCGAAGCAGGGGCAGGAGCAGUUUUCUGGAUGUCCUGUCUCUUCUUUUGCUGAUUCUUGCCUUGAGAUUUCCCACUGAUCUGAGAGUCAGAACCACCAGCAGAUUGAUCUUGGGCAAUUACAGGAGCCUGCCCAGAUUGUGCCCCCAUUUGGGGCAGAUGUGGGCCGUACCACUGCCCAACCGGCGCUCCCCCCCCCCAUUGUGAUAGGGCAAAUUCAUUGGAGUUCCUGGUUCCUUCUCAUCCUCCAGCCAGAUGUUGUCUCUCAGGAAGCAGAAAUAACCACCAAACAGCUCAAUUGAAGCAGAUUGCAAGCCUAAUUUCAAUCUUCUUCAGGUUUGGGGGAGAGGUAAGGUACGGGAUCCACCUGCUCCGGCUCUGAUGGCGUGCUGGUGGGCAUGAGUCCAGUCAAGCAUUCCCAUCUCGCAGCACGGUGUGGAUCUCCUGAAUUCACUUCUCCUUUCGCCCAUCGAACGAACGUAAUCGGCGACUCCCUGGGGUGGGGCAUCCUGUGCUUCUCCGAGAAAUCUCCUUCGAAGUAGAUCCGCAUGGCUAGAUUCAGCAGCUCCCAAUCCACAUGAUCCUUACACAUCCGAGCAUACCUGCGCGAGUGAGAAAACAGAUUCGGUCCCUCCUCGGCUUCCUCCCUCGCAGCUUCCUCCUCUGCUUCCCUCCAUUCGCGCGUGCACUGGGUCCAGGAGAGAGCGUCGUCGCAGAUCCGCAUCGCCCGCUCCCUCCAUCUCCUCCCUCGAGUCUCCCGCAGCACCGCCGGCACGACGGAGUUGAGCGGCUGGAGCAUCCGCGGGAAGCCUUUGUAGACAUGUGGGAGAUGCAUCUUGUACAUCUGCCUGUCUUCCAACCAUUCCCCCGUGGAUAUGGUCGGCGACUCCAUGGGGCACGCGAGUGGACUUUCUGAGGGGGUAGGUGCGCCCGGAGUCAGGAGGCAGGGGUGGCGGCGAGAUCUAUGGCGGCGGCAAGGGUGGAGGUAGUGGCGGGGGCGGCGGCAAGGGUGGAGGUGGUGGCGGGGGCGAAGGGGAUCGCGAGAGCAGUCAUCUAUUUGCCAAUUAUGUGAACUAAACAGUCAACAUAUAAAAUAAUUUAAAUAUAUAUAAUAUAGUUAUAAGCGAAACAUAAGUUGAACCUAACGUUCCUAUUCUUAUAUAGAAAAAUAGAACACACCUCUGCGUUUUCUUCAAAAAAUACAUAAAUUGGGCUACCAAAAAUAAAAUCUCGGAUGGGAGGUCCAUAGGCCGGUCGAUACAUGAUGGCCCUAAUAAAAUACAAACAGGGCUAUGGACCUCCCAUCCGAGGUCGUGGGCUGCGCAUGUUAAAAAUGAAAGCCUAGACGGGGCAGCCCAAAACCACGUCCAACACUUGCCAAAACUUCGUCCCUCGUUUUCUCUCUGUUUUGCACACUCGACAUUGUGUGGGCAUUUUGACUGUGCAUCAUAUGAAGAUGUGCUAUGCAUGAAUGUUGAUCAGCAUGAUGUUAACUAGCUGGUAGUUCCAUUUUCGACCAUGAAUAAAACUUCCAACAUGAUGUUAACCCUGUUUGAAAAGGCUGUUUUAAUAUAAAUGCUAUGUCUCUGAAAGUUGCAGCUUCUUAUCUGAAACUGAAGUUGCAGUUUCUUAUCUGAAACUGAAACUUGCAGUUUCUUCUCUGAGAAUCACAUUGUCUGCACUUUUAUACUCUUAUGAAACUACAUUUUUUAAGUGCUAAAAAUAAAUAUCUAGAAUUCAUAAAAUACUUCAUAUGCUCAAUACCGCAAAUCUGAAAUUCAAAAGACAUUCAUAUCUGAAAGUACUCUCAAAAUACACAACACAAAACACAAUUCACAACCUGCAAAUACUGAAAACCCUAAGCUCCUCCUGAAAAUUCACAACCUGCCCGACUAUUGGGCUGGGGGGGCAGCCCCCUCCUAUUCCUCGGCCGCAGACAGCCACCCCGUGAGAUGAUGUGAACGGCGAGGGAGACGAUGGCGGGGAAGCGUCGUCGGGCCAACUGCUUUUCUCCUCUUGCAGUUGGGUUCGGUCAACGAAGACUCCACCGGCUCGCUCUGGCAGGACACCCUCACAAACGGCACCCUGUAGAUGCUCGAUCCUUCAAUCUCUGGUGGAUGCUCCAUCUGGGAUCGAUACUCCCACCACCGCUCCCUCACGAUCGGAUUCGGCGAAUCUGUUUGCUCCAUGGCCCAGAGGAGCAGCUCUAUGUACUCCAGCGUGACUCCCUCCGGGAGUAUCGCCGCCUUUUCGCUCUGUUGCAGAUAUUUGGCCAUGGAUGUCGCUGUCGCCACUAGUUGGUCCUUGUUGUCAAACCAAGACUGUAUCUCCAACAUCCUACCUAGCUUCACAGAGUCGCCGUCUGCGAUCCUCACGUAUCGGUUGUACUCCUCCGUCGAUCUACUUAUCCACAGCACCUUCACUUGCCGGCGGUGGUUUUUGAAUGGAAGAGGAGAGGAGCAGCGCUGGUUUUGGAUUAGAACGGGAGAGGAGCGACGCUGGUUUUGGACUGGAACAGGAGAGGAGGGGCAGUGGUUUUGAAAUGGAAGAGGAGAGGAGUUGCGUUGCAUUUAGAUUGGAACAGGAGAGGAGCGGCGGUGGUUUAAGAGGAGAAGAGCAGAAGAGCGGCGCUGGUCUUGGAAGUAUUUUUUUGUUGUUUUGCGUAUUUUGGGUCAAAGUUUGACCACGUACUAUAUUUGAGAAGCAAAAUGUGAAUGCAUGUCACCAAAAAUUGUAUCGUUUCGUUCGUAUCUGAAUGUACUUUCAAAUUAUAUUAUUUUUUUAAGGUAUAACAUAUAUUUUAUGUGCGAAAAUCAUGGUCAAUUAUGACCCAGAAUAAAAGGGAGACUAGUUAAUGUGGGGUCGCUUUCUUAAUUGAAGGGUAAAUUGAUUUUGAUUUUGAUCCAGUCACAGCGCGCCGGCCCUCUCGUCCAAUCCUAAAUCACUGCCGCACGCUCCUCUCCCUCUUCUCCAUUGCAAAACCACCUCCUCUCCUCUCCAUCAUCUUCAUUCCGAAACCACCGUCUCGCCUCUCCCUCUUCUGAUCUUCUCCAUUGCAAAACCACCUCCUCUCCUCUCCAUCAUCUCCAUUCCAAAACCACCGUCUCGCCUCUCCCUCUUCCUUAUUGCAAGACCACCGUCUCUCCUCCGUUUUCUAUACGCUUUGCUCCAUGGCGUGGGCGCAAUCCAUGGAUACAAAAUUAGUAUACUGUAUACUAUUUAAAAGUAGAGGGCGGGGCUUUUCCUGCACGGUAGGCGGCGGGGCAGUUCCGCCUAGUCGGUUCGACAGAGACGCGAGAAGAUGAGGGAGUAGGCUGCUGCAAAUGUAGGGCUGUGUGAUUUGACAGCGAGUUACUGCUGGACAGGUGGGGCCUCGUGAUUUGACUUGCCAUUAUCAUUUUAACUGCGGCGCUACGACCGGCGUGAGUCUCCCAAUUCCUGACCACCUCCAUACAGGUGCCUCUCCCAAUGCUCCACCAUGUAAGAGAGGUUGGCUCUUGCAUGAGAGCCCACUUCUCCACUUUUUCCUUGCCUCUCUUUCCUCCACAUAUGCAAAAAUUCCAUGUAAAGCGCACUAUUGUACUUACUUUUACUUGCUCCUACGGGUGCUUAAGCUUGCCACAUAGGCAUAAAGUCUGAUGUGGGAAGUUCAUCAAGAAGAGAGAGACUAAUUUGGUGACCCAAGGAAGAAACGGUGCUAAGCGCGUGUACCUAGGUGAAAAGACAAUUUUGAGUCUAUAGCUAAUUAAAUGAAGGAAACUUAGCAACACCAUUUCAUUGGAAGAGGUCACUCCUUGGCAAAUGCAAUAAAUACUAGUACUCCCUCUGUCCCAUAAUAUAAGAACGUUUUUGGCACUACACUAGUGUCAAAAACAUUCUUAUAUAUGGGACGGAGGGAGUACGAACAAAGAGACAGAGAGGAGUAAAAAAUACACUUAUAGCCAACCUUAUAGCCAACCUUGUUGUAGUAUGAGUGACUAAGUGAUGACUAUGUAUGACAUGCCAACAUCAGAUAGCCUAACACACCGUGUUAAAUCUCCAAGGGCGCGACCGCGCGAGCUACGUGACGGUCGUGGUAGGCGCGACCAUGAUAUGGGCUGCUGGCAGCCCUUGGAUCUGAGAUCAAAAGGUCGCAUGCUAAGUUGCUAAAAAUUUGCAGAAUAACCCUCCAGGAUAGGAUAUUCACCCAUAGGUCUAGAAUCACGCCAUGCAACCGUUCGAUCUCAGAUCCAAGGGCUCUCAGAAGCCCGUACCAUGGGAGAAUGGAAAGCCACUACCCUGUCGUUCGCACGCUGGCAGUUCGCUCCUACUCGUCCCCACACGUCCUUCAAUACUACGACGGUUCGCUCCUAGUCGUCCUGUCCAUUCACAUUCGGUGGUUCCACUAAUCCUAACCCUCCUCCCAAAUCCAUGGUGUCCCAAAUCUCCAUGAUCGGCAGUGAGUACAAGGUUAGAACCAUCACCGGCGAUGAGUUCGACGUCAUCUACACCUGUUCUUCCGUGACGGUGAAAGGAUGCCUUUCUCGCUUCAGACGCAUGUUCGAAAACUGAGAUGAUGAGUGGGUCGCUGGGCUAGAUGUUGAGUACACCACAGUCCUGGGACCAGAGAAGGAUCUAAAGGACGAAGAGAGGAAGAAGCCCGCCGUGGUCCAGGUUUGCGUGCAUGACUUAUGCUUGGUCUACCACAUAUGCCAUGCCGACGUUGAGUUCCAGGAUUUUAAGGACUUCCUCGAGAGCAACCUAGUCAAAUUCGUUACUGUAGACUUUAAGAACGACAGGGAUGUCCUGCGUCGGAUAGGUCUCGUUGUAGGCAACCCCUUCGACCUCCAGAAGAAUCGGCUGGUGUCCUCUCGUCAGCCUUCAAUGCUAACCCUGGCAGGAGCCAUGGUUCAUCCUUCGUACGGUAAACUGGAGAAACCUCCAUACACGUUUCAUCAUCAUGCAUGGCAGCGGAAUGUACUAGAUAUAGACCACAUCCACUACGCUGCAAUGGAUGGCUACCUUUGCUUCAAUAUCUACAAGGGUUGGAUGAAGAGCAACAGCCAAGUGUGCGGUUCAAGCAAAGAAGUAUCGGCCAAGAGGAAGAGGGACAAGGACGAAGUCGAGCACGUGGACGAGGACUCCGAGUAAGGUGGCAGUGUCGUUGCUCAUGGUGGUUCUAAUGCAGUGUCUACCAGAAUAGUUGCAAAGUUUAAUUUCAGGUGUGCUUAAUUUAAUUUGAGGGGUGUGUUGUGCUGAGCCCCCAGCAGAACUAUGUUAUGUUUCUUCUCGUUACUUUAACUCUUCGGUAUGUACAUACUAGUAUUUCUUACAUUUCAUCUUUUAGUUGGUAUAGUACUACCACUCGUUUCUUCACAUUAUAUACGUACAAUAUAUAUGGCCAACAUCAUAUAGCCAACAGUGCUUAGUUUUGUCAAAGAAUUCCAGGAUGUUUAGAGGGUGCUUGGAUCCAAGGGACUUAUUUUAGUCUGACUAAAAAUAGUCUCUUUAAGAGGCUAAAGUUCCAAGCACCCCUGACAAAAGAGGGGCUAAAACUAGUCUUGAGACUAAAAAAUUUUAGUCAGGGGUACCCCUACUAAAAUGUGGGUUGGUCCUCUCUCUACUCAUUUAACUCCUCUCCUUUAACACAGACGAAUUCUGGAUUGGAGGAUUUGGAGGAUAAUAAAUGCUCAUUAACUUGAUUUUAGCCUUUUUAGUAUUUGGAUCCAAGCAUGGGUGAGGCUAGGAUGUUUUAGUCCCACUACUUUUAGUCAUGGGACUAAAACGUAUCCAAGCACCCUCUUAGUUUUAUUUGAGGGGUGGGUUGUACUGGACACCAUUAUUGUGACUAGCCUUUUUAAUAGUAGUAUAUGCAUAAUUUGGCGACGAGCGCUCUCUAUAUGUACCACCUUUUUUUUAAUUUCAAGUUUUGCUCCAUGGCGCAAUCCAUCGAUACUACUGCUGUACAAAAGUAUACAUUUUUUAAAAGGCUAGAGGGCGGGGCAGUCUAGCUUGGUCGGUUUCAUGAGAGGCGAGGGCCUUUGUGAUUUGACGGCUCAUUACUGCUGGAAGGCGGGGCCUUGUGAUUUGACUGCUCGUAUAAAUGCGCCGACGACCUGAUCGAGGAGGAGCAAAGAACCGUGCGGUAUACUCAAGUUUUCCACUGGAGUAGUACUGCGAUGGAGGAGCACGAAACACGGCAGCCCAGUGUCAUAUGGCGAUAAAAAAUUGAUCUAAUUUGCUAGUCAUCUCAUUGUUAGCAUUGUUCUAUUCAUUCCCUCAAAAAAACCAUUGUUCUAUUCAUGCCUCGCAGAGAACGUGACAUGUGCGGCGAAAUACCCGAAGCAAAAGAUGAAACACAGGAGCAAAAGAAGAAGGAAGAUUAUCACCCCAAAUGAUCUAAUUCACCGCGGAGUCGUAACUGCUUCUUCAUCUCCUCCACGACCUCCAUCUCCUUGCGCAUCUCCUCCGCCAUCUUCUUCAUUCUGUCCAUGAUGCGAGAUUUCUCGAUGCGAGCCUUCAUCAUCUAUUCCACGGCCGCAUUACGUACCAUGACAGCAGCCGGGUGCUCGAUGCGAAGCUUCGCCAACUCCUCCUUCUGUUCCAUGAUGAGGGCCUACAUCAUCUUCAUGGAGAAACUACUAUUCUCAUGCAGCUUCUUCCAGCUGGCAUUCUUCUCUUUCAACAGGUCGAUCUCGUGGCAGAGCUUCGCCUUGUCCUCCUGAAGUCGCAGGAUUUUGCCAGUCGCCUUCUUCUCCGAGGCAAUGCUCUUCUUCAGCAGCAUCACCAAGCCAGCGGUCAACGCCCCCUACUAACUGAGCUCAGCGGGCAUGUCGUCGAGGCUCUCCUUCAGCAACUCCAUCAAGCCUUGGAUGAACUCCUUCUGCUUAUUGAGGUGCUUAUUGAGCUGAUCGGGCAUGCCGUCGAGGGAUAAAGACUCCAGCUCCGCGGCUAGGGCGCUCCUGGGAGCCAUCACCUGCCCGUGAGAGAUCUUUCGAGGUCUCUGCAUGGCGGCGAGCCCUCUUUUUUUCCGCAGCCUUUGUUGCUGCUCCCUUGUUACGAGUAGUUCUCGACCUAGAGCUCUGCUCACCGGCCAUGGCAAUGACGGAUGAAGAAGAAGCACUUAUGAGGAGGAAAGGUAGAGUAAUUUUCGGUUAGGUACUUCCCCUGUUUAUAACCUAAGUACUAGUACUACUACUAAUACAUGCAUAGUGGGAACACGUUCAGGUUUGGUACGUACUAGUAGGUGUGAGCAGGCUUUCGAAUGUGAUGGGAACAAGGAUUAAUUGAUGGUUUUGGUUUCAAGGCCCGAAACGGUUCCCGAUGAGUUUAGCAGAACAUAAAUUUCAAGUACUACACUGCUCAAAUGCGUAAAUAUUAUGUCACUGUCAAAAAUUGGCACAAAAUACGAAGGAGACCAAUGGAAGUACUACUAGCAACCCACGAUUUAACUACUCACAUGCGCGCAGUGGAGUAAUAAUGUCUUUCUUCCGCCCUCACGUCCACUCAAUUUGCAUGCGCUAUAUUAAUUGACCAUCAAUGAAGUGAACGACUUUACAUGCGUCAAAUUAUCACAUGGGGUGGAUCUUGGUACAAAAUUGCGUCCGCCCGUGUACCCGCAUGUGCGUGCGAGGGAAUGAGUGCGUGCACGGCGUGCAUGCACAUUUUCGCUUCAUGCAUGUACUGCCAGUAUGACUCAGGGAGGACGAGUACAUUCUUCUGGAACCAGCAGCACGUCACUGUGAUCAAUCCAUGCAAGGAGGUCGUGACAACACCUCCACAUGUGCCACGUGGCUUCAUGAACUGUAAGAGAGACACUGUGUAGCAUGCCAUUGGUAUUCUAAUUUACGUGUUUUGCACAUACUCGAAGUACUAGUAAGGUACACGUGCAUUGCACGCAUCAGAUUUUGCAACCAAAUUAUGAAUAAAUACCACACUAUAGCAUGUAAGCUCUGAGUCAUAUAUGCCUGAUGUAGCCCUUCGUUUAAUUCUUAUAUUUCAUCUCAUUCAAAAUCAAUUAGUUUUUAUAAAAAAGCUAAGAAUGCGGGAAUAGGAAAAACAUGGGAUUAUAGUGGAAUGUUGUCUUGAAUCCUACAGGAUUGUACGAGUGUUUGAUUGUGCAUAGAAAAAACGCAGAAUUCUUUCAAAGAGGAUUGAGUGGAUGGGAUGUUUCCUAUGAAAUCUAGUGCAAAUGAAUCAUAUGGAAAAAUUCCUAUGGUUUACAAUCCUACUAAUCAAACAACCAAGAUAGGAAAAAUUCCUAAUGAUUAGAAUCCUCCAAAAUUCCUUUGAUAAUCCUUUGAAUCAAAGAAGCCCUUAAUCUAUUUUAUGAUUCAUGGAAUUGUGCGUUGUAAAGCAUAAAGUAAAAACAAAUAAUGGCAAUUCAACUAGAAAAAAAGUUUGGGCAGUUAUGAUACGGAAGAUUCUAGAACAAAAGAGAACCACUGUUGUUUUGAGGUUUGUGAAUUAUGCUUAAGUUCAACCAUGGAGCCUGCUAGAUUGUACAUGUGGCAAAAUCUGGUCAGGGACUAGAAGAUGGUUUGAGGGGCCGAGUGGAGGGAGACUAUGAAGGAAUGCACAAGUGCGAGAUCGAUAUUUAGAGAUAGGGGGCGAACACGUGUGUUGUUGCACGCAGUGGUGGAGCCAUGAAAAAUAAAUGAGCUAGGGGGCCAAGCAUUGCUAAUUCUUUACGAGGAGGGUCAAUUCAUGAACUUAAACCAUUUUUAGCAGCAAUUGUCUAAUGAUCACAUUCAUAUUAGCCUCAAUAUAUAGUGAUGUUAGGGGGGAGGGGGUAGGGCCCUUACUGCCCCUGUCUUCGCCAUUGUGCACGCGUCUGAGAGAUGAAGCGGAAGGCAUGGAUGAUGAGAGGGGGCAUUGGAUAUAUAAUUAAUGUGGGUGUAUUAGCUAUAUAUGUUAAUCCUAUAUAGAGAGGUAUAGAUUGAUCGAUGUGGACGUGGGAAAGAGGGUGAGACCUCACUGGAUAUAUCGAUUGAUCGGUUUGUGUGGAAAACUAUGAAAGACCUAGCUAUAUACACACAUACAUAGAGGAACAUCGAUCAUUGCGCAUGCACGUGUGAGAGAUAAAGAAUGCCUGAUAUGAUGAAGAGGGGGGGAUUUGUGUGGGUGUGUGCCUUCAUGGGAGACCGACCUGAAUAAAAAGAUUGCAUGCGUGUGAUGGAUAAUGCCGACUGGUAGUGUGUGUGCAUGCAUGCACGAGAGAAAGUUAGUAGUACAAUUAUAAAGAGAAGACUACUGUGUGGGUGUAAAAGAAUAGGUGAGGUCAUAAUCAAUGUAAAGUUGAAUUCAAAUAUUUGAAUAAGAGAUCCUGAUGUUUGAAACCCAUGCAUGCAUGAAUAUAACGGAGAUCUGCGCGGUGUGGUUUGGAAACGAGCAGGUUGUAAUGUAUACACAUUAAACAAGGUCAGACUGAUUUGAAUUUGAGAUACUGAUGGCAGACAUCAUUUGGCCACGUCGCAUCCGUGCAUGGACACACUAUUCUAAUUGGAGAUGAUGGGCGGCUUUGGCAUCACAUAUCUAUAUCUAUACCCCUAUAUAUAUAUAUAUUAUUUUUUAUAUUUUUUAUAUUGUGUGCGGGUAACUUUAACUUUGAAAGAUGGUCGUUGGAUGAGGCGAAUCCGAUGGUCCAAAGAUGGCAAAUUUGAGCACUACUGGCUGUUGGAUAUCAUCUAGAUUCCACUAGAUUUCGCCACAUGUAUAAUCUAGAAGACUCCAUGGUUGAACUUAAGCAUAAUGCACAAACAUCAAAACACAAGCACUUCUUAUUUGUUCUAGAAUCUUCCGUAUCAGAAUUGCCCAAAUGUUUUUCUACAUGAUUUGCCAUUAUCUGUUUUUACUUUAUGUCUUACGACGCACAAUUCCAUGAAUCUUAAAAUAGAUUAGCUUUCUUAUAAAAACUAGAUGAUUUUGAAUGAAAUGAACUAUAAGAAUGAAACGAACAUCUACAUCAUGCAUAUAUGACUCAAAGCUUGCAUGCUAUAAUGUGGUAUUUAUUCAUAAUUUGGUUACCAAAUCUCAUGUAUACAAUGCACGUGUACCUUACUCUAGUCUAAAUGGUGUUUGUGUGUGUGUUGUGCGUGUUGAGGUGCAAAUUAUCUUUUUUUGGGUACAUGUUAAGCUUGUUCUUCUGAAAUUUCAAGCCACGCCUUGUUAUGCCGAAAAUUCAAGCUAGCGUCUAUGUCUAUCGUGCUGCGAAACUCCCUCCUUUUCAACCCGUGACUUGUUAGCCCGAAAUAUUUAAGAUAUAUCUUUGUCUCGUUGUGCUCCGACAACUCCCUCCAUCUCAACCCGCACCUUGCUAUUCCGAAAUGACAACGCGCGCGAAAACUCCCACCUCUUGUGAAAUCCCGACACGUGAAAUGCCCGUGGUACCCCUGAACCGAAAGAACCGCCUCAAAUCGGUGGGGGUACUUUCGUAACUUACCCCACAUUUCGGACGAGCGCGUCUCUAAGCCAUGGUUCCCCACUGCCAUCCCAUCCGCCCACCCAUUCAUACACCAAGGCCGCGAAAACCCGCGAUGAAACCCCACACCCUGCUCCGUCCACCACCCAGCCGGAGCCUCUUCCCCGACGACAUCGUCCACAACAACACCUCGACAUCCCUCAUCCAUCGUACCGGAUGAGGAUCCGUCGUCGAUCUCAUCGUCUCGCCGGUUCAGCCACCCCGUCCUCCACCUCCAAGGAGCUGCCCCGACGUUCUCCUCGUCUUUUGCGCCACCUCCAUUCCCACACCGCCAUCUUCACCUACACCACCGGAAGAGCAUCAUCAUCACCAUUUCCUUGGAUGAAGUUGCAGCCUAAUCGGCGCCACCAAAGAGGUUGUACACUAAUCGCCACAUUUUCUUCUUGAUUCGAUCUCACGGUGCUGCCGGCGCUCAGUCCCGAGCCAACACGGCGCGGCUCCAUCCACGGCGGCGUCGCCAGCCACUUCCUCCACGGUGUCGCUCGCUCGGCGGCGACGUCGACAUAAGUAGGAGUUGCUGCUGCUUUAGCUCUCGCUCGCGCUACUACUCUGCUCUUGCUCUCGGUCCCCUUCCUGGUCUGCUCUUGCUAUUGCUCUUGCUCGCGCUGUUGCUCUCGCUCUUGCUUGCGAUGCUGCUCCGAUUUAGCUAUUCUUCAGUCAACUGAAUCGACUUUUGGGUCAGUCGAUUUUCAGGGGGUGGGAGGGGCUCACCAGGGUGAAGGAAAGAACCAGCCACAGUGGGGAGGGAGGCUCGCCGGAGAGGUACCCCACUAUCUAUCUUAGGGUUCUGGAUGGGGGCGNNNNNNNNNNNNNNNNNNNNNNNNNNNNNNNNNNNNNNNNNNNNNNNNNNNNNNNNNNNNNNNNNNNNNNNNNNNNNNNNNNNNNNNNNNNNNNNNNNNNNNNNNNNNNNNNNNNNNNNNNNNNNNNNNNNNNNNNNNNNNNNNNNNNNNNNNNNNNNNNNNNNNNNNNNNNNNNNNNNNNNNNNNNNNNNNNNNNNNNNNNNNNNNNNNNNNNNNNNNNNNNNNNNNNNNNNNNNNNNNNNNNNNNNNNNNNNNNNNNNNNNNNNNNNNNNNNNNNNNNNNNNNNNNNNNNNNNNNNNNNNNNNNNNNNNNNNNNNNNNNNNNNNNNNNNNNNNNNNNNNNNNNNNNNNNNNCCGGCGGCGGGGAGUGUUUUCGGGGCGGGCGGGGCGGCACACUGCCGGCCGCGGGCGGUGGGGGGCUGCUGUUUGGCCGGUGGUGGCUGACGGCUCAGGGGGGUGGAGGUUGAAGAUGAACCAUAGGCCCUUCAUUUCAUAUCCAACGGUUGCAAAAUCGACUGACCAGAGAUGAAAAAGUCAGUCGACCGAGGUGUAGCCUCACCUUGCUAGUGCGUUCAGUUUCGACAGCAAAAUUCAAUUUCGACAGCAAAAUUCAGUUUCGACAGUUAAGUUCAGAGAUGAGCUGCUAAUGUAUUUUACAUCUAGCACUUUGUGGUUAUGUAUUUUACGUCAUAUAUUGGAGAUGCUAUUAGAAUUCUACUCAGGUUAACGUUGUUCGUUGUCUCUCUUGUCCUGCUUCAGCCUCGGCGUCGUACAACUCACCGGAGCUGCUCCAACAACGAAACCCUCCAUCACAGCGGAGCAGUACCUCGGGCUCCAUCUCCAGACGCCUAAGAUCUUCUUCCCCUCCUCCGACAGCCAAGUCAGCUGGAGCAUCCUCACCGGCCAACCCAAUCAUGCUGAGAUCGACAUGGCUUCGCCAAAGAGGUUGUACACUUGUUGCAUCUCUUUUUUACUCUACAUGUUAUAUAUAUUGUCCACUAAGCACUCGUAGUAAUGGGAAAUACGAUUAUUUUAUCCUACUAUAUGACAAGCAGUUCAAGAUGGGAAUGGGCCGGGUCGACCCGCUGGGUCGCUGACCCGGCCCAAAAUGUCAGGGCCAAUGGGCCAAGUGGGUUGGCCUCAAUUGAUAUAUGGGUCCGUGGAGUCAGCACCGUGCGGCCCGAUGGGUCAGAUGGGUCGACUCAGUCCCCCGAUCAUCUCUGCUGCCGCUGGCUGCCCCCUGUUGGCCUCAACUCGUCGUGUACUUUUUGACCUCAACUCGUCGUGUACUUUUUGACGAAAUCGACGAUGUGCUCAUGUGUAGAUGGAUUACUUGACCGGAAGACACGCACAUAAGAAGCUGACCAAACUGGAUCGAUUAUUGGAGAUGCCCCUGUACACACAAGCAGGCAGGUGGAUUGAUUUUUAUGUGAACGGCACCCCCGAGCAUCUCUGCUGCCGCCGGUGUUCGUCCCGCCGUCGAGCUCUUCAUCCUGGUCGCUUUCCUCUUCCUUCUCAACUUGCCCAGCUUGCCGUCCCGGUGGCCUUCCCGGUCUUCAGACUGUGCCAACUGAAUUCAUGGAUUUUCUCAUCUUAAUUUUGGGUUGGCCUCAUAUACCCAACGGGUCAGCGAGGCCAUAGUUUUUUGGUGAAAUGGGUCGACCCAUGGUCUCACAUACUGACCUUGGGGCCAGAGGGCCAGGUCCAAGGCCAGGUCCGGGUCGACCCAUUCCCAUCUUGACAAGCAGUGAGGUACCAGGCAACUUAGCUAUCCGUGAUGGACUCUCUUGAACGCCAUCAUUAUUUAUCUCUGCGCGUUUGAGCUGUGCAUUUGCCGAUGGGCCUGGGAGUUGAGCUAGUAUGGCAGUGGCCUGGGUCCAAAGUAAUAGAAGAAGCACAAAAACAUUUUUUUAGUGUAGGAUUUUCCUUGCUCAAGCCUGCCUACUAGAAUUGCCAGUGCUUGAAAGGAAAAGUGAAUGAAAAACAUAGGAAUUGGAAAGUUUCCUAUGGUACUACUUUUCAUGAAUUUGGUGCAAAGGAAUGGAGCAAAGGAAAACUGUAAGAUUUGUUCCUUUAGUGUCUCCUUGAAAGAAAAACCGUAGGAAUUCUAAUUUCCACUUCUCCUCCUUUUCAUAUUCCUAUUCAUCAAGCACAAGACUAAGAGAUAGUAGCAUAAUAGCAUUAUAACCAUACAUUUUCUUGUGGUUUGACUUAAUCUCACCAUGCUUUUUUGCAUCCUGUGAUCUUCCAAUUGUUGUGAAUCAAACAACCAGAUUGGCAGAAAUCCUGUGUUUUUAAAUUCUAUGUUUUGCACAUGCAUUCCUAUCCUAUUCCUGUCUAUUUCCUAUCCCUGCAUUGUUAGAAUCCUCAAAUUCAAAUAAGCCCUUACUCAAUUACUUCUGUUACAGAUAUGUGUCAAAUAAAACCUUGUGUGGUUUAUCCUGCUCCUGCGGUGCUGUGUUCCACCCCAGCUCAGCUGCUCCAACGAUGGAAGGGUUCACCACAGCAGGGAUCCGCUCUCCAAACUGUCUUUCGCCGCCUCAGAUCUUCUUCCCCGCCGCCAGCAGCCAUGGCAACUGCAUUACCAUCAUCAACUGAGCAGAUGACCUUGAGGACUACACGGGUCCGCAAGAGAGGUCGCACUCUUCCGUGUCUGCUUACAUUAUGUGUCGCUUAAUAUGAUGACAUGCUACAUUAUCGUCGUGUUCACCUAUUAGACUCUGAGUCAGGUCCAAACUAAUGCUGAAACUUGAGUUUUUAAAUGGUUGUGGGGUACAUAUUGGGGCAGCAAUCAGUACUAUCUGUCUACUAUCUGGUUAAUCUUCGGUGUCUACUAUGAGUUUCAUGUUGGGUGCAAACAAACAUUAAAGGAGCCAUUAUCUGUAUUUUUUAACUAAAGCUAUUAUCUGCCUGCUAUCAUUGGUUUUGGGUCUAUCCACAGUUUGCUACCAUCACUCUGGAUUUGUGCAUACACUCCUUACAUAAUCUCACUAUGUUUUAUUCCUAUGCAUGCCAGUUAUUGUACACAAUGGAACUUAUCAUGUAGAGCAAAAGAGACGAGCCUUGCGUGUCAAUAAAAUUUCAUGCAGACGUCGUUCCAUGGUGGGCGCAAAGGCAGCCCCCCUCCACCCAUUUCAGAUCAUAAUCAAGAGGAAGAUAACUGUUCUGAGGGGGAUUCAGAAGGAGAAGACCACUCCUAUUUACCCCAUGAGGUCUUCGCUCUAACUUGGCAUGCUGAUGUUGGUAAUAUCAUGCAUAUGGUGCCUUGCAUUGCUUACUGUAUACAUUAAAGAUGACAUCUGCUUAGUUUAGACAUGCUUUGUGUCAAUGCCAUCUUUUUAGUUUCUUUAUCGUAUAUGUGAAUCAUGCAAUGCCAUCUUGUCUAGCCAGGCAUCAUAUAUGUGAAUUUUGCAAUGCCACCCUAGUUAGCCAGUCAUCUUAUAUGUGAAUUAUAUCAUGCCAUCAUUUUUUAUUACGUGUUAAAUUUGUCAACAAUUUUAGUACAUUCAAUUACUCUUCCUGUGCAUCAGCCAUUCGGCACGGUCAUGGAAAAAUCUGGAGUGGAAACAAGGUCUUCAGAGCAGACAAUGCGAUCUGACGAAGCGCAUGUCUUGCUGGUUACCGAUAGCUCCUCAGAGGAAGUUUCAGAGACAGAUGACCAGUCAUAUUUCCCCCCGAGGUGCAUGCCCUAACUUGGCAGGGUUAUGUUGCUCAUAUCGUGCGUAUGGUAUCUUGCAUUGCUAUGUCAUUUGCUUAGUUUAGACAUGCUUUGUGUGAAUGCCACCUGUUUAGUGUCUAAUUACCAUAUAUGUGAAUUAUGCAAUGUCGUCUUGUUGCAAGACAUUAUAUAUGUGAAUUAUGCAAUGUUAUCUUGUUGCAAGGCACUAUGUAUGUGAAUUAUGCAAUGCCAUGCUGUUUAGGCAAGCGUCAUAUAUGUGAAUUAUAUCAUGCCGUCCUUUUUUGUAUUUCUCAUUGCUUUUGUCGACAAUGUUUGUAUAUUCAACUGCUCUUCCUAUGCAUCAGCCAUUUGAAUUGGUGAUGGAGAAAUCUGGAGUGAAAACAAGGUCUUCAGAGAAGACAAUGCUACCUGCUAAAGCAGAUAUCUUGCUGGUUACAGAUAACUCUUCAGAGGAGGAUUCAGAGGCAGAUGACCAGUCCUAUUAUCCCCCUGAGGUGUAUGCUCAAACUUGGCAGGGUUAUAUUACUCAUAUAAUGCAUAUGUUGUAUUGCAAUGCUUAGUUUUUACAUCAUAUACACAAUAUUGAAUGCCAUCUCCUUAGUUGACAUAUCAUAUAUGUGAUUGCCCUCUGCUCACUUCCUUAGUAUAUAAAUCAUAUAUGUGAAUUAUGUCAUGCCGUGAUGUUUACAUAGACAGCAUGUAUCUGAAUUAUGGCAUGCCAACCCAUUUUCUAAAGACAUAAUAUAGUUAUAUCAUCUCAUCAUGUUUACAUAGUCAUCAUAAUUUAAAUUAUGUCAUUCUAUCCAUGAAUUAUAUCAUGCCAUCAUGUUUCCAUCGACGGCAUGUUUGUGAUUUAUGGCAUGCCAACCACUUUAAUAGACACAUCAUAUAGUUAUAUCAUGUCACCCUGUUUACAUAGUCAUCAUAUUUUGAAGUAUGUCAUUCUAUCCUGUUUAGUUAGCCAUCACAUGUGAAAUUGUGUCAUGCUAUCCUGUUUAAUUAGCCAUCAUAUAUGUGAAAUUAUGUCCUGCUAUUCUGUUUGCCUAGACAACAUAAAUGUGAAUUAUUUCAUGCCCUGUUUUCUUCCCUACUAUCCGUUGCACCUGUCUAUCUUACAAUGUCUGUACAUUCAAUUACUUUUCUUGUUUAUCAGCCAUUUCAAUUGGAGGGAGUGAUGGCAGUAUCUGUGGGAGUAAAAACACGGUCUUCAGAAAAGAUCGUGCUACCUGUCGAUGCAGAUAGAACCACGGUUGUACUUGCCCAAGAACCAGCCCCACCACACAUAACCCACACUCAUGCAGAUUGUACCCCUACCCAGUUGGACAGAGAACCAGCUACACCCUUCUAACCCCAACCCCAGCAGAUAGACACCCAGUUCCCGUUGACACAGCACCGUCUCCACCACAGAGCACCCAAACACGAGCAGUUAGCAAGGCAACUGUAGUGCCCAAAUCACGAGGACCACCACUCCGAACCCGAAGUCAACGCUUAAAGCAGAAGAAGAAUUGUUCUGAGGUCAGGUUCCGUAGCUAUGGUUCAUACUACUUUGCUCUUGCAUCACUGUAUUUACUGAUACCAACUAAUUUCAAAUUUGAAGGAUGCAAUUAAAACUCCAAUGGCGCAACAGGUAUGUUUUAAACUUGUUUCUUCAACGUGUUUGGCUGUUUGCUGUUGUAACUUGCUCUAUAUUGAUUUCGGUUUCAAUUGAAUAAACAGUUAUGUUCUCAUGCCAUGCACAUUACAAGUGUUGUUAUUGCUAUGUAGUUUCCCACACUUAUAUUCUGUCUAUGCUGCUUUGUCUUAAAUAGGUAUGAUUCGAACUGUAUCUAUCUUGAUUUGGCAACAUAAACUAGAAUGAUAUAGACCAUAUAGUGACCAUACUACAUAGAUAUAUGUUUGUUUCAUGCUGUUAUCCUGUCCACCUUACUACUGAACUGGUUUACCAAAAUGAGUUUCAUAUACUACAUUGUAAACCUGAGAUGUGUUUGUUUGUUUCUCUUUUAGAACGCGGAUAAAAUAUUGGAGAAGAGUACCUUGUUAUGCAAUGGUAAAGGAAGUAAUGCAGAUAAGGUUCAAGAUAGUGAGACAUCCCUGUUGGUCUCCAAGAAAGCUGAUAAAAACUAUAUUGAAGACACUGAGACAACCCCAAAGUCCUGUCUUGAUGUAGUGUUCGAGUUACUAGCUACCACUGCUAGCACCAGCUCUUCGAACUCGUUGCCUAAAUCAGUUCGGCUUCUUGAGUCUCAACUUCAAGUUGAAAGACAUCGAUCAGAUGUUAUGCGACAGGAAGCCGAAGGACUGAGGAAGUCCCUGCAUAAUUCAGAUGCAUACUUUCUAGUGCAACAGCAAGCGCUGGAGGACUUAAGCGCGAAACAAAAGAAAGUUAAUAAGCUUGCUAUGCAUCUUGCCAGCAUUAUGGGUACCCAGGAUAUUGUUUCUUGAGCUCUUCUGAAGUGGUUUCAGUUCUAGACUUAUUUUGCUGCGGCAUUUAUAUGCUAUUGUGUUCCCUAUAUUUGCACUGGUGGCGAAGUUUGAUGCCCAGUGGAUGUAAUAUGUGUAAUAGCUAUGAUAGCCUAGUGUAAGUUGCUUGCUUAUUUAUUUCCUUGUUGUCUUGUUUAUUUGUUUGCUUGUAGUCAGUGCAGUUCUUUUUCUGUGGUUUGCUAGUGGCUGCAAUAACCUAUUUUUUAAAACUAUGCCAAAAUAACCAUGGGCUAAUAUUUACUGUAGUGACACUGGGCCUUCUACGGGCCAUAGAAACAGUGGGCCUUCUACGGGCCGUAGAAACGAUGCGCCUUCUACGGGCCGUAUCAUCAAUGGGCCUUAUACGGGCUGUAUGAUCGAUUGGCCAAACAUGGGCCAAAUAGCCCGCAUUCUGGCCGUAAACGGGCUAGAGUUGGAAUCGUCCGUUCAUGGGCUGACCAUAACGGGCCAUCGUUAAUAGGCCGUACUUGAUGACGCUAUGAAAAUGGCCCAACGUAUUAACGGACCACAAACGGGCCGACUGUAACCAUGGGCUGAAUUUGUCCCAUAAGCAGAAAAUGACAGUAAUGGGCCGUAAGUAAAAGAAUGCUAGAAAAUAGCCCAAGAAUAAAUGGGCUCUCAUAAGGCUGAAAGAUAACAUGGGCUGGAAACAGCCCAAUGGAAUAACGGGUCGUUAAUGGGUAUAAAGUGAUACACUGUUCUUUACGGGCCAGUUUCACCACGGGCCGUUAAUGGGUGUAAAGUGAUACACUGUUCAUUAUGGGCCAGUUUCACCACGGGCCGUUAAUAGGCCAAGAGUUACAUAGGGCCUCAUAUGGGCCAAAAGACGUCAUGGGCCAUACAUGGGCCAGAAGUGAAAACUAUUGGGGAACGUAGUAAUUUCAAAAAAAUUCCUACGCACACGCAGGAUCAUGGUGAUGCAUAGCAACGAGAGGGGAGAGUGUUGUCUACGUACCCUCGUAGACCGUUCAUGCAAGCGUUAUAUCAACGCGGUUGAUGUAGUCGUACGUCUUCACGAUCCGACCGAUCCAAGUACCGAAAGCACGACACCUCCGAGUUCUGCACACGUUCGGCUCGGUGAUGUCCUCGCCUUCUCGAUCCAGCAAGAGGGGCGAAGUAGUAGAUGAGUUCUGGCAGCACGAUGGCGUGGUGACGGUGUUGGUGAAGAACAAUCUCCGCAGGGCUUCGCCUAAGCACUACGAAUACUAUGACGGAGGAUAAACUAGAGGGGACGGGGUUGCCGGCACACGGCUUGGUGUUUCUUGAUGUGUCUUUGGUGCUAGCCCUCUGCCCCUCUAUUUAUAUGUUGAGCCCCGGGGUCGAAACUUGGAGCAAAAGCCUCCUCAGUCGGUUUUGCCCGAAAGGCAAGAGUCCCACUCGGACUCCAGGACCAAAUGCCACAAUCCUUGGCGUCUGGCCCAGACGCCAUGGGCCUCGGCGUUUGGCCCCCUGGCCUCCGCAAAACUCCUUUUGCACGAACUUAUAGCCCCAUGGGCCUGACCCCUUGGCCUAACCAUAUCAUCCAAUAUAUGAAUCUUUACCCCCGGAUCAUUCCGGAGCUCCUCGUCAUGUCGAUGAUCUCAUCCGGGACUCCGAACAACAUUCGGUCACCAACAUACAUAACUCAUAAGUAUUAUAUCAUCAACGAACGUUAAGCGUGAGGACCCUACGGGUUCGAGAACUAUGUAGACAUGACCGAGACACUUCUCUGGUCAAUAACCAAUAGUGGAACCUGGAUACCCAUAUUGGCUCCUACAUAUUUCGACGAAGAUUUUUAUCGGUCAAACCGCAUAACAACAUAGAUUUGUUCCCUUUGUCAUCAGUAUGUUACUUGCCCGAGAUUCGAUCGUCGAUAUCUCAAUACCUAGUUCAAUCUCGUUACCGGCAAGUCUCUUUACUCGUUCCAUAAUACAUCAUCCCGCAACUAACUCAUUAGUUACAAUGCUUGCAAGGCUUAUAGUGAUGUGCAUUACCGAGUGGGCCCAGAGAUACCUCUCCGACAAUUGGAGUGACAAAUCCUAAUCUUGAAAUACGCCAACCCAACAAGUACCUUCGGAGACACCUAUAGAGCACCUUUAUAAUCACCCAGUUACGUUGUGAUGUUUGGUAGCACACAAAGUGUUCCUCCGGUAAACGGGAGUUGCAUAAUCUAGUCAUAGGAACAUGUAUAAGUCAUGAAGAAAGCAAUAGCAACAAACUAAACGAUCAAGUGCUAAGCUAACGGAAUGGGUCAAGUCAAUCACAUCAUUCUCCUAAUGAUGUGAUCUCGUUAAUCAAAUGACAACUCAUGUCUAUGGUUAGGAAACUUAACCAUCUUUGAUGAACGAGCUAGUCAAGUAGAGGCAUACUAGUGACACUAUGUUUGUCUAUGUAUUCACACAUGUAUUAUGUUUCCCGUUAAUACAAUUCUAGCAUGAAUAAUAAACAUUUAUCAUGAAAUAAGGAAAUAAAUAAUAACUUUAUUAUUGCCUCUAGGGCAUAUUUCCUUCAGUCUCCCACUUGCACUAGAGUCAACAAUCUAGUUCACAUCACCAUGUGAUUAACACCCAUAGUUCACAUCGUCAUGUGACCAACACCCAAAGGGUUUACUAGAGUCAAUAAUCUAGUUCACAUCGCUAUGUGAUUAACACCCAAAGAGUACUAAGGUGUGAUCAUGUUUUGCUUGUGAGAGAAGUUUAGUUUACGGGUCUGCCACAUUCAGAUCUGUAUGUAUUUUGCAAAUUUCUAUGUCAACAAUGCUCUGCACGGAGCUACUCUAGCUAAUUGCUCCCACUUUCAAUAUGUAUCUAGAUUGAUACUUAGAGUCAUCUCGAUCAAUGUCAAAAUUUGCAUCGAUGUAACCCUUUACUACGAACCUUUUUGUCACCUCCAUAAUCGAGAAACAUAUCCUUAUUCAACUAAGGAUAAUUUUGACAAUUGUCCAGUGAUCUACUCCUAGAUCACUAUUGUACUCCCUUGCCAAAAACAGUGUAGGGUAUACAAUCGAUCUAGUACAUAGCAUGGCAUAUUUUAUAGAACCUAUGGCCAAGGCAUAGGGAAUUACUUUCAUUCUCUUUCUAUCUUCUAUCAUUGUCGGGAUUUGAGUCUUACUCAGUUUCACACCUUGUAACACAGGCAAGAACUCUUUCUUUGACUGUUCCAUUUUGAACUACUUCAAAAUCUUGUCAAGGUAUGUACUCAUUGAAAAACUUAUCAAGCGUCUUGAUCUAUCUCUAUAGAUCUUGAUGCUCAAUAUGUAAACAACUUCACCGAGGUCUUUCUUUGAAAAAACUCCUUUCAAACACUCCUUUAUGCUUUGCAGAAUAAUUCUACAUUAUCUCAGAUCAACAAUAUGUCAUUCACAUAUACUUAUCAUAAAUGUUGUAGUGCUUCCACUCACUUUCUUGUAAAUACAGGCUUCACCGCAAGUCUGUAUAAAACUAUAUGCUUUGAUCAACUUAUCAAAGCGUAUAUUCCAACUCUGAGAUGCUUGCACCAGUCCAUAGAUGGAUCGCUGGAGCUUGCAUAUUUUGUUAGCACCUUUAGGAUUGAAAAAACCUUCUGGUUGCAUCAUAUACAACUCUUCUUUAAUAAAUCCAUUAAGGAAUGCAGUUUUGUUUAUCCAUUUGCCAGAUUUCAUAAAAUGCGGCAAUUGCUAACAUGAUUCGGACAGACUUAAGCAUAGAUACGAGUGAGAAACUCCCAUCGUAGUCAACACCUUGAACUUGUCGAAAACCUUUUAUGACAAUUCUAGCUGUGUAGAUAGUAACACUACUAUCAGCGUCGGUCUUCCUCUUGAAGAUCCAUUUAAUCUCAAUGGCUCGCCAAUCAAUGGGCAAGUCAAUCAAGGUCCAUACUUUGUUCUCAUACAUGGAUCUCAUCUCAGAUUUCAUGGCCUCAAGCCAUUUCGCGGAAUCUGGGCUCAUCAUCGCUUCCUCAUAGUUCGUAGGUUCGUCAUGGUCAAGUAACAUGACCUCCAGAACAGGAUUACCGUACCACUCUGGUGCAGAUCUCACUUUGGUUUACCUACAAGGUUCGGUAGUAACUUGAUCUGAAGUUACAUGAUCAUCAUCAUUAGCUUCCUCACUAAUUGGUGUAGUAGUCACAGGAACAGAUUUCUGUGAUGAACUACUUUCCAAUAAGGGAGCAGGUACAGUUACCUCAUCAAGUUCUACUUUCCUCUCACUCACUUCUUUCGAAAGAAACUCCUUCUCUAUAAAGGAUCCAUUCUCAGCAAUGAAUAUCUUGCCUUCAGAUCUAUGAUAGAAGGUGUACCCAACAUUUUCUUUUGGGUAUCCUAUGAAGACGCACUUCUCCGAUUUGGGUUUGAGCUUAUUAGGUUGAAACUUUUUCACAUAAGCAUUGCAACCUCAAACUUUAAGAAACGACAGCUUAGGUUUCUUGCCAAACCAUACUUCAUACGGUGUCGUCUCAACGGAUUUAGAUGGUGCCCUAUUUAACGUGAAUGUAGCUGUCUCUAAUGCAUAACCCCAAAACGAUAGUGGUAAAUCGAUAAGAGACAUCAUAGAUCGCACCAUAUCUAAUAAAGUAUGGUUACGAUGUUCGGACACACCAUUACACUGUGGUGUUUCAUGUGGCGUGAGUAGUGAAACUAUUUCACAUUGUUUUAACUGAAGGCCAAACUCAUAACUCAAAUAUUUUACUUCUGCGAUCAUAUCGUAGAAACUUUUAUUUUUGUUAUGAUGAUUCUCCACUUCACUCUGAAAUUCUUUGAACUUUUCAAAUGUUUCAGACUUGUGUUUUAUCAAGUAGAUAUACUCAUAUCUGCUCAAAUCAUCUGUGAAGAUCAGAAAAUAAUGGUACCUGCCGCGAGCCUCAAUAUUCAUCGGACCACAUACAUCAGUAUGUAUGAUUUCCAACAAAUCUGUUGCUCGCUCCAUUGUUCCGAGAACAGAGUCUUAGUCAUCUUGCCCAUGAGGCAUGGUUCGCAAGCAUCAACUGAUUCAUAAUCAAGUGAUUCCAAAAGCCCAUCAGCAUGGAUUUUCUUCAUGCGCUUUACACCAAUAUGACCUAAACGGCAGUGCCACAAAUAAGUUGCACUAUCAUUAUUAACUUUGCAUCUUUUGGUUUCAAUAUUAUGAAAAUGUGUAUUACCAUGAUUGAGAUCCAACAAACCAUUUUCAUUGGGUGUAUGGCCAUAGAAGGUUUUAUUCAUGCAAACAGAACAACAAUUAUUCUCUAACUUACAUGAAUAACCGUAUUGCAAUAAACAUGAUCCAAUCAUAUUCAUGCUCAACGCAAACACUAAAUAACAUUUAUUUUAGGUUUAACACUAAUCCCAAAAGUAUAGCGAGUGUGCGAUGAUGAUCAUAUCAAUCUUGGAACCAUUUCCAAUACACAAUGUCACUUCACCCUUAACUAGUCUAUGUUCAUUCUGCAACUCCCGUUUCGAGUUACUAUUCUUAGCAACUGAACCAGUAUCAAAUACUGAGGGGUUGUUAUAAACACUAGUAAAGUACACAUCAAUAACAUGUAUAUCGAAUAUAGCUUUGUUCGCUUUGCCAUCCUUCUUAUCCACCAAAUACUUGGGGUAGUUCCGCUUCCAGUGACCAGUCCCUUUGUAGUAGAAGCACUUAGUUUCAGGCUUAGGUCCAGACUUGGGCUUCUUCUUGAGCAGCAACUUGCUUGCCGUUCUUCUUGAAGUUCCCCUUUCUUCCCUUUGUCCUUUUACUUGAAACUAGUGGUCUUGUUAAACAUCAACACUUGGUGCUCUUUCUUGAUUUCUACUUUCGUCGAUUUCAGCAUUGUGAAGAGCUCAGGAAUUACUUUCGUCAUCCCUUGCAUAUUAUAGUUCAUCACGAAGUUCUAGUAACUUGGUGAUAGUGACUAGAGAAUUCUAUCAAUUACUAUCUUAUCUAGAAGAUUAACUCCCACUUGAUUCAAGCAAUUGUAGUACCCAAACAAUCUGAACACAUGCUCACUGGUUGAGCUAUUCUCCUCCAUCUUGUAGGCAAAGUACUGUCAGAGGUCUCAUACCUCUCGACACGGGCAUGAGUAUGAAAUACCAAUUUCAACUCUUGGAACAUAUUAUAUGCUCUGUGGCGUUCAAAACAUUUUUGAAGUCCCGGUUCUAAGCCGUAAAGCAUGGUGCACUUAACUAUCAAGUAGUCAUCAUACCGAGUUUUUGUCAAAACGUUCAUAACGUCUGCAUCUGCUCUUGCAAUAGGUUUGUGACCUAGCAGUGCAUCAAGGACAUAAGUCUUCUGUGCAGCAAUGAGGAUAAACCUCAGAUCACGGAUCCAAUCCGCAUCAUUGCCUCUAACAUCUUUCAACUUAGUUUUCUCUAGGAACAUAUCAAAAAUAAAAUAAGGGAGCUAAACGCGAGCUAUUGAUCUACAACAUAGAUAUGCUAAUACUACCAGGACUAAGUUCAUGAUAAAUUUAAGUUCAAUUAAUCAUAUUACUUAAGAACUCCCACUUAGAUAGACAUCUCUCUAAUCCUCUAAGUGAUCACGUGAUCCAUAUCAACUAAACCAUGUCCGAUCAUCACGUGAGAUGGAGUAGUUUCAAUUGUGAACAUCACUAUGUUGAUCAUAUCUACUAUAUGAUUCAUGCUCGACCUUUCGGUCUCAGUGUUUCGAGGCCAUAUCUGUUAUAUGCUAGGCUCGUCAAGUUUAACCUGAGUAUUCUGCGUGUGCAACUGUUUUGCACCCGUUAUAUUUGAACAUAGAGCCUAUCACACCCAAUCAUCACGUGGUGUCUCAGCACGAAGAACUUUCACAACGGUGCAUACUCAGGGAGAACACUUAUACCUUGAUAAUUUAGUGAGAGAUCAUCUUAUAAUGCUACCGUCAAUCAAAGCAAGAUAAGAUGCAUAAAAGAUAAACAUCACAUGCAAUCAAUAUAAGUGAUAUGAUAUGGCCAUCAUCAUCUUGUGCUUGUGUCUCCAUCUCCGAAGCACCGUCAUGAUCACCAUCAUCACCGGCGCGACACCUUGAUCUCCAUCGUAGCAUCGUUGUCGUAUCGCCAACUUAUGCUUCUACGACUAUUGCUACCGCUUAGUGAUAAAGUAAAGCAUUACAGGGCAUUUGCAUUGCAUACAAUAAAGCGACAACCAUAUGGCUCCUGCCAGUUGCCGAUAACUCGGUUACAAAACAUGAUCAUCUCAUACAAUAAAAUUUAGCAUCAUGCCUUGACCAUAUCACAUCACAACAUGCCCUGCAAAACAAGUUAGACGUCCUCUACUUUGUUGUUGCAAGUUUUACGUGGCUUCUACGGGCUGAGCAAGAACCAUUCUUACGUACGCAUCAAAACCACAACGAUAGUUCGUCAAGUUAGUGUUGUUUUAACCUUCUCAAGGACAGGGUGUAGCCACACUUGGUUCAACUAAAGUUGGAGAAACUGACACCAGCCAGCCACCUAUGUGCAAAGCACGUCAGUAGAACUAGUCUCGCGUAAGCGUACGCGUAAUGUCGGUCCGGGCCGCUUCAUCCAACAAUACCGCCGAACCAAAGUGUGACAUGCUGGUAAGCAGUAUGACUUGUAUCGCCCACAACUCACUUGUGCUCUACUCAUGCAUAUAACAUCUACGCAGAAAACCUGGCUCGGAUGCCAUUGUUGGGGAACGUAGCAAUUACAAAAAAAUUCCUACGCACACGCAGGAUCAUGGUGUUGCAUAGCAACGAGAGGGGAGAGUGUUGUCUACGUACCCUUAUAGACCGUUCGUGGAAGCGUUAUAUCAACGCGGUUGAUGUAGUCGUACGUCUUCACGAUCCAACCGAUCCAAGUAUCGAAAGCAUGACACCUCCGAGUUCUGCACAUGUUCGGCUCGGUGACGUCCUCGCCUUCUCGAUCCAGCAAGAGGGGCGAAGUAGUAGAUAAGUUCUGGCAGCAUGAUGGCGUGGUGAUGGUGUUGGUGAAGAACAAUCUCCGCACGGCUUCGCCUAAGCACUACGAAUACUAUGACGGAGGAUAAACUAGAGGGGACGAGGUUACCGGCACACGGCUUGGAGUUUCUUGAUGUGUCUUUGGUGCUAGCCCUGUGCCCCUCUAUUUAUAUGUUGAGCCCCGGGGUUGAAACUUGGAGCAAAAGCCUCCUCAAAGUCGGUUUUGCCUGAAAGGCAAGAGUCCCACUCGGACUCCAGGACCAAACGCCACAAUCCUUGGCGUCUGGCCCAGACGCCAUGGGCCUCGGCGUCUGGCCCAGGGCCAGACGCCAGGGUCUCCGACGUUUGUCCCCCUGGCCUCCGCAAAACUCCUUUUGCACCAACUUAUAGCCCCAUGGGCCUGACCCCUUGGCCUAACUUAUAGCCCCGUGGGCCUUUACCUCCGGAUCAUUCCGGAGCUCCUCGUCAUGUCCGUGAUCUCAUCCGGGACUCUGAACAACAUUCGGUCACCAACAUACAUAACUCAUAAGUACUAUAUCAUCAACGAACAUUAAGCGUGCGGACCCUACGGGUUCGAGAACUAUGUAGACAUGACCGAGACACUUCUCUGGUCAAUAACCAAUAGCGGAACCUGGAUGCCCAUAUUGGCUCCUAUAUAUUCUACGAAGAUUUUUAUCGGUCAAACCGCAUAACAACAUAGAUUUGUUCCCUUUGUCAUCGGUAUGUUACUUGCCCGAGAUUCGAUCGUCGGUAUCUCAAUACCUAGUUCAAUCUCGUUACCUGCAAGUCUCUUUACUCGUUCUGUAAUACAUCAUCCUGCAACUAACUCAUUAGUUACAAUGCUUGCAAGGCUUAUAAUGAUGUGCAUUACCGAGUGGGCCCAGAGAUACCUCUCCGACAAUUGGAGUGACAAAUCCUAAUCUCGAAAUACGCCAACCCAACAAGUACCUUCGGAGACACCUGUAGAGCACCUUUAUAAUCACCCAGUUACGUUGUGACGUUUGGUAGCACACAAAGUGUUCCUCCGGUAAACGGGAGUUGCAUAAUCUCAUAGUCAUCGGAACAUGUAUAAGUCAUGAAGAAAGCAAUAGCAACAAACUAAAUGAUCAAGUGCUAAGCUAACAGAAUGGGUCAAGUUAAUCACAUCAUUCUCCUAAUGAUGUGAUCUCUUUAAUCAAAUGACAACUCAUGUCUAUGGUUAGGGAACUUAACCAUCUUUGAUGAACGAGCUAGUCAAGUAGAGGCAUACUAGUGACACUAUGUUUGUCUAUGUAUUCACACAUGUAUUAUGUUUCCGGUUAAUACAAUUCUAGCAUGAAUAAUAAACAUUUAUCAUGAAAUAAGGAAAUAAAUAAUAACUUUAUUAUUGCCUCUAGGGCAUAUUUCCUUCAAAAACAGGCUGGAAUCAUAUUGGAUGGCCCAGAUGACGCUACUGGGCCUAAUUCGAAUACAGCGUAACGGGCCUUGGGUUAGCGGGCUGUAAAUGGGCUAUAUGCGAAUAGGCCGUUAACAGGCUUUCCAUGGGCUGGCCCGCCACCUUUUGACCAAGUCAAACUGGCUGUUCUUUUCACAGGAAUGGGCCUUUGUUGGGUCGUGCCACGUGUCGACGUAUCAUAGGCGCCUUCUGUCCAAUGAGUGGAUGACAUUUGUCCCAGCGAUGAGCCGACACGUGUUUCCUCUAGCCAAUGAUGAUUUUACACGUGGAAAAUCCCCAUUGGUCGAGGCUGUUAACAGGUUAUCGGAUCCAAAACCCGACCCGGUAGCUUAACGGCGUUCUGUUACGGUGGAUGCCACGUGUCGGUCACCCUUGACGAAAGCACUUCUGUGACGCGCGAUUUAUCGUCAUGGAAGUGGACACUUCCGUGAUGAUAAUUUUGGUAAUGUCAUGGAACACUUCUAUGAUGGCACAGGCAUGACUAUCUUGAUUCUGUCAUAAAUUUGUCAUGGAUGUACAUGCAUGACAGAAAACGUGACCUGCUGUGACAAACACGUAUCAUCACAGAAGUGUAUUUUUUAGUGACCCUCUUUCGAGCAUAUUCUAUUGCUUGAAGUAACUUAUCUUCGGCUCCUUUAAGACUUGUCUUCUUCGAAACCUGGCAUGUCUUCAGGUNNNNNNNNNNNNNNNNNNNNNNNNNNNNNNNNNNNNNNNNNNNNNNNNNNNNNNNNNNNNNNNNNNNNNNNNNNNNNNNNNNNNNNNNNNNNNNNNNNNNNNNNNNNNNNNNNNNNNNNNNNNNNNNNNNNNNNNNNNNNNNNNNNNNNNNNNNNNNNNNNNNNNNNNNNNNNNNNNNNNNNNNNNNNNNNNNNNNNNNNNNNNNNNNNNNNNNNNNNNNNNNNNNNNNNNCGCAUAGAACCAAGUUCUGCACCUGGGGGCCAGCUCUUAGUAACUGGAGUGACCUCUGCAUCCAGAAUCUCUUGCUCAGACUUAUCCCACUUAGGCAUUGCCACCGUGUAGCCACCUGGCCCCAGCCUAUGGAACUGCUCCUUUUUGCGGCAUUGGCCUUGUUUUUUCUCGACCGUUCCUUAGAAAAUUCUGAUUCCUUGAAUUUCAUGAAAGCGGGCCAGUGUUCUCUUUGCUUCUCCAGUGUUCCCAUGAAUUCUGGAGUCUUCUUUCUAACUUCGACGUACUUGGUCCAUAUUUUUUUCUUGUGGGUGUUGAAUGCAAUUGCCAUCUUCCUAAGAGCAGCGUCCUUGACUUUCUCCACAUCUGCAUCAGUGAAUUGGUCUGGUAGGGUGAAAUGUUCCAUGAGAGAUUCCCAAAGCGUUGAUUUUGCUCUGUCGUUGACCCAAGUAAGAUCUGGACAUUUCUUUGUUGGCUCUUUCCAUUCUUGAAUGGAGAUCAGGAGUUGGUCCCUCACAAGAACUCCACACUGACGAAUGAACGUGUUCGCAAUGUUCUUAGGCGCGCUAGGUUCGCCAUUAGCUUUGAUGGAAUCGAUGUUGUACUUUACGCCCUCCUUCAACUUUUUGCCUGGGCCUCGCACUGUCCUGCUACCUGUAGAAGAUUUUCUCGACCCGGAGGGCUAAAAGAAGAAAGAUCGAUUCGUUAAUAUAUCUUCAAAUCAUUAAAAACAUGUGAUGAUCACCAUAUGCCUGCUUAUAUAAAUAUAGCUCGGCGGUCUCUGUUAUUUCAAGAUCAUCAUUUUCGGUGUCAUCAUCAUCAUAGUUAAUGACUUCAUCAAUUCGGUCGUCGCGAUCGAAUAUCAUAUCAUCACCCUCCCCGGUGUUGUUCAGAUAUUGGGAGCCGUCAUCAUCUUCAUUCUGAUCAUCUGGCCCACGAGGGGAGCGUAUGAUCUCGAACAGGACCUCUUCUCCCUCUCUGCCGAUAUUGUCCGCCAUAGCUUUUAUUUAACUAAUCCAGAAGAAAUAUAAAACAAUUUAGUAUCUAAAUUACAAUGCAUGCAUGCAAUCAAUAAGUAAAAACUGAAUCAUAGUACAUAAUCUUGUACAUUGUCUCGAAUAAUAUAUAUAAUCUCGAAUACAUCAUCUUGAAUAUUAUAUAUCAAAUACAUCACUAGCUAGCUAGCUAAUAAAGAUCGAAUACUACAGAAGAAUCUAGGCCACUCGCGGUUCCUGAGGCGCGGGCGGUGGACAUCCAAAGAGAAAGAACCAUCACAAGAUCAUAGCUCCGAUCAUCUCCCCAAAGAACCUGCCAGGCAGUGGAGAACCUGACGUCCAUAGCAGCCAUGUAGCGAUGGACGUGCUCGUCCUCCUCCCUGACUUGGCGACGCACCACCUCCGGCGGGGCCGGCUCCCUCUACACCGAACGUGGCCCACGCGAACGUCACCAAAGGAGCUCAAGGUCGACGACGGGACCCGGGGCUGGGUUCCUCACCAUGCGGCGAGCCCCUGAAGGUAGCACCUCCCAGUGCCAGCCUGGCAGAGCCCAGUCCCGGACAUGGGUCCUCUAAACCAGGACGUCGUCGCGAACGGGUUGACGGAGAGGAUGCGGGCCGAGCAUCAUUGACGUCGAUAGCAAAUUCUUAUGAAAAAAAUUCCUAUAUAUGCAAUGUCAUUUUAUUAGGAAAUUUUGAGCAACUUUUUCCUAUGCAACUUCUCCUAGUCCUUCGUCUAACAAAUAUAUAUAUAUGGUCAACUUUUUCCUAUGCAACUUUUUUAUGUGCAAUUUUUUUCUAUACUAGGAUAUGCAACAGAAAAACUAAUUAAGCAUCUAACACUAAAAACAGAAAAGCAACUUCUAUAUAUCCAUUAAAAAUAGAAAAACAACAUUAUAUAAAAAUAAUCCAUACUAAUUAAACACUAAUUAUAUCCAUCUAACAUGCAUUCAUACAUAUAUAUACUAGUGAAAAAAUAAUAAUCUAAAACAUCUAAACUAAUUAAACAUACAAAAAUACAUAUAUACUAAUUAACUUAAGAAAAUGUGUAUGUGUGUGUGUUCAUCAUGCAAGUGUGUGUGUGGGCUCGGGGAGGGGCGGCCAUGGUGGCCGGGGGCAAGGGAGAGGGAGGAGAGCUCACAGCGGGGCGACGACAAUGGCGAGGCGAGACGACGGGGGUGGAGACGGGGGGCGGCGACGUGUCGGGGGGCAACGGGGGUGGCGACGCGGGGACGGGCCGAGGGCGGCGAUGGAGACGGGGGCGGCAACGGAAACGGCGCGCGUCGGGGGAAGCGACGGUGUCGAUCGAGCGGGGCAGGCAGUGCGUCGUCGAUGGAGAAACAGAGGGAGAAUGAAAUUUUUUUCAAGUGUUGUUUAUAUAGGAGGGACCUUUAGUACCGUUUGUAGCCACCAACCGGUACUAAAGGUCAAAUUUGGCUAGGCCAAGCGGCAGGAACGGCACCCCUUUAGUACCGGGUCGUGGCUCCAACUGGUACUAAAGACCCCCCCCCCCCUUAGUACCGGUUGGAGCCACCACCCGGUACUAAAGAUGGUGCGCUGCUAGGCGAGAGGCGCAAAAGUUUAGUCCCACCUCGCUAGCCGAGGGGCGCCCACACCUGCUUAUAAGCCUCGUCGCCGCUGCUGUCUCGAGCUCCUCUCUCAAGCAGGCCUUCUGGGCCUACCUCUUCUGCGAUGCCCUGUUGGGCCUACUGGGCUAGCGGGCUUGCAUCCUGGCCCAACUAGAGGUUGGGUUUCUAGUCGUAUGCAGGCCGCUGUGGCCCAGUAGGCAGGCUUUUUAUUUAGUUUUGUUUUUUCUUCUUUUUCUUUUUUGCUUUAUUUUUUUUUUAAUUUAUUUUUUGAGUUGUUUUUUGGUGUAUUUAGAGUUUCUUUGUGAAUAUUUUUGCUUUAGUUACAAAAAAUUACAAACUAUCUGUUAGUGCCGGUAGUUUUCAAAUUUGAAUAGUUUAAAUUUGAAUUAUUUGAAAUUUAUGUGGAUCACUAGUUUGUGACUAACUUAACCUUAAAAAUAGAUUUUUCAGUGAUUCUUUUUUCUUAUGUUUAAUAUUAGUGUGUUUUAUCAUUAUAUUCAAUUUGGUAAUAGUUAGGUUAUUUAAAAAAUGAAAUGCCUUUGUAACAGAUGAGUUUUUGUCCGAAACCGUGAUACUUCGAAAGAGAUUGUACAUUCUGUACACGAAGUGCAUCCAGUUUUUGCCAUAACCCUCUCUAAUUUUUUGCACAUGCUAUGUGGGUGAAAUUAUGAUAGCAUGCCAACUUUCAACCUUUUCAGAAUUCAUUUCAAGUGUUUUUCAAUUUGAGGGUCAUUUAGCUGAAAAAAUCAGUACAUACAUGAAAGAAUUUGUUUGCACAUAAAAUUUCUUCGCGUUUCAAAUGCCAUAACACAUAAGUACCCUAACUAUUACAAAGAUUCCCUCCGGUUUGUUCGAAGCGGGACUUUCCAGAUAUAUAAGUCCGGAAACUCACUAGAGAAGAAAGUGAUGACAGUGAGAAGCCGAUCACAUCCCAGAGUGGGAUCUUUGGGCCGUGUGAAAUUUUUUCUUCGCCUGUGUCUCUUUGCGUCGUAACCAUGGACAAUCUUCAUCAUUUAACUGGAUGCUCGGGUCAAUAUUCACUGUGAAUGGAGCAAUUUCAUGAAACUUUUCAUAAUCUUCUGACAUGUCUGUCUUGUCAUCCACUCCCACGAUGUUUCUUUUCCCAGAAAGAACUAUAUGGAGCUUUGGCUCAUCGUAUGAUGCAUUCGCUACCUUAUAUUUUCUUUUUCUCAGCUUGGUGGACAUGUCCUUCACAUAGAAAAUAUGUGCCACAUCAUUGGCUAGGACGAAUGGUUCGUCUGCAUACGCAAGAUUGUUGAGAUCCACUGUUGUCAUUCCGUACUGCGGGUAUUCCGUUACCUCGCCUCGUGUCAUAUUCACCCAUUUGCAAUGAAACAAAGGGACCUUCAAACCACGUCCAUAGUCAAGUUCCCAUGUGUCCUCUAUGUAACCAUAAUAUGUUUCCUUUCUCGUAUUGGUUGCUGCAUCAAAGCGGACACCACUGUUUUGGUUGGUGCUCUUCUUAUCUUAUGCGAUCGUGUAACAUGUAUUCCCAUUUAUCUCGUACCCUUUGAGAGUCAUUACAUUCGAAGAUGGUAACUGGGACAACAAGUACAUGUCAUCUUCAAUAGCGGCGUCAUGCAUGGCAUGUGACUGCAACCAGCCGGCGGAAGUCCCCGUUUGUUCACGUGUAAUCCAGUCGUCAGACUGUUUCGGGUGUUUGGAGCAUAGCAAAUUCUUGUGUUCGUCCAUAUACGGAGCCACCAACGCGGAAUUCUGUAGAACUGCGUAGUGUGCUUGAGUGAGAGAAUGCCCGUCCAUACAUAUUAUUUGAUCCCCUCCUAGCGUGCCUUUUUCAUCUAGUCUGCCCUUAUGCCGCGAUUCAGGAACACCAAUCGGCUUAAGGUCAGGAAUAAAGUCAAUACAAAACUCAAUGACCUCCUCAUUUUCAUGGCCCUUGGAGAUGCUUCCUUCUGGCCUAGCACAGUUAUGAACAUAUUUCUUUAAGACUCCCAUGAACCUCUCAAAGGGGAACAUAUUGUGUAGAAAUAAAGGACCAAGAACGUUAAUCUCUCCGCAUAGGUGAACUAGGACGUGUGUCAUGAUGUUGAAGAAGGAUGGUGGGAACACCAACUCGAAACUAACAAGACAUUGCACCAAAUCAUUUUCUAACCUUGGUAUGAUUUCUGGAUCGAUUACCUUCUGAGAGAUUGCAUUGAGAAAUGCACAUAGCUUCACAAUGGCUAAUCGAACGUUUUCCGGUAGAAGCCCCCUCAAUGCAACCGGAAGCAGUUGUGUCAUAAUCACGUGGCAGUCAUGAGACUUUAGGUUCUGGAACUUUUUCUCUACCAUAUUUAUUAUUCCCUUUAUAUUCGACGAGAAGCCAGACGGUACAUUCAUACUGAGCAGGCAUUCAAAGAAGAUUUCCUUCUCUUCUUUGGUAAGAGUGUAGCGGCAUGACCCUGAUGUAUGUCGUCUUUUCCGUGCAUACGUUGCUGGUCCUCCCGUGCUUCCGGUGUAUCUUUUGUCUUCCCAUACACACAUGUUCCAUUCCACAACUGUAAGAGUUCUUCAACUAAUGGCCUUAGGUACACAUGAAUGCCCUACUAGGGAAAAGCCUACCAGCAGUGAGGGUUUUGGGCCUCUCAGUAGCGCGGGCACCGGCGCUACUAAUAAGGCGCUACAGCUAACGUAUAGCAGUAGCGCCGGUUGUCCCACGCUACUGCUAUACAUGAAUAGCUGUAGCGCUCUUUGGGAAAGGGCGCUACUGAUAUUAUCUGCAGCGCUGUUUGCUGGGACGCGCUACUGACAAUGCGGCGCUACUGCUGAAUUUCCCCCCUCGCUACUACUAGUUUAUUUAUUAGUUUUUUUCCUGCAUAUUUGUUUUGUAUUUGAAUAGGAUUUAUACAAUAAUCUUUAGCAUAUCAUACACAUACAAAUGUAAUCAUAGCAUAUACAUACAAUUAGUCUCAUCAAAUCAUGUCAUCAUCAUAAUCAUCAUCCAACACAAAGUGGUCUCUCGUCAUCAUCUCGAAAAUAGCGAUACAAGUCUCGAAUGAUAUGCAAAUACAUUGUCAUCCAUCUAAACAAUGAUAUACGCGAGAAGAGCUAUCACUUUGAGAACAUGAGUUCGUAUCCUUGUCGUAUAUAUACUCCUGGCAUAGCACUUCUUCGCCAUCUAUGAUCUAUGCACCUGCAUCAUCACAUGAGUCGAUGAUAUGCAACAUAUAUAGUUGAGCAACAAAAAGAGAUAGACUUGGAAAAAAUAAAAACAACAUAUCAUAAGCAUAAAUAACAAAGUUCAUCGUACCCCAAAAUGCCCUAACUAGAGUGAUUUUCGCUAGUCGAGGAGGAGGACGGUUUAACUACAUCACAAAUAAAGUUUCACCGUGCAUAACUCAAAGUUUUGUCAUACAGAAAGUAUGGACUAAACGGACACAUUGUCAUAUAUCGACAAUCACUCCAACAUGUCGUUCCAUCCAUCCAAGUCAAGGAGAUAGUCCCCGAGCCUAGUGAAAGGCUUCAGGUCGAGACGCUGAGAGGCUAUCCAUGUUUGGACGUCUGCCCACGACAUUUGUCCUUCUCCGUAGAACAUCCCUGUUUUUCCGGCGACCUCCUUCAUGAUGAUUUGGGCAAGUUCGCGCUGGAUGUUAUAGAACUCAGCUCGAAGUCGAUGAUCCUCUAUAUCUCCUAUGUCCUUUGCCCAUUGCAGAAUAUGGGCAUCGCCGGAAGAAGGUGCCAUGCGAAGGUUCUAGUGAUCCCGUCUGUACUCCAGCAUGUGGUGUAGGACAUAGAAUCCAUCAUUAAGAUAAUCGUCCGGUUGCUGGAUGCAGCAGAAGUUGGUCUUAUGGCCAAAGGCGACCUUGCCGCCCCUCAUCUUCUUGUCCCUGACCUCUCCACCCAGUGAUUGGUAGUGAUACAUAGCACUGUCGAGAACAUCCUUGAUGUGGGUGUAAUCCUUUUUGUGAAUGUUCUUCGACAUGUCCAAGUAAAGAGCGUGGGAGAAUCGGGGGUAGAGGAUGAUGAGGACGGCGCGCCCGCCGCUGCGCAAAAUAAGUCCUCAAAUUAAUUAGCCUCCACCGUGCAAAUGAAUGAUUGAAACCGAAGGAAGGAUAGCAGCGCGGAUGACUUACACGGGAUGAUAAGGCACGAGAAUCGCCCCCUUGUCCUUAUUGGUGAGCAUGAAACUGACGAUGUAAUCCCUCGCGUAUUCACGGUGAUUUGCGCAGACUCCCAAGAAGCCCUCGUGCAUGUAGUACGGGUCAGUGACACAGAUAUGAGAUAUCUGCUCAACCCCGAUGAUGUAGUUCAUGUGCAAGGCAUAAAGGCGGACAAACGUAAAAUUCAGCUUCUUCACGUGAAACAUGUCGAAUAUGUAAUCGAAUCAGAGGAAGAACUUAUCCACGGGGAAGCUGUCGAUGUACGACAUUUGCCGCGGAACGUUAACCACGUAGAGUGGGUAUCCUGGAUCUUUCGAGGCGAUGAGGUCUUUCUCUACCCGCAGCACAUCGUCAUGAAGUCUCUUUAGAUUGCCGAAUCUGGCCCAUAGCGCUGUUGCAGGUAGGAUUGGUUGACCGGCGAUAUGCCAUUUAUCCGCAUCGGGGAUAUCUAUACGGUCCUGAAGCCGAGGCUGCUGAGGCAGCUGGAUCAUAGAAACAGCUUUUUUGCCUUUCCUCGCUCUCCUCCUAAACUUCUUUACUACCGGAAGGUCGUCCAUAAUAUGUUGAGAUGGCAAUUCAGGCACCGACUCAUGACGCUCAAACCCUGAGGAGGCGCCAGUAUAGACAUACUGUUCAGCAGCGUCAUCGUCGUCCUCAUCCUCAUCCAUGGCGACGUCAUCAGCGACUAAUGGAGCCUCCUCCUUACCCCGUCCGCUAUCAACCAACCCGACACCCGACGAUAAUUGGGUAGGUGGGCUGUUGAUGUUCAUACCUUGCUGAGGCUGCGUGCUCGUGGGUGUGCUCCCGGCCGCCUCCAGAUGAAGCAGACUCUUUGGCCACAACAGGACCCACCCAGCAUUGCAACAAUCACCAAGCCGCCGCGGUGUCUCGUCGUCAUCCCCCAGUAGUACUGGAGGAGGCAAAUUCUCGUGGUCCGGUUUGACACUGGCCACAGAAACCUUGAAGACGUUCGGGGGGAUCGGCCGACUGUGGAACAAUGGUUCCUUUGGUUCCAUUAUCGUCGCCUUCCCCACUUCCACCUUCUGGUCGCCGAUGGUGUACAAUAUGGUGCACGGGGUUUCGUCGGCCUGCAAAGAAAAGUCUGCGACGUGAGACAUCCGAAAGGCAACGAAAACAGGAGAUUAUACAUUUAUAUUGAAGGGGGCCGAUGUGACAGAUACCAUGAGGGCGUUGAGCUCAGCCAAAGACGAAGCACCGCCUAGCACGUCCGGUGCGGGAGCCGGUGCGGGAGCAGGUGCAGCUGCAAGUGCUGGUGCAACGCUAGUCGAGCUGCUCCCCGCCAAGAAGUCAGCAAGGGGAAAGUCCGCUGCAUCUUUUUUGGAUUUUGCCUGGUCCAAUUGAAAACGGUCGGAACCAAGGUAGUAGAAAUAUCUAAAGCCACCUGUUUUGCGGCAGCUACCGCUGUUGCGACUAUCUCAGUUGAUUUCUUCUCAACCGCAAUCUCAACCCUCUUGUCGAUGUUUUCUUCAUUGAACCUCCGUCUUUCCUUUCUCUCCUCCGUGGUCUCACGGUAGUACUUCUUCCACGUGGCGCCGUCUCCGACACCGUGCACGCAUCCAUACGACGGUCGAGUAUCCACCGGUUGUUGUUUCAAUAUGUUCAACGCCCGAUUGAAUGGAGUGUCCCACUUGGGCCUCGCCAAUGCCUCAGACGGUGAGUCGCUUUCGGCCGCAAUCCUGUGCUGCUCUCUCUGCAAAAGGCACAAUGAUCGUUUACAAAUAUGACUAACGUGUGCAGUCGAAUUGAUCAGAAACUAAAAUUACUAGCAGUCUCAUGAACUCCGUAAUGACCGGUGUUGUCUCGUAAACCUUUUUCACUGGGUCCCAACGGUGUCGGGCCCUGAGGACGUCACACUCCUGCGGGACGGUGAACUCCGCCAAGGGGUUUGGGAUGCCCAGACUCGUGGCUUCCGCGUCCUCCUUGGCCCAUUUGGACCUCUUUCCGCCGUAACCACGGCUUCCGAGGUGGUGGCUCCCAAUGUUCCUCUCUUGAAGCCCCUUCAUGUACUUAGACUUUUUUUUGGCAGCUUCGGCCUCGCGAGCCUCCUUGAAUAUUUGAAACUGCUCUUCCAUGAUUGUCGGAUUAUCCUUUACAAUCUCGGAGUAGGGUUCCUUCUUGUCGAUGAUCCUUGCUUUCACUCGAUUUUUCCAGGCGGCCAACGCGUCGCUAAACUUGGUCAUGGCGUGUUUUUUUAUCUUCUUCAUUGUCGGGUCCUCAUCUGGAUCUUUAUAAUCCUUCUCAUUCCGUCCCGGGAACAAGAAUAUCUGGUGAACUUCUUUAGGAGGGAGCUCCUCAUAUUUUCUAUCUUCUGUAGUUUCUCAUCGUUGAUGGUGGCGGUUGUCCGUACGAUGCAGCCUAUUUGAUUGCCGUAGCAUCGACGCGCUUCCUCGGGCGCCGUUGGCUCAAAAUUGCCGUCGUCCACCUCCGUGACCACCACUCUAGUAGUCCUGAGUUUGUUAGGAACCCGUUGCCUCUUUGCUUUCGGUUCUACAUUGGCUUCGCUCCCCGAGGCAGCGCCGGUCUCAGUCUCAGCGCCGGUCUCGAUGCCGGUCUGAGUCUGAGCGCCGGUCUCAGUCUCAGCACCGGUCUGCGUGUCGGUCUCAGUCCCCGAUGCCACUGGUGGGCCCAGCAAUAACAUCGGUUGAUCAUCGGUAAGGCUAAAAAAUUCGUCUGCCGCCCGGUAGGCGUCGUCGCAAUCACCAGAACCCUGUCCUUCAUCAUUGUUAGCCAUGUUUCCUAUGAUUAAAUCUAGUCAAUUAAUUCUAGACCUAAUAAAAUGAAUAAUGACAUAAAAAAGGCCUAUUAUUUUGCAGGAAUGUUGACUCCUUCCUGGUAUGGCAAAUCACGGGCACUCGAUAUGUCCUAGUUUGUAGCACAAGUCAUGCCGAAAUUCACGAAAUUUUUUGGCAUGAGCUUUGCUAAAAAGUGGACAAAUCGAGAACCUGAAAUUUGCCGGAAAAGAAAUGAAUCAACAUUCCGGCAAAACAUAGGCCACUAAGCAUCAUUCCCUGCAAACAGUGUCCAAAUAUACACGAGCAACCACAUGUGCAAACAGUGUAGAAGAAAAUUCAUUUAACUACUAAUAGAACAAAAUUUAGUUAACUUUAGUGCUCUAUAAUGAUGAAAGGAAAAAAAUCAGUUAACUACUAAUUUCAUUCAUUUAGGUUAUUCAUUUAACAUCACCUAAUUAACCUACUGUACCAAUACUACUAGCAGCACUACUAACCUAAUUAACCUAGCAAAACUCUAGUGCCCUAACUGAAAAACAUCUAAUUAACAUCUAAUUUUUUUCUCUAAAAUACAGAGAGAGAUGAGUGAGGGGGAGGGGUGGGGACUUAUAAAGAGGGGAGAGACGGUGGCGGGGAGGUGCUCGGUGACGGAGGCAGGGGCGGAGAGGGCGGGCUCGGGCACGGGCAAGGGCGGUCCUGGGCGGGCUCAGGUGGCGGUGAGGUGGAGGGCGCCAACGGUGACGUGGAGGGCGGCCUUGGGCGGCAGCUAUGAGGCUGAGGGCGGCCUCGGGCGACGGCGGUGAGGCUGAGGGCGGCCUCGGGCGGCGGCGGUGAGGCUGAGGGCGGCCUCAGGUGGCGGCGGUGAGGAGACGGCGGCGAGGGCGAGGGACGAUUUUGGGAAGAAUUGGUGGCCGGGGGGCGGGUGGGGGGAAACCGCUGUUUAAGUGAAACGUAACGGCAGCGCGUUUCCGGAAACGCGCUAUAGCUAAGUUAUCUAUAGCGCGUUUACUGAAACCCGCUACUGCUAUUCCUUUCUCCUUUUUUCCCUUUUUUCUUUUAUUUUUCUUUACAUUUUAUUUUUUCCCUUUCUCCUUUUUCUAUUUCUUUCAUUUUCAUUUAAUUUUUUACUUGUUUUUCACUUUAUUUUAUUUCCGUUAGCAGCAGCGCUUUACACGUAAGCGCGCUGCAGCUAAGGAGAUUACCAGUAGCGCUGGGCCAUUAUACGCGCUACUGCUAGGUUGGGCUAGCCAUGUGCGCCCAGUUCAAAUGUAGCAGCAGCGCUUUUCGCUAGUACGCGCUACUGCUAAAGUCAUAGCAGUAGCGCGGUUUAUUUACGCGUGCUGCUACUAAGUAGCAGCAGCGCUUGAUUUUGUACAGCGCUACUGGUAAAAUUCUGUGUAUAGGCUUUUCCCUAGUAGUGAUGUCAUUGUCGGGUUGCUUAGGUCCUUGGAUGAGCACUGGCAUCAUAAUGAACUUCUGCUUCAUGCACAACCAAGGAGGAAGGUUAUAUAUACAUAGAGUCACAUGCCAGGUGCUAUGGUUGCUGCUCUACUCCCCAAAAGGAUUAAUGCCAUCUACGCUUAGACCAAACCAUAUGUUCCUUGUGUCACCUGCAAACUCCUCCCUGUACUUUCUCUCGAUUUUUCUCCACUGCGACAUGUCAGCGGGUAAUCUCAACUUUCCGCCUUUCUUAUGGUAUUCUAUGUGCCAUCGCAUAACCUUCGCAUGCUCUUUGUUUAGGAACAAACGUUUCAACCGUGGUAUUAUAGGAGCAUACCACAUCACCUUGGCAGGAAUCUUCUUCCUGGGGCGCUCGCCCUCGACAUCACCAGGAUCAUCGCGGCUGAUCUUAUAGUGCAAUGCACUGCAUACCGGGCACGCGUUCAAAUCCGCGUACUCGCCGCGGUAGAGGAUGUAGUCAUUAGGGCAUGCAUGUAUCUUCUGCACCUCUAACCCUAGAGGGCAGACAACCUUCUUUGCUUCGUACGUACUCUCGGGCAAUUCGUUGUCCUUUGUAAGCAUCUUCUUUAACUUUACCAACAACUUUCCAAAUGCCUUGUCAGAUACACCAUUCUCUGUCUUCCAUUGCAGUAAUUCCAGUGUGGUGCCCAGCUUUUUAUUGUCAGUUUCGCAAUUCGGGUACAACAAUUUCUUGUGAUCCUCUAACAUGCGCUGCAACUUCUUCUUCUCCAUUGCACUUGUGCAGUUUCUCUCUGCAUCGGCAAUGGCCCGACCUAAAUCAUCAGUUGGCUCAUCUGAUGCCUCUUGUUCAGCUUCUUCCCGCAUUGCCAGCUCAACUUCUUCCUCCAUUGUUGUAUCAUCGUAUUCAGGAAACCCAUGACCAUGAUAGCUAUCGUCGUCCUCUUCUUCUUCAUUUUCUUCCAUCAUAACCCCUCUUUCUCCGUGCUUGGUCCAAACAAUAGUGGGGCAUGAAACCGGACUCAAACAGGUGGAUGUGAAUGGUUCUUGCGUUAGAGUAAUUGUGAUCAUUCUUACAGCCAGCACAUGGACAAGGCAUAAAACCAUCUGCCCGCUUGUUUUCCUGAGCCGCAAUCAGAAAAGUAUGCACGCCCUCAAUGAACUGGGGAGAGCAUCGGUCAUCUUACAUCCAUUGCCGGCUCAUCUUCAUUACACAACACCGAAUAGACCAAAUUAAUACAAGUUCAUACAUAAAGUUCAUACAAUACUUAUUCUCAUAAAGCAAACAUAUAAAUAGCUCUCUAGAUAAAGAAUUUAAAUACAAUAACAAAUGCGAUCAAGAUCGCAACUAAGGUAACAAUUCCAACAGCAUAAUGAUACCAAGCCUCACUAUGAAUGGCAUAUUUUCUAAUCUUUCUAAUCUUCAAGCGCAUUUUCUCCAUCUUGAUCUUGUGAUCAUCGACGACAUCGGCAACAUGCAACUCCAAUUCCAUCUUCUCCCCCUCAAUUCUUUUCAAUUUUUCUUUCAAAUACUCGUUUUCUCUUUCAACUAAAUUUAAACUCUCGACAAUAGGGUCGGUUGGAAUUUCCGGUUCACAUACCUCCUAGAUAAAAAUAUCUAUGUCAAUUUGAUCGGCAUAAUUUGUCAUAAACACGAAAUGCAACAAAAUAGUUAUAAAAGAAAAUAUACCACAUCUGAAUCAUAACCCGGACGAGGGCCGGCGGGGACGGAUAUCAAAACCAUGGCACUAUGAAUAACAAACAACGUACGGGUAAGAUAAUUAUACAAGUAACUAUAUAUCUAAAUCACACAAACAUGAUUUUUUUAUAAAAAAUAUACGAACAAGAGGGCUCACCCCACAAGGUGGUGCCGGCCACAAGACGGUGCGGACGAUCGACGAUGGUUAGGACGGAGACGGGAAGGCACUAAGUAAACCACACCUACAUAUGCAAACUAAGAGUUAUUUUGAGCUCAAAUUGCAUAUAAACCAUAUAAACUACGACAUAUAAUUCCUCCCAAAUUACUAAAACCCAUAAAUUAAUGACUAUAUAAAGCAUUGCAAAAGCUAAUCUAGCAAUAAGAGAUGAAAGGACAAAGUUGCUUACCUUUGUGAUCACUUGAAUGGAUGGGGGCCUUCAAAUCUUGACAAAAUUUGGGCAAAAUGUGAGAUGAGCUCGAGGUAGAGGGGGAAGAACAGAGAGGAGAGGGGAAAAGGGAAAAACAGAUAGAGCUCGCUCGCUGGUGGACGAAGGGUUUAUAUAGGACGACCUUUAGCACCGGUUCGUGCCAUGAACCGGUACUAAAGGUGCUGGAGGGGUCCUAGACUGACAACAUUCUGCCACCACUCUCUUUAGUACCGGUUCGUGGCACGAACCGGUGCUAAAGAUUCGCCACGAACCGGUACUAAUGGUAGCGGCCCAGCUAGCCGUUGGAACCGGCACUAAUGGUCAAAUUAGUGCCGACUCAAUUACAAACCGGGACUAAUGAGCUGAACAUUUGACCCUUUUUCUACUAGUGUAAUUAGAAAUGCAACACAUUAUUCUUAUAUUUGUUCCCACACAUUUAUGCACCAACAAAUGAUGAAUGCAUUCGGCGCAGAUACAUAUAGUACUCUCUAGGAUCUAGACAGUUGCGCGAGUGUCAUCACUACAAUGCUCCUGGGCUAAGUAGAGACGAUUCCCCGAGAGGUCAAAUGUUAAAGUUAAUUUGGAGCAAUAACCAAAUUAAUAAAGGUAUGGGAUCCCUUAAAAAAUUAUUAGAAAGUUAAAACUUUUUUUGAGGGAAAACCAUCAUGGCGCAUUUUAUUACUUCAAAAAAAGUUUACAUCGUUCAACAAAAACUGCAGAAUAAAGCUAGGGGCCUCAUCGUGCCAAAUACAAUCAACUUUUUGUGAAAAACAAAACCUAGUUACUUCGUGCGCCACUACAUUAGCUUCCCUAUGACAAUGCAUAAAAUUAACCAAACCAAUAUCUUUCGUGCACGAUGCAUAAAUCGGACCUGCUUGGUCAUACCACUGACUUGUUCCAGAUAAUGCAUCUAUAACACCCAUGCAAUCAGACUCUGCUUGAAGGCGAUUAUAGCCAACCUCAUUUGCUAGCAGUAAAUCAUCUUGAAGGGUCAUCGCCUCCAUAGUUUGGGCAGAAGCGGCAUAGGGAAUGAACCGAGAACGUCCAGCUAGGAAGGUACCUGAGGAAUCUCGGAGAACAGCACCUGUCGCCCCAGUUCCAUCCUCCGCAUGAUAAGAGGCAUCAACAUUUAAUUUCAAACAUCCCCCGGCUGGUUUUACCCAUUUCUCCUUUACAACACUGGUCACCUUCGCAGAACUUUUAGAAUAAUUUGAAGUAAUUGCUAGAAUAGAGAGUGCACACUUGUUCACCGGAGGGACCGCACCUUCAUGUGUUACCUGACGGCGCAUCCACCAUAUAUACCAACACGCAGUAAGCACAACAUCGUGAAUACAUAAAUCAGGGUAGCUCGGCAUCUGAUUGAAGUACGUAUCUGAUAUGGCCUCUGUAUUUAUAUUAAGUAUGUUGCAUACCUCUGCCUUUGUCUCCACGGGUGUAUUUGGGGUGAAAAAAAAAUACUUGACUUGCCCACGCUGACUAGUUGUCCAGAAUUGUUUCAGUAGGCUUGAAGAGCACCUUGCAAGGAAGUUGCAUUAGACCUAUUUACUUUCAUGAGAAAAAGGGAAUCAUCGGCAAAUAACAAGUGAGAGACCAACGGUGCAUUCCUGCACACCCUAACCCCAUCAAUGCCACCAACUUCUUCUUCAUGCAUUAGUACACUUGAAAGACCCUCUGCACACAACAAGAACAAAUAGGGUGACAAGGGGUCUCCCUGUCUUAACCCUCUAGUAGGCACAAUAUUGUCAGUUUCCUAUGAAUUGAACCUUAUAUUAUACUGAACUAAGGAAACACAUUCCAUCAUCGUGUUGACCCAAUCCUCAUGAAAUCCCAUCUUUAACAUCAUAUUUCUCAAAAAGACUCACUCCACCCUAUCAUAGGCCUUGUGCAUAUCCAAUUUUACAGCACAAAUACCUUCUGUUCCAUUCCUCUGAUUCUUAAUUUUGUGUACACAUUCAUACGCAAUUAAGACAUUAUCUGUAAUCAGCCUACCAGGAACAAAAGCGCUUUGAGUUGGAGCAAUUAUUUCUGGAAGGAUCACUUUCAAUCUCUUUGAAAGCAUCUUGGAAAUGAUUUUAUAAAUCACAUUACAGAGGCUAAUGGGGCGAUAUUGAGCAAUAGUUUCAGGACAGUCCACCUUCGGUAUUAAAACCACGGUAGUAUCAUUCCACCCAGCAGGUAUAUGUUUGGUGUUUAUAGCCUUCAGCACCUCCUGCGUAAUUUCCUGGCCUACUAUGUGCCAAUAUUUCUUAUAGAAUAUAGCUUGCAACCCAUCCGGCCCCGGGGCUUUCAAAUCCCCGAUGCUAAACACAGCCCAUUUGACAUCCUCUUCAGUAAAUGGAGCUAAUAAUUGUUCAUUCAUCGCUGCCGUGACACGCUGCUGAAUCUUCGCUAGGAAAUCUGGAUCUGUUGCAUUCACCUCGGAUGAAAACAGGUUAGCAAAAUAAUCUCUAAUGAACGGAUUCAACACAUUCGUACCUUCCAGCCAAUCCCCAUGUGCAUUUUUCAGUUUUUUAAUUAGGUUACGUUUCUUCCUUGUUGACGCGAACAAAUGGAAAAAAUUUGUAUUCUUGUCACCACUUAACAGCCAAGUUAGUCGGGCUCUCUGUAGCCAAUAUAUUUCCUGUUGUUCUAGCAGCAUCUCAAUUUCUGCUGCUAUAUCUUUCCUCCUCUUUUCAUUCUCAUCUGUCAUAGCAUCUCUCAUAAUAUUCUCCAGUUCUUGCUGGCAUUUCUUAAGACGUUUUCUAGGCUUCUUUAGGACCCUACUGUCCCAAACAUGGAAGCAUGCAUGCAUUACUUUUAAUUUAGCAAGUACAUCUCCCGUGGCAUGCCCACUCGCCUCGUCCCAUGCCUUUUGCACAACUUCUCCAAACGAAGGUUCUUUCAGCCAACGUGCUUCGAAGCACUUCCGCCCCCUGCUGUUUGGAGGGUUAUCUUGGCGAUAGUAUUCAGUAUCUAGCAGUAUAGGGCGAUGAUCCUGAGUGGUUAAACUCCAUAUUUAUCAGCGCAGCAAGAGGGUGCAUCUGGGGCCAUCCCGAGUUAGCAGCAGCUCGGUCUAGUCUUUCCCGAAGACGUCCUCUCCUCCAUGUGAAUUUGUCACCUACAAAACCAAUAUCCUCAAGAUUGCAGUCAGUGAGUGCAUCUCUAAAUGCAUCCAUAUAUUGCAUUGGCCUCGGAUUACCUCCUUCUUUUUCAGAUAGUUGCAAAAUUUCAUUCAGGUAUCCCGCAAUCACCCAUGGGAGAUUAUUCUGCUGCUCCAACAUCCUCAUACGGUUCCAAGUCCUAUAUUUUUCUUGCCACUUAAAUUCUCCAUACAUCCCAGUAAACCUCCAUUCUUCGCCACUUGAGUCCUCAAUUUUAACAUCAAUAUAGUUUGGUGAUGCAUAGAUUAGUUGGACACCCGAGUCCCUCUUCCAGAACAUUGCUAGUCCACCUUUCCGGCCAUCACUGACCGAAACAACCUUCACAUCCAUCUGCAAUUUCCUCCUUAAACACUCAGCCGGAUAAUCGUCAAGGUGUGUCUCCGACAGGAACAUUACCUCGGGGUUACAAGAGCGCUGGACUUCCAGCAGGGCACGAAUUGCUGCAGCGUUACCCAAACCAUGGCAGUUCCACGACAAUAUUUUCAUUAAGCCUAGCAGUUGUGCUUAUGUUCCCUUCCUCCUCUGUCCUUGGUUUCUUUCUAUUCUUGUUUCUGCUUAGCCGACUGACUAGGGAGGACAGCAGUACACGUACAGGAACUACGUCCCCAGCACCGUCCUUGGGAUUUGAACACUACGUCCAGAAUUCAGAUAUCCACAACUCCACUAAACCAAACGCAUCCAAUCUGAGGAGAUUGGAGCACAACUUCGUCCACAAGACCUUCAAACACCAGUAUUCGAGAUGCUCAUCCUAUUAUCCUAUCCAGUUGAAUGAGCAGACUUCCCACGUACCUUGUGAAAAUAACAGAAGACGCUAAGGUUGUUGGGCCACUAUGGUUGGCCCAUACAUACAUGGAGGCUGAAAGGUUUGGGUAGGCACUAGGAGGCACGUACCGGACCUUGCCUAAAAGCCCGCCAAACUACCUGAUUGUCGCCUAAAUUGACGGAUUCUGAGCUUAGUCAUUUUCUACCUAAAUCUGGGUCAUUUUUAGGUAGAAGCUAGACAUGCGUGGCUCCGUAUGCCUAAUACUUGGCUAGUGCCUUGGUCAACUUGUGGGCUUGGUUGGGCCUUUGCCUUGGCAGGAUUCAAAAGGUUUGUUGGCACGGCAAUAUACUAAACAUCGAGUACACAAAUGGGUAUGCACACUUGCACGUGUGACAACACAGUAGAGUAAGUCAUACAUUUUAUGAGACCACACUUGGCAUAACUUAUGUCACUCCAUCUCAAAAUAAGUGACUUAACUUUGUACUAGCUAUGUGCUAAAGCUAGUACAAAGUUGAGUCACUUAUUUUGGAAGCUAGUACAAAGUUGAGUCACUUAUUUGGGGACGGAGGAAGUACAUGUGACCACCAUUGCUAUAUUAAUAACCUGCGUAGAAAAAUAUAAAAUUGAAAAAAAAAGAAUAUAAAUUUCUAGAUAAGUUUGGAAAAUCUGAAGCUUUUAAGAAACUUGGAAACAUGUGAUGUGUGAUGUAUUGUUCUUACUACAAAGUUUCUUCAGUGGUCAAUCUAGGAAAAAUCUCGAAAUUAGUAUAAUUAAUCCUAAAAAAAAGAUAGAAAAUCAAAUAGGAAUCAGUUUUCCCCUCAUUUUCUACCAAAAUGAGUUUUUCUUUCCAUAGAAAUUUUUUCAUGAAUUUUACUUGCUUGGUCCUAAGCGCAACUCAUACACACACGUCACAUGUGUAUGUUCAAGCAUGCUUUUCGUGAGAAAUCAGAGAUUUAUAUUUCAUCUGUGUUAAAUCAUUAAUUCUACUAAGAAGGUGAGUCAACCAAAUUUUCUGGUUGAAAUCAUAUAAUAUAACUAGUGGUUCAUUAAAUUCAUUUCGUUGAAGGAUUCCAAAGGAGUAAUUGACGUCAAUUUUGACACUAGUUAUAAGGAGUGCCAAUCAUCAACAUAAACCAAAUCUAAAACUCUGCUCAGGGUGGGCACGCAAAAAAUUAUAAUGAACUUCAGGGGCCCGGUGCAACCAUUGAUGGUUGAACAAAAGGAUGCUUGUGGCAGUAAAAACCCAACGUUUCCGAAAUGAACCAACCAGGAAAUUAAACAUACAUAGACAAUGGGCAACACAAGAAAGUCAUCUUUACCAUGUUACUUUCGUUGAAAGAUUCCAUUGCAUUGAAGUCCACAGUUGGCGCCUAUCGCUUAGCCAUGGACGAACGCGAGCGUCCAUCGGCACCCGCCACGAGCAGGGCACCGGAUGCUCGUCGCGCCAUCUGAAAGAUCAUAUGGGGGUGCCCUGCUCCCCCCAAGGUACGUGACUUUGCAUGGAGGCUUGUGUCCAAUUCUCUGGCUACUUGAAAAAAUAAAUUUUCUCGCCACCUCAAACAUACUGACGUGUGCCCCAUUUAUGGUGUGGAACGGGAAGACAGUUUCCAUGCAAUGUGUAGGUGCCCCCUUGCAAAGAACCUCUAUCUGGCGUGCCAUGGCCUCGUACUGGCCAUUGCCAGACAUUGAUGUUGUUCGCAACACCGGACCAAAGUGGCUUUUUACCCUGCUCGAGCCGCUCACGGAAAAUAUUCGCAUGGUGGUCAUCUCCUGAUGCCCAUGUGGCGUGUGUGGUACGUUCGAAAUGAACUCACGCAUGGGAAGCUAGCCCCUCCAACAGAAGCAUUGCGACGCUUCCUGGGGUAUAUAAGCUCUUUCAUGUGCAUUCAACAACAUUCAUCGGGGAACAUUGAGAAAGGCAAAGUGGUGGUGCACGUACUAGCUAGCCAGAGCAGCUACGACAUGCAACAUGCAGGAAAACCAGCAAAAGGAGAUUUCCUGGUCACUGCCUGCCCAUGGAUGGACGAAAUUGAAGUUAUAUCAAGGAAACGAGGGCGGCUCGUGGUGGAAUGGUGCUUCGAGAUGAUACCGGUGCUAUUAUUUUUACUGCAUGCAGACAAAUCACCAUAUGCGAUGAUGGACUAGAGGCAGAGCUUAUGACGUGUAAGGAAGGCCUUGAUCUUGCUCUUCACCGCACUAUCUUACCCAUUGCCAUUGAGUUGGACUGUGCUCGGGCAGUCUCAAUGUUAAACGCGAGUCAUGAGGACCGCUCGAGAUACAGUACACUUGUGCGAGACAUCCAGAUGUUAGAGGACCCACGGAAGAUUUUUAUUACGCAUAUUAGGUGCACUCAAAAUAAAGUUAGUCAUAGCCUCGCAGCUUAUGGGCGUAGUAUAUCCCAUACUGCCAUUUGGUUUGGUACGGGCACAGACGAAGUUGUAAAUUUGUGUACGACUGAAAAGCCACCUUGAGUUAUGAAAUCUCCCUACUUUCUGCAAAAAAAAAAGUCCACAGUUGGCGGAAACACAUAAACAAGGAGUAAUUGGCAUCAAUUUCAACGCCAGUUCACUCGCCAGCCAGCAAGCAAAGCACAAGUUGCAUGAUCCGGCUCGUCUUGUCAUUUUAUGAUAAUCUUGCGACCUUUUGGAGUAACAACAUCGUCACCAUCAAUCUCAAUGGCACCAACACCAAACAAUGCCUGCAUCUAAAAGACUGAAACACAACACACGCAUCAAGUCAACAACAGCUUGACACAUCACACACCCUAGAAUGUAGAAAGAAAAUAUGUAAAACAAGUCGCACACGCAACAAAAUACUUGUAGAUCUGGUAAAAGGCAAGCUCAUGCGUCAAUCGAUUCAAAGAAAAUGUCUAGACUAUCUUAACCCCAACCCACGGGAGGCUAUAAUUACCAGCGCCGAAGCCGAAUGGCUCACUAUAAGCGGCCUGAGAACGCAUCUGAUCAUAAAUCACCAGAUAAAGCUCAGUUUCUCAACAAAAAUUGCACCACUGCUUCUUUUAAUACCAAAUAAUUACUAAAUGUGCAACAGCGCAAACAACAACUAUUGCCUGACACUGGAUAGCCUACAAUUGAAAAUCAUCGGCUAGCACUCAUACCAAGUUCAGGGGUGUUUUGACAUUUAGCGAGAAAUUUAUUACUAAACCAGUCUACGAGCAAGCAAGUAGUCGGUCCGUGAUUCAUAUACACAGAAACUGAUCUAGCGCACAGUAAUGUUUAUUACUUGAUGCCGCAGAAACUUGAGGCAUAUUGCACAAAAACUAUGUACAGCAGCAGUAGAAAUCAAACAGUCUCCCCAACUUGCUAGUAUUAUAUCUCCAGGAGGGUAAUAAUAAUCUAAAUUCACAUUUUGGCAUACAUAGCUUUCCUCCAGAUAAUUUGCAUCGGAGGGAGUCUACAAAGUAAACCAUAGUAAAUAGUGAAUACUAAAAGGAAAGAAAAAACAGCGAAUCUUUCAUACUUAAACAUCCUGCAAAAUGCUUCCAAAGAGGGUAGGGUAAGAAUGCACCAAUCAUCAUCAUUAAAUUCAGCAUUAUAAUUAGGAAUGUAACCCAUUAUUCUUAAAUUGUUCCCACAUCGGUUUAUGCACCAACUAAUGAUGAAUGCAUUUGGCGCAGAUACAUAUAGUACUCUCUAGGAUCUAGACAGUUGGGCGAGUGUCAGCACUACAAUGCUCCUGGGCAAAGUAGAGACGAUUCCCCGGGAGGUCAAAUGUGAACCGCGUGUCCACCUGCUGCGCCGCGCCGAGCACCGUCAUCUCCUCGUCCGGCACGACGGCGAAGCACAGGUGCUCAUGGUUCACCCUCAUGAAUAACAGUUCCGGCUUGAUAAAAAGCCUGGUCGCGUCUUCGUACAGGGUCACGGUCAAGCUCGGGAGGUGCGCGUGGCCCCACGAGCCAAAGCAGAGGCGGUACCCCUGCACCGGCACCGUCGAGCGGCGCGCCCCCUGCUUGUGCAUGUUUGCCGCGACCUCGGCCUCCACGACGUCAUACGCCG
This 90649-nucleotide long non-coding RNA is filed under the name Triticum aestivum (bread wheat). RNAcentral's name for it is "long non-coding RNA (TAES_LNC020182)". The stretch from base 45968 to 46053 matches the Rfam family "MIR1120/MIR1122 microRNA precursor family". The record is from RNAcentral. Lineage: Eukaryota; Viridiplantae; Streptophyta; Magnoliopsida; Poales; Poaceae.